AGAUGUUAGAACCAAACUUUUCCCAUCUUCAUGUGCUGGAAAAGAAUUUUUACAGUUCAUGAAUGGAAAGCCAUAUAGAUAGUAUGCAAAACUUGAGACUAGUCUGUCUUGAGGCUAGUCUGUACAAACUACACACACCUGAUAUUCAUUUUUCGAGGAAAUAAGAAGACCAGCAAGCUUCCUGUCAAGCUGAUUUAUAAUCAAAUUAUGCAUCCCCAUGUAGUACUCCAACUCAUAACAUAAAGCACGUAAGUCUCAUACUAAAAAAUAUGAUAGUUAUCUGCUUUUGCUGCAGAUAACAAUAUCGGAUGUCAAGUGCUAGCAGUGAUUCCAAUUGACUUGCCUAAGAGCAUAAGUUAAAACAUCAAACAGAAAGGUGGUCUCCUGCCUCCCCAAUUCUUUUCUUCUGGAUAAGUGCCUCCCCAACUCUGCAAUUCUGCGCACUUCAUUUAGUUCAGCCAUAGUGGGGUCUUUAGGUACUUCCAUUACUUAAAAAAAACAAAAAAAUUGGCCUUACCACAUUUUCUGUUGAUAAUAACUUAUUGUGGAGAAUGAGUCUAUAUAUAAUGUUAAAAAAAGAAAAAAGAACAGGGCUAUUCACCACAUCAUAUGGCAGCAUCGUGUAUCCAUUUGUUGGCUAAAGUCAUUUUGGCGAGAGAGCACUUCUGGGAUGAAAGCAUACUGUGGGUAACACAAAUUCGAUAUGAGUAAUAAAUGCUCAAGGGCAUUCAUUGUAGACAGGAGCACCCAGAUUCAAGUCUUUUUCCCUAAAAAGUUACAAUAGUACUUACCGGCAUCAUCUUCAAUGAAUGUAGCAUAGAGCGUGAGUUGACGGAGGUGAUGGCAAUCUUUCAUUGUUGGUGGUAAUUGUGGAAGGCAAUCAUGAUUGACAUUAAGAUUACACUGCACCAAAACGUGAAAGUUGAAUGUGCAAAAUUUACCAGACACUAUACGCAGGUCAGGUGAUCUAAUAUAAGAAUGAGCAUAUGCUCGUGGAGGUGAGGUUUCAAAGUGGGCUUUUUAACAGUGCAUGGAAUGUUGAAGUUGAAGCCGCAUAUUGCGCAGAGAAAGACAGCAUCAACGCUUUUCACAACAUGCGUCAGUGAGUGUUCUUCCCUGAUGCGGGAAGAAGUGGAUGUGCCAGGGUGAACGGGGUGUUGCAUAACCGAGGGCAAUUCAGCACAUGAUUUAUGGAGCAGAUGAGAGCAGCCUUGCUCCAGCAGGUCAGUAGAUCUAAUAUAAGAGUGAGCAUAUGCUCAUGGAGGUGAUGUUUGAAAGUGGGCCUUUUAAAAGUGCAUGGAAUAUUGAAGUCGAAGUCGCAAUUUGCACGGAGAAAGACAGUGUUAACGCUCUUCACAACAUGCAUCAGUGAGUGUUCCUUCCUGAUACAGGAAGAAGGAUGUGCCAGGGUGAACGGGGUGUCGCAUAACUGAGGGCAAUUCAGCACAUGAUUUAUGGAGCAGAAAAGAGCAGCUCUGCUCCAGGCAGUGAUACCUUUGGACUUAUUCAUCACAAGCCUUGCACACAACAUCCUUCAUGUGACCCAGCUCCAGCGGCAGCGGAUGAUUGUGAAUUGGAGAAAAGAAGCGGCAAUCCAGACAAGCAUAGACCUCACCUAGUAUGCUCCAUUCACAAGCUUUGCACUCAAUUCUGGUUUUAAGCUUCACGUGGAAGGACCCCAGUCGAUGCUGAUGGGCAAAAUUUUAAAAAACUGAGCCUUCCUCGCCCUCAGAUCUUGUGAACAUAGAAUUAUAGCCACAGAGUCUAUAUCAAGACUGAAAUUGCAUUCGCUGACCAUAUGGCAGGCACUACAUUGGAGGUCUACCGAUUGAUCAAAAGCAAGAGAGAGGGUGAUCAUGGAGAGACGGGCAUUGUGUCUCUGGGGAGAGAUUCGGCGCAGCUCUCAUGGGGAAAGAAUCUACACGUGUAGAAUCGAUAGACCUCCUCACAGGCUUCGCAUUUGAUUCUACUUUUCGUCCCAAGAAGAUCGUGUGAGGGGAUGCUAAUGAGCAAAAUGUUGGAUGGUCGCAUUCUCAGAAUCCUCAUCAGGCUCUGUUGUGACUAGGCAGGUGAAGCAAUAUCGGGCCGUGCAGCAACGCUUAACCAUCCGAAUGGCAAGAAGGAAGCCUGCUCACAUGCAUGGCAACUCCGACGAUCCUUGUCAUCGUUGCCACCUAGGCGGUCCAGUCGGGGUAGCAGGUGAGACGGGUGUCCUUGGGCGGACAGAAUGCUAAAUUCAGUGUGACUAGACAAUUCACAGCAGUGGGCUGAGCUGCAGAUCGGAGACCAGCACGCGAGACAUUCCAAGCAAGUGCAACCUUCUUCGCUCAGGUUUCGGAGAUUCAAUACAUGAUCACCAGGGCAAAUUAGGAAAUAAAAAAGCGUUUUGAAUGGAGUUAUAAUUACCGACCAGAAAAAGAAAAGAAAUGAGUUAUAAUUGCUGAGUUACAUCAACACGAAGCGAAUAAUGUGAAAUGAAUCGUACCCUACUUCCAUAUAUUAUUUGACUUUUGUAUUUCAGUGUUAAUCUGUACAAUUUUUUCUACAUAUAUGCUUUAAUGCAAUAGUUAAAAAAAACUAAAGUGGCCCAUGAAAAGUUUCAUUUCAUUUUUCAUUUAGUAGUCAGCUGCAAUUAUAAUAUAAUUAUACAUAAAUAACCGAUAAAUAAAACUCCAAACAUUGGAUAAGGUCAUAAAGGUGAAAUGCACCUUCGGCUUGUCUAUACAUUUAUUAGAAAGUUCUUACCCAACUUAAUAUAAAAGUAAAUUACUUAAGACAAUAUUGCGAUAACAGUUUUCUAUGUUGCUAAUUAUUUAUUAAUCUAUAAAAAUACAUGUUUGGCGGCAAUCUUGAAUUCCAGGAUAUCGAAAAAGAGUUAUAUUGAUGCUCCAUAAGCUAUGACGAUAAGGUUCACCAAAGCAAUAAUUGUAAUUAAAUCUGUAAUUUUCUAUUAAAAUCUCUUAAGAGAACUCGAUUUCAUUUGCAAAAAUUAAAUAAUUCUACCCAUUGGUUAUUCUUGAAAUCAAAAUAUAGAUUGAAGUUAUUAUAGACCCAGUUUAUAUGUUUCCAUCCUACGAUUUCGGCUAGUUGAACCAAAUUUAGAUCCGGGGUCAAAAUUUGGCGUUUGGAUAAACUAUAUGAAGACUAAGACCCAAGAGAAACUUUCUAGAAAGAAAAAACAACACAAAGAGGUACUCUUCCGAGUAAUUAUAAGUAAACCUAUCCAAAUGAUAGAAUGCAUUGCAUUUGGAUGAAAUCAAGAUUAUGAUGCAUGCGCAUUUUUCAUCUAUGGUGAUCUCUUCAUUCCACCAAUUUGUACAUUCCUUUUGCUAAAAUUUUGAAUUUAUUAUACUAAUCAAAGUUACGAUUGGUCUAACCUUGAUUUUGAAUCGAGUCACGUCCUUUUUCUGAGGCAGCCAAAAAAAAAAAUGAGGAGAGAAUGAUCUCUUUUCUCCUACGAGGGUGUUUGUGCGUACAUAUUACGAGGGUGUUUGUGCGUACAUAUAAUCCUCUUUUCAGUGUCUUUUAAGGUGUUUGUGCAUACAUAUAAUCCUCUUUUGAGCGACUUUUCAAUUUCCUCUCUCCCCUCAAACCCCACUCCCCCCUUCCUUGUGAUGGAGUUUCCAAAGGGUCUUAGGGGAGGCUUCAAUGUUCACAAAGAUAUGGUUGGACCAUGUAGCAUUAUAUGAUAAUCCUAUGUCUACUCGUGGGCAAAAAUGGGAUCAUUGUGAGAGUUGCGGAUUUUCUGUUAAACAAGAAAAAAAAAUUGCCGUGAAAUUGAGAUUUUGUUAAAGUCAUGCUCUGUGACACUCUAAAAUUUCAUUACAACAUAAUUUAAUGGCUUAAAAACGUCUAGAAUCGACCCAGCAACAUAAAAAUCCGUACAAAGCCUAUUUUACUGUUUAACUACGGAAACUCCUUCAAUUAGAUAAAUAAAAGUUUCGAAUCCUUAUCGAUUGCUAUGAAAUAGAAAUAAUCUGGCUUGACCAAGCCUCUCAAACAUGCACGCAGUGAGAGUCCCCUUUUGUCUCCUCUCUGUCUUUUUCUCAGUUUGUCCAAACUCUGCUUUCCUUCUUUUUUUGUCUUUUGGGUUCUUCUUGGCCAUACUCUAUUUUCUCUCUUUCUGUUCUUGCAAUUCCCUUGCGACGGCAUCAACAGAAGCAAGAUCAAAGGAAGGGCUUAAACGAGACACUUGGGCUUGGGCUUCAUGUUUGGCUCUUAUUUAUUAUUUUUUGCGAGCCCGGUUAUUGAAACUUUAAUCUUGCACAUAAAUCUUUAUAGGUUAUUACGUAUUGAUGCAAACUACGCGGAUUGAGAAUAAGGUCUUGGGUCAUCUUGCGCAGCAGCCCUAAUCCCCUCCCCUCCUCGAGCUCGCGUCCGUGUUGCGCCCGCUUUAGUAGAAAUCUUAGCAGCAGCGCAAUCACCCGGUAGCUACCCAUUGGAAGACCGAGUUACCCAAGUCGUCUUCUCACUUUCCAAUUUUGCGAUAUGCAAAUGUUCAGUAAUGGGUCUGGUGAGACCUCGGGCCUUGCCAACCUCUAGCGAAGUAUACUCAUUGAAUUUUUUUGAUAAUUUUCCUCUGAAAAGUCAAAUUAGAGUUUUCGCACCAACGGCGGAGCACGUUUUUUAAUGCAUAAGUUUAUAACCACCCCUGACUCCUCUCUCUCUCUAUCUUUUCAAUAUUAUUUAUUAUUUAUUUGUCUAAGAUAAUAAUAAAUUGAGAUUUCUACUUUUUUUCUAGUUAUCAAUUUAUCCAUAAAUGUGCAUGUUCUACAACAAUCUUGACUUCCACAUUAUUGAAAAACAAUUACAUAUGAUAUGAUGCUCUGUAAGGCAUGUGGAUAAGGUUCCCCAAAGUAGUAGUUACAAUUAAACUUGUAUUUUUAUUAUCUUUGAAUAAAACUCAAUUUCAUUUUCAAAAAUUUAAUAAAUGUCCACAUUGUUUAUCUUGAAAACAAAAUAUAGAUCUAAGUUGUUAUAGACCUAGUUCACAUAUACAACCUACGACUUCCACUAGUUAGGCUGAAUUUAGAUGCAUAGGUCAAAAGUUGGCAUUUGUAUAAAUUAUGACGAGUAAGACCCAGGAGAACAUUUCAAGAAAGAACAAACAAAAUAGGGAGGUACUCUUCCGAGUAAUCAUAAGUAUAAUAAGAAAUGAUAGAAAGAACUACAUUUGGGAAAAGGAAAACCACAUCGGUGUAGAGCUCAUAUAAAAAGGUUCUUGGAAGUCUUUCUAUCCUAACCUAACUUUACUAGGAGCUAUAAUGGUAAGAUUGUGAACUAAGUAGCAUCACCAUUGACACGCGACACGCAACACAUCAUUUCUCAAAAAUAGAGAAUUUUCACAUGUUGGGACAUGUUGUAUGUAAAAUGAUAAUUUUUUAUUCAUUAUUUUAAUUUGAUAAAUUCAAUUGCAUUCCAUUCCAAUAAUCCAUAAAAGUUGAAGGAAGAAAAAACAAACAAUCCACAUUCUACUAUUAAAUUUAACAUUUAACAAAAUGUCAAAAUAAUAAUAAUAAUAAUAAUACACAUUCCACCAUCAAAUAUAACAAGAAGUCUUUAUUUCCCCUUUUAUUUUUAUAUUUAUAUUUUGACCUAUCAUUUAUUGAAAUUUUUGAAAUUAACCCCAGAAUCACGUGUCGAAAUUCCAUACUCGUAUGUCAGGAGAGUUGAUUACGUCUCAGAUUUUUCGACACUCAUUCACCACAUGUUAGAACGUGUCGUAGUGUCGGACAAGACACAAAUGCUUCAAUGCUUCUUAAAUUGUGAACCAAAUUAUAGUGGUACAAUUGCUUUUGCUGCCAAUGUCAUCUCAGUAGCAAAAAAGCCAUGGAAAGAUCAUGAGGUACAUUACAUACUUCAAAACACCAACUUACCCGAAACAAGUAAAUUGCAACGAAUAUCAGAACUCCUGGGUCAAAUUAUUCCCCUCUGACUUAUCAGUCAUGAGGAAAUGAAAGGCAUGAGGAGAAUCAGAAAUGCAAUGUGGUCAUAGCAAAACCAAUCGCAUAAUGACAAGUUAACAGGGAACAUGCAAGAGCAAUUUAGCAUAAAUAUUGCAGUACUUUCAGCUAGUUUCGGGAAACGAAACACAUUACAGAGAACAUGAAGCAUCCCAGAACGUCUCCUUCUGUUUUGUUGUCUACACUGCAUAAUCUGAAUAAUCAUAAUUUACGGCUUCAUUACGAAAAUUCCUGCACUUAGAUAAAUAAAAGUUGUUGCUACCAAAUAGAAGUAAUCCGUCUUGUCGAGUUCUUCCAAGCGUGCAUGGAGCGAAAGCCCCCUUUGUUUCCUCUCUCUUUUUCUCCGUUUCUUUCCUUUAUUUCUUUUCUUUUCUUUUCUUUUUUUGUUCUUCUUGGCCAGGCUCUGUUUUCUCUCCUUUCUGCUCUUGCAAUUUCCCUUGCAAUGAAGCAAAGACUAAAGAAAGGGCUCAAACAAAACACUUAAGCUUGGGCUUAAGCUUGGGCUUAAUGUUUUGCUCUUAUUUAUUAUUUUUUGCAAGCCCGUUUCUUGCAACUUUAUUCAUGAAGAUACAUAUUUUAGGUUACUAUGUACUGAUGGAUCCUAUGUGGAGUGAGGAUAAGGUCACUCGAAAUUAAAGUUAGCAUAUCACUUUUUCGAGAAAAAUCAUAAAUCUAUUAUAUUUGUGUCAAUUUGAAUUAGUGUCAAUUCAGUCUCUCCCCCCCCUUGGGUCAAAGAAGACCAAGAAAAUCUCGAUUCAACAUAAGCUUGGGGUGCUAAUAAGGAGGACCUUGCUGGGUUCGUUCAAUCAACAAGCCUUAACGCCCUUGAGACGGGAUCAACUCCUUUUAUAAAUAUGAUACCACCAAAGUCAAGCAACACUGACUUCUUCCUAUUACUACGCUCCGUACCCUGGCUAGAGAGCAUGAAUGACUCUUCCCAGGAACGAUCAGAUGCAAACCUGUUAAAAGCGCCUUUCCCAUGUGGAAGAAGUUACUUGUGUGCCUUAUCCUUUUAACUAAUUUUGAUCGAAAAUUACUGAUAUGGACAUUAGUUGUCCUACAUGGCAUGCUUAGCCCUAAUAUGGAUAAUUUUUUAUUUAUAGUAAUUCAAUUUUUUUAUUUGUUAUUAUUAUUUUUUUCUUUAUUUCUUUAUUCUUCCUUGGCCAUUGCCUGGUGGGUUGGCCUCACCUAGGUGAGGGUCGCCAUUGCCCACCACAGGCUAGGCUAGGCUAGGCCAGGCGAGAGCAAUCCUAGGCAAGGCCACCUUGGCUUGGGUGAGGCCUUACGAGGGUUAGCCUCGCCUAGGCUAGAUUUGGUGAGGCCAUCACGCUCAGCUAUUGCCUAUGAUCAACAGAAGGAGGAAGAAAGAAAAAGAAAAAAAAAUUAGAGAAUAAAAAAAUAUAUUAAAUUAUUAUGAAAAUUUUUCCAUAGCCGUCCAUAUCAAUAUCUAGUCAAAAUUAAUUAGAAUGAUUAAAUUGAUACAAUUAUAAGAUUUAAGAUUAAAUGAAUAUAAAUGCGAUAGGCUUAUGACUUUUCUCUCUUGUCAAAAUAACCAAAUAAAAAAUAAAUCCGAAAGUUUAAGGCCUUCGUCCUCUCCAUAGUGCGGUGAGAAGUGAGGGUAGGGACAUCAUUUGAUAUUUAUUUUUUCAUGGAAGGUGGCACGGACAUCAAUUUAAUAAUCUUUCUUUUGACAUCAAUCUAAUACUCUUUAUUUUUGAAGUCCAUUCCAAUCAAGGACGUCCAAAUGCCCUUUUUCCAAGUUCCCUUUCAAAAAUUCUAAGGACGCAACAGUUAUCUUCCUUUGAAAAAUGUUAAGGAUCCUUAACAUUUUUCCAAGGGAGUCAUGAUUAAAGGACAUCCUACUCCAAAAGAAGUCGGAAAAGGAUGUCGGGAUGUCCUUUAAUCAUGACUCGAUGUCCUUUAAUCAUCACUCUCUUUCACAUAGAUGGAAAGUAUAAAUAAUGUCCCCGUCUUUGCCCCUCCUCACGGCGCCAUGGAUAUCCCCUCCAUUGUCUCUGUCCUGGUCAACUUCAUCCAGGUGCAAAACCAGGGGAAGUCGAUUUCACCCUUUGAGACCCACCCCGUCGCCACCCGCGUCGUCAUCUGCAGCCUCCUCCUGCAUUUCUUUUUCGGGCGUGUCGCUAAUCAGGCACCACCUUCUCGCGGCCGUGCCCCUUCUUGCGAUGGAGCAGCACGCCUCCUCUUCCACUUCACCGGUUUGACAUCGGUGUUUUUGCUCGCAUGGUUGCUGCUCCACGACUCCUUCCACUCCGUCCUUUGGUUCGUGCUGUUCCUGUUGCUUUCCAUGCGUCUGCUGCAGGGCCUCAUUCGAAAACUUUGUCUGUGGUUUUACCGCAAACUCGUUCUCAUGAUUAUCCGUGCGGCGUGGUCUCGUGUAUGGCAUGGUGGAAGAGUGCGGCCACAUUUUCUGCGCCCGGCCGUGGGUCUCCGUUUCACGCCGGAAGUCUGAGCGACGUAGUUGUUCGACUCUUCCCUGCUUGGAUUCAAUAAAUUUAAUUGUAUCACUGCUUUAAUACAAAUUAUUAGUACUCUAGGAAGCUAAGCUAGUUUUGUAUAAGAGGCAACUCAAGUCUUUGUUCUCUUUAUGGGAAGCCUUAAGGAGUCCCCAAGACUUCGACAUCAAAUUAUCUCUCGACCAUAAGAAAGGAGAGCAGGGGACAAGUAAAAAUCACCUAUGUAUCGUUCCUAAUCCUAGCCAUGAACGCCGAUGGACCUUGUAGCAGCUAGAUCCAAUUAAGAUAGGCUAAGCCCUCAAAAGAUAUUGGGAUCUAUUGUUAUCGAAGGGAUUGAAGAUACCUCAACAAUUGUUACGAAGAGAAGAAUGGCCGUAUCUAGUAGCAUAUAAAGGGUAGAUAUUGUUCUUGAGGUUAAAGCUUCUGACCUCUUUGAAAGCAUUGCGAGUGUUGCAAAGUUUCCUUCCAUUUCUGGUGAAUCUCUUUGUAGCUUUCUGUUUGGCCAGCUGAUCAAUAUGUGUCAUUUUACAUUCUUUGCUGGUAUACUAUGGUUUUGCUCAUAUAUCCGUAUGAACUAGGAUAAAUAGAUGCCCUGGAGACACGAGCGCAGCUGCGAUUUCAAAAGCCUUGUUCUAACAUCAUUGAGUGAUCCAAAUCAAAAUGAAAGAUGUCAGCUUUUUCAUCUCUGUCCCAUAUGCACCACUACUGCUUUCUAGCUAUUCCGAUGAUGAUAAAGUUGUAGCUUACCAUUGCAGAAUGAGAGUUGUUGCAUCAUAUAGUCUUCAUUUUACCUCUGAGAGGUGACAAUUAGAAAUUUGCUGUGGCAAACGCGUCAACUUGCAAUCUAAGGCCACGUUGUCUCACUGGCUGAUUGGUUUUUGGCUGGGAGCUUGAAUUGUUGCUCCAGUUGGACAUUCAAGUUGCCAGGGCCAACGUGAAAAAAGAAUGCUGAAUGUAGAUUUUUUUUUCUUUCAAGAGGCUUUAGUUCAAGAUAACUGAAUUUUGGCAGACUGUAGAUGUUAGAACAGAACUUUUCGCAUCAUCAUGUGCUGGAAAAGAAUUUCCAGUUCAUGAAUGCAAAGCUAGAUAGAUAGUAUGCAGAAGCUCAAGACUUGUCUGUACAAACUACAGACAUCCAAUGUUCAUAUUUGGAAAGAAUUAGACCAGCAAGCUUCCUGAUAAAUUGAUUCAUAAUCAAAUUAUGCAUCCCAAUGUUUGUACUUUGAUGUAUGACAUAAAGCACAAAAGUCUUCCAGUUCAAAAAUAUGACAUUUAUCUGUUUUUACUGCAGAGAACAACAAUCUUGGAUGUCAACUGUAGCAGUAAAUCCAAUUGACUUGUAUAAGAACGUAAGUCAAAACAUCAAACGGAAAAGUAGGUUCCCCUGACUCCCAUAUUCUUCUCAUAUUGGUAAGUCCCUCCCCAAUUCUGCAACUGCAUGCACUUUGCUUCCGGUUUUUGGAGACCAGCAUUGUGCGUCUUUUCUUGAGUACCUCCAAUUAUGUGCUCACUUUUUCCUGCAGAAUUUUCAUUUUUUUUCAUCUAGUUCAACAAUAGCAGGGUCUUCAGGUACUUGCACUAUUCCAGCGACUUGUAUUAAACACUAUUUCGUAUUAGCGCAUUUUCUGUUGAUUCUUACUUAUUGUGGAGAUGAGUCUAUAUAUGAUGUUAAAAAGGAACAGGGCUAUUCACCACAUCGCAUGGCAGCAUCUUGUAUCCAAUUUUGGCUGAAGUCUGUUUAGCAAGAGAGCACUACACUGUGAUACAAGCGCACCAUGGUAAAACGCAUUGGAUAUGAAUUAUCAAUGGUCCGGGGCAUUCAUCACAGUCAUAAGCACCCAGAUUUGUGUCCCUCAUUGCAAAGGGCACAAUAGUACUACUCACUGGUAUUAUCUUCGAUGAACAAAGCAUAAAGCGUGAGUUGAUGGAAGUUAAUGGCAAUCUUUUACUGUAGUGGAAGGCAAUCUGUGAUGAUUAAGAUUGCAUUGCACACAACUGCAAAUGCCGAAGCUGCACAAUUUACCACAGACACUUCAUAGUAGCAUGGUUAGGUAGAUUUGAAAUAAGAAAGAGUAUAUGCUUGUAGAGGUGAUGUUUCGAAGUGCACCUUUUAAAAGUGCAUGAAGUGUUGAAGUCGUCACUUCCGUGCAGUGAAAGACAGAGCAUCCAUGCUCUUCACGAAAUAUGUCAACAGUGCUCCUGAUACGAGAAGAAAAAGGAUGUGCAGGGUGAGCAGGUCGUUGCAUCUGAGGGCAAUUCAGCACAUAAUUUAUGGAGCAGAGAAGAGCAUCUCUGCUCUGCAUGGCAAUAGGCUAAACAUUUGACACAUUCAACACAAGCCUUGCAUGCACCAUCCUUCAUAUGGCAGUUCCAGCGGCAGAGAAUGAUAGUGCAGUGAAGAAAGAAGAGGCAAUCAAGACAACCAUAGACCUCACCUAUAUGUUCCAUUCACAAGCUUCACGCCCGAUUUUGCAGUCAGGCUGUGUGUGGAAGACCAGUGGAUGCUGAUGGUCGAAAUGGUAAAAAACCAGUUCCUUUGUGCCUCCAGAAGGACAACUAGCUAUUCUGAUGAUAAUAUUGUUUGAGUUUGUCGUUGCAGAAUGACAGAUUGGUUACAUCAUAUAGUCAACACUUUACCUUUGAGAGGUGAGAACUAGAUCUUUGUUCUGGCGAAUGCGUCAACUUGCUUCAGCAAAUAGGAUUUAUAAAGACAGCGACUUCUUUUGUGAUGUAUCCUGCUUGUGUCCCGAAGCUCUUGGAUCUGAAUAAUGCAAUCUAAGACCAUGUUGUCUCACUGGUUGAUUGGUUUUCGUCCAGGAGCUAGAAUUGUUUCUUCAGUCAGAGAAUCAAGUUGCCAGGGCCAAGGUGAGAAAAGAACGCUGAAAUAUAGAUUUCUUUUUUGGGAGGCUUUAGUCCAACAUAACCGAAUUUUGGUAUGCUGCAGAUGUUAGAACGGAACUUUUCUCAUCUUCAUGUUCUGGAAAAGAAUUUACAGUUCAUGAAUGCAAAGCCACAUUGAUAGUAUGCAAAAGCUUGAGUCUAGUCUGUACAAACUACACCUGUCCGAUAUUCAUUUUUUGAGGAAAUAAUAAGACCGGCAAGCUUCCUGACGUGUUGAUUCAUAAUAAACUUAUGCAUCCCAAUUUUAGUGCAUUAAUUCAUAACAUGAAGCAAACAAGUCUCACACUCAAAAAAUAUGAUAUUUAUCUGCUUUUGAUGCAGAGAAUAACAAUAUUGGAUGUCGAGUGUUAGCAGUGAUUCUGAUUGACUUGCUUGAGAACGUAAGUUGAACCAUCAAACAGGAAGGCUGUCUCCUGCCUCCCCAGUUCUUUUCUUCUGGAUAAGUGCCUCCCCAACUCUGCAACUACAUGCACUUUGCUUGCAUCUUUUUGAGACCAGCAUUGCCCGUUAUUUUUUUUUUUUUUUUUCAGUACCCUCAGUUGUGUGCUCACUCUCUCUGCUUUUCCUGCAGAAUUGCAAUUUUUUCAUCUAGUUCGGCAAUAGCAAGGUCUUCAGGUACUUCCAUUACUUUAAAAAACAUUUGGUAUUACCAUAUUUUCUGUUGAUUAUAACUUAUUGUGGAGAAUGAGUCUAUAUAUGAUGUUAAAGAAAAAAAAAAGAACAGGGGCUAUUCACCACAUCACAAGGCAGCAUCUUGUAUCUAUUUGUUGGCUAAUUGUCAGUUUUGUGAGAAAGCACUUCUGUGAUGAAAGCAUACUGUGGGUAAAACGCAUUCGAUUUGAGUAAUCAAUGCACGGGCAUUCAUCGCAGCUGGAAGCACCUAGAUUCAGGUCUUUUUUCUCUCAAAGGUCACAAUAGUACUCACCAGCAUGAUCUUCGAUGGACGAAGUGUAAAGUGUGAGUUGAUGGAGGUGAUGGUGAUUUUUUAUCGUUGGUGGUAAUUGUGGAAGGCAAUCAUGAUUGACAUUAAGACUGCACUGCACAAGAACGUGAAAGUUGAAAGUGCAAAAUUUACCAGACAAUGCAUAGGAAGUGCGCAUCAGUAGAUCUAAUAUAAGAAAGAGCAUAUGCUCGUGGAGGUGAUGUUUGAAAGUGGGCCUCUUAAAAGUGCAUGGAAUGUUGAAGUCAAAGCCGCAUUUUGUGCAGAGAAAGACAGCGUCAAUGCUCUUCACGACAUGCAUCAGUGAGCGUUCCUUCCUGAUACGGGAAGAAGUGGCUGUGCCAGGGUGAACGGGGUGUUGCAUAACUGAGGGCAAUUCAGCAUAUGAUUUAUGGAGCAGAUGAGAGCAGCACUGCUCCAUCAGCAGUGGAUGAUCGUGAAUUGGAGAAAGAAGAGGCAAUCCAGGCAACCAUAGACGUCACCUAGUAUGCUUUGCACUCGAUUCUGGUUUCAAGCUUCACGUGGAGGGACACCAGUAGAUGCUGAUGGGCGAAAUGGCAAAAAAGCUGCGCCUUUCUUGCCCUCCAGAUCUUGUGAACCUAGACUAUAGCCGCACAGUCCAUGUCAAGGCUGAAAUUGCACUCGCUGCUGCAGCGGGAAACUAUAUGGCAGGCAUUACAUUGGAGGUCUACCAAUUGACGGAAAGCAAGAGAGAUGGUGAUCAUGGAGAGACGGGCAUUGCAUCUCUGGGAGGAGAUUUGGCGUAGCUCUCAUGGAGAAAGAAUACACACGUGUACCAUCGAUAGACCUCCUUGCAGGCUUCGCUUUUGAUUCUAUUUUUCGUCUCUGAGAUGAUGGGAUGUGAGCAGAUUCUAAUGAGCAAAAUGUUGGAUGGUCGCAUUCUCGGAUUCCUCAUCAGGCUUAGGGUUGUGAAUAGGUAGACGAAGCAAUAUCAGGCCGUGCAGCAACGGUCAACCAUCCAAAUGGCAAGAAGGAAGCCCGCUCAGACGCAUGGCAACUCCGACAAUCCUCCGCACCAUUGCCUACUGGGCGGUCAAGUCGGGGCAGCGGGUGAAACGGGGGUCCUAGGGCGGACAGCAUGCCAAAUUCAGCGCAACUGGUGAAAGAAAAAUUGACACGAUUUACGGCAGUGGGCUGAGCCGCAGAGGGAAGACCAGCACGCGAGACAUUCCAAGCAACUACAAGACUUCCGCUUAGGUUCCGGAGACUCACGAUACACAUGAUAAAAUUUCUAUUUCUCUUUCUCUGUUUCCCGGAAUAGGUUUAGAGCAGAAAUCCUUUGGUAAUGCAAUUUGAUUUUUUUAUUUCUGGAACAGAUUUCUAUUCCAAAAAUAGAUUUGAAGAAAAAAUCAAAAGUUAAAAUUUUUAAUUUUUUAAUUUCUGAAAUAAAAACUGAGAAAUCAAUUUCUCUUAUAGAAAUUUUGUUAUGCGCACCCUUAAUGCAUGAUCGCCAAGGCAAAAUAGGAGAUAACAAAGCGUUUUGAAUGUAGUUAUAGUUACAUGAUGUCAACACAAAGUAAAUGAGAUGACAUGAGUUGUACACUACUCCCGUAUUAUUUGAUGUUGUAUUUCAGUGUUCAUUUGUACAUUUUUAUUUUAUUUUAUUUAUGCUUCAACGCAAUGGUUUAGUAAAACUGAAGUGGCCCAUGAAAAGUUUUAUAUCUUGUUCAUUUAAAGUCAGCCGCAAUUAUAUGAGGUCUUAAAAGUGCAUUCACCUUGGGCUAGUCUGUACAUUCAUCAGAGAGUUCUUCUCCAACUUUCUCUAAUUAAAAAAAAAAAAAGUAACUUACGGCUUUGCGAUAACAGUUUUGUCAUAGUUAUUUAACUUCACCUAUUUUUAAGUUUACAAGUUAUUUUUUUAAUUUAUUAGUCGAUUGCUUUUACAUGUAAAAGUAAUAUUUACAUUUGCCAUUAAAUACAAUUCAUACAAAUAGUAUGAGCGAAAUCUACUUUUUUUUUCUAGUUAUCAAUUUCUCUAUAAAUGCACAUAUUCUGCAGCACCCUUGAUUUGUAAGCUAUGUCGAUAUGGCUCAUUGAAGCAGAUAUUGUAAUCAAACUUGUAAUUUUCUGUUAAAUCUUUGAAUAGAACUCGAUUUCAUUUUCAAAACUAAUAAUUAUCUGCAUUGGUUAUUUUUAAAAAAAAUACAGAUUGAAGUUGUUACAGGCCCAAUUCACAUAUAUAACCUACAACUUCAACUACUUAAACUGAAUUUAGAUCCAUAGAUAAAAAGUUGGUAUUUGUAUAAACUAUGAAGACUAAGACCGAGGAGAACAUUUCUAGAAAGAGCAAAACAAAAUAGAGAGGUACUCUUCCGAGUAAUUACAAGUAAACCUAUCCAAAUGAUAGAAUGAACUACAUUUGGAUGAAAUAAAGAUUAUGAUGCCCCACAUUUUUCAUCCAUGGCGAUCAUCUGCUCGUUUUGCUAAAACUUUGAAUUUAUUAUAUGGUUGGUCCAACCUUGAUUUUAAACCGGGUCACAUCCUUUUCUGAGGCAAAAAAGAAAGAAGACAAAAUGCUCUCUUUUUUGUCAUAUUUAUUCUCUCCUACUUGGGUGUUUACGUGUAUAUAUAAACCUCUUUUCAAUCUCCUUUAUUGACUCUUACCACUUUUCAAUCUCCUUUAUUGACUCUCUCUCUCCCUCUCUCUCUCACUGAGAAAGUUACCAAAGGGUCUUAGGGGAACCUUCGGUGUUCACAUUGCAAUUAGUAGACUGUGCGGCGUUACAUGAUGAUCGUAUGGCCACUCAUGGGUAGAAAUGGGGCCUUCAUGAAAGUUAAGAACUUUUUUAAACAAAAAAUCAAUUCGAAUAGAAUCGCCAUUAAAAUUAAAAUUUGAGAUUUUUUUAGGGAAUUAGCAAAAUUCGUACUUCCAUCAACAAUCCAAGGUGUCUUGAACCGAAGAAAAUGCAAUCUUUUGUAAGAUAAAAACCUAUUUUUGCAAUAUUUCACCAAGAAAAAAUGUCCAUUGCUUCAAAAGUAUUUUAGUAGGAUUUUGUAUGUCCAACAGUUAUAGAAAUAGAUGAGUUCAUGCAUAAAACAUGGCGACACAAGGAUGCUCAUGUCGCGAUAUAUUAUUUGCACGAUAAAUGGAUAAUUGUAGAAAGGGAGGGGUAGCUGUUAUUGGAGUAUGGGAUUGGUAAGAUUAUAAUGAUAUAGAGAAACAAUAAUGACAUAUUGAUGCAUGUUUUCAUUUUGUUGACUUUGUGAAUAAGAUAUGUCAUUUAUCUAUCGUUACACCCCAACUCUAUUAAAUAAGGAAAACGACACUACCAUGGUCUUGCUCAAAGGACGCAACUUCAAAUUAUCAAAAUAUAUAUUCGUCUAUACACUUGAUAAAUAGUGGGUUGGUUACAAAAUCAAGAGUUUUGAAAUUUAUUAAAAAGAAAAAAAGUGUAAGUGUAUCUCCAAACUCAAUUAAACCCUACAAAUAUCAUCCCAAAUAUAUACAAGUAUCUAAACUCACAUCCAAAUCCAACCGUAAAAUUUUUUUCGCCAAUAAUGCUCACUUCCUACUUUAGCUGACGUUAAAAAGAUUUAGAAUGAAUAGUGUGAGUAACCAUAGCUUAGUGACUAAUCGAAAUCUCUCCUAAGCAAAUCAAGCAUCUGCUAUGAUAAAGCAAUACCAAAGAUUCAUUUAUCCAAAUUCAAUAUAUUAUGUACAAUAGAAUCAAAAUAUGAGUAAUAUCACUAUAAUGCAACUUUAUACUAAUAAAUUAUAUUCAUUCAAAUUUCAAAACCAAAAGGGUAGUCUAUCCGAUUUUAUGCAACAAAUAUGUUUCAAACAUUACUUUUUCAUUUAAAAAAAAAUCAUUUUCUGCAAUGCUUUUCACAACUUAUAAUAUAUCAAAUCCCUAUCACUUUCAAGACAUGAGCUUACAAAUUUGUAGAGGAUAACAACCACCCCAAAAUAAAAUGCAAUCGAAAGUUACACCCUUGGAAGAGUCUCCAAGUCCUAUCAAAGUUUAUCUAAAUGUCAAACUUACAUGUCAACUAACCUCGACUAAAACUUUAGUAGGCAAUACCAUAUUCUUGAGUCAAAUCGUCCACUUGACGAAAGACCUUUGAACAAUUACUUUACAAAUAGAGUCGACUGCAUCUUAAAACUCCAAUUCAAGCGAGCUUAUUUUCAAUAGAAAACUCUUUCGAAUUACUAAGAGAUCAUAAAGCCAAAAGAUGGUCGGAGAAGGGUGAAAUUCAUUGCCAAACAUAGUAAUUUGAAAACUGUUUUUAGCAAUGUGCAAAAUUUUAAAAAUUUAUCCCAAUCAAAUCAUAAACAUAUAUUGAUUUUCCUAAAGUCCUAUUAUGCAAUACCCUAAAAUUUCUUUACAACAUAAUUUCAUAGCUUAAUAAUCUCUAGAAUCGACCUCGCAACAUAAAAUCCAUACAAAACCUAAUUUACAAUUUAAUUACGAAAACUCCUUCAAUUAGGUAAAUAAAAGUUUUCGAAUCCUUACCGAUUGUCAAGAAACAUAAUUAAUCUGGUGCAUACAGCAAGAGGCCCCUUUUGUCUCCUCUGUCUUUUUCUCGGUUUCUCCGGGCUCUGCUUUCCUUCUCUCUCUCUCUCUCUCUCUCUCUCUCUCCCUCUUUUUCGUGUUCUUCUUGGCAGACUCUGUUUUCAUCUUUUUCUCUCUUUUCGCUCUAGUGAUUCGGUUUACCACGGCAUCAACUGAGGCAAGACCAAAGAAAGGACUUUAACGAGACACUUGGGCUUGGGCUUACUGAUUUGCUCUUGGUUAUUAUUUUUUGCCAGCCCGGUUAUUGGAAUUUUAUUCUUGCCCAUGAAUCUUCCAGGUUAUUACGUAUUGAUGUAUCUAUGCGGACACACUGCCGAGAAAAGGGGAAGGAGAAUAAGGAGAAUUCAAUCAGCACCGAACAGUCUUUUUUUUCUGACACAAGAAAAAUUAAAUAGGAAAGUUCAAAGGCCUUCUUCCUCCCCGCCAGUGGUGGGUUGAAGCAGGGACAUCGUUCGUGGUUCUUUUAUGCAGAAUAAUAUUUUAAGGGUGAACUUCGACGCAUAAUUGAUUCUGGUUAUUUUAUGGAAGAGACAACUUUGAUCGGAGAGUGGGUUCUGGAAGUUCGCCCUUCCAUAAAAGAACCACGGACGAUGUCCCUACCUUCACCCCACCCGGCGCCAUGGAUUUUACCUCCAUCGUCUCUAUCCUGAUCAACUUACUCCAAGUGAAAUACCAGGGGAAGUCACCCUUUGAAACCCACGCCAUCGCCAUUGGUGUUGCCAUCUGCAGCCUGCUCCUGCUCCUGCAUUUUCUGUUGCUGCAUCUCGCUAAUCGGGCACUCCCGUCUAGCGGCCGCGCUCCUGCUUGUGAUGGAGCAUCAUCGCACCUCCUCAUCGACUUCACUGGUUCAAUAUCGGUAGUUCGCUCGCACCUCCUCAUCGACUUCACUGGUUCAAUAUCGGUAGUUCGCUCGCGUGGUUGCUGUUCCACGACUCCUCCCACUCUGUCCCCUGGUUGUUCAUGCUGCUCCUGUUGCUUUCCGUGAGUCUGUUGCGCGGCCUCUUUCAAAAACUUUGGCUUUGGUUUUACGACAAGAUCUUUGCCAUGAUUUUCCGUGUGGCGCCAUCUGGUCUAUGGCAUGGUGGAAGAGCGCAGCCACAUCUGCCGCGCCCGGGCGUGGAUCUGCGUUUAUUGCUGGAAGUCUGAGCGCCCUAGUUGUUCGACUGACUGUUCCCUGCCUGCUUGGAUAAAGUAAUCUAACCACUUUAAAACGAAAGAAUAAGUACUUUAGGAAGCUAGCUAGUUUUGUUUAGGAGGCGCUUUGGGCUUGUUGCAACUAUAUCUGAAUCCAUAAGAGAAUCGCAAGCCUUUGGCAGGGAAAGUAAAAACCAAUUGUUAUUGAAGAGAUCAAAGACGACCUCAACAGUUGUUACCAAGGGAAGAAUAGUCGUUUCUAUAGCCAUAUAAGGGGUAGUAAUUGUUCUUGAGGUUAAAGCUUCUGACCUCCUUUAAAGCAUUGCUAAGUGUUGCAGAUUUCCUUCUAUUUUUGGUGUAUCUCUUUGUAGCUUUCUGUCUGGCCAGUGGAUCCAUAUGUGUCAUUUUAUGUUCUUUGCUGGUGUACUAUGGUUUUGCUCGUAUAUCCAUAUGAACUGGGAUAAAUAGAUGCCUUGGCAACGUGGGCACAGCUACAAUUUUCAAAGCUUUGAUCUAACACUAACACCAUUGAGUAAUCCAAAUCAAAAUGAAAGAUGUCAGCUUUCUCAUCUCUCUUGCAUAUACACCGUUACUGCUUCCUAGCUAUUCCGAUGAUAAUAUAGUUGUAGUUUCUCAUUGCAGAAUGUGGGAAUUGUUACAUCAUAGUCUCUAUUUGACCUCCAAGAGGUGACAACUAGAUCUUUGCUGUGGCAAAUGCGUUAACUUGCAAUCUAAGACUAUGUUGUCUCGCUGUGGAUUGGUUUUUGGCCAGGAGCUUGAAUUGUUGCUUCAGUUGGACACUCAAGUUUCUGGGGCCAAGGUGAGAAAAGAAUGCUGAAAUGUAGAGUUUUUUCGGCUGGCUUUAGCUCAAGAUUACUUAAUUCUGGUUGACUGUAGAUGUUAGAACCGAACUUUUCCCACUCUUCAUGUGCUAAAGAAUUUACACUUCAUGUAUGCAAAGCUAGAUAGGUAGUAUGCAGAUGCACGAGACAAGUCUGUAUAAACUACACCCAUCUUAUGUUGGUAUCUGAGGAAAUAAUUAGACCGGCAAGCUUCCUGCCAAGUUGAUUCACUAUCAAAUUAUGCAUUCCAGUGUCAACAAUUCAUUUCAUUACAGAGAGCACUCAAGUCUGGCACUUAAAUAAUAUGAUAUUCGUCUGCUUUUACUGCAGAAAGCUACAAUCUUGGAUGUCGACUGUGGCAGUGAGUCCAAUCGACUUGCAUGGGAGCAUAAGUUGAAACAUCAAACAGAAAGGAAAUUCUUUUUGUCUUGGUAAGUGCCUGCCAAACCCUGCAACUAAAUGCAAUAUUUUCAUGGAGUUCAGAGUAGCAGGGUCUUCAGGUACUUACACUAUUCCAGCAACCUGUAUUAAAAAAAUGUUUGGUAUUGGAGCAUUUUCUCUUGAUUAUUACUUAUUGUGGAGGAUGAGUCUAUAUAUAUGAUGUUAAAAAGGAACAUGGCUAUUCACCACAUCACAUGGUAUUGUAUCCAUUUGUUGCCUAAAGUCUGUUUAGUAAGAUAGCACUUGUGAUGAAAGUGCACGGUAGGUGAUACACAUUUGAUAUGAGUAAUCAAUGGAUAGGGGCAUUCAUUGCAGACAUAGGCACCCAGAUUCAGGUUCCUUAUCUUCUCACAAAGGUCACAAUAGUACUCACUGGUAUCAUCUUUGAUGAACGAAGCUUAAAGUGUGAGUUGAUGAAAGUUAAUGGCAAUCUUUUACUGUAGUGGAAGGCAAUCUGUGAUGACUGAGAUUGCACUGCACACAACCAUAAAAGUUGAACCUGCAAAUUUUACCAGAGACACUGCAUAGGAAGCACAGUUCUGUAGACUAAAAUAAGAAAGAGUAUAAAAUGCUCGUGGAGGUGAUUUUUCAAAGUGGGCCUUUCAAAAGUGCAUGAAAUGUUGAAGUCGUAGUCACAUUCCAUGCAGUGAAAGACAGAGCGUCAACGCUCUUCACGACGUAUGUCAACUACUCUCCUUCCUAGUAUGAGAAGAAAAAGGAUGCGUGGCGUGAACAGUUUGUUGCAUAACUGAGGGCAAUUCAGCACGUGAUUAGAAAAGAGCAGCUCUGCUCCAGCCAGCGAUAGGUUAAACGUCUGAUGGAUUCAUCACAAGCCUUGCAUGGACCAUCCUUCAAAUGACAGUUCCAGCAGCAGAGGACGAUCGUGCAGGGAUGAAGAGGCAAUUAAGACAACCAUAGACCUCACCUGGUAUGUUCUCCACAAGCUUUGCACCUGAUUCUGCUUUCUAGUUUCAUGUAGAAGACCAGUGAAUGCUGAUGGUCAAAAUUGUAGAAAACCAAGUCCUUCUUGCCCUCUAGGUCUUGUGAACAUAGAGUUAAAGCCGCGCAGUCCAUGUUGAGGCUGAAUUUGCAUUCACUGCAGUAGGAAACCAUGGCAGGUGUUACAUUUAGCUCCUCCAAUUGAUUGAAAGCAAAAGAGAGAGAGGGUGAUCAUGGAGAGACAGGUGUUGCAUCUCUGGGGAAAAUUCGGUGCAGCUUUUGUGGAGAAAGAAUAUGCAUGCAUAGCAUCCAUAGACCUCCCCCAAUAUUGCUUGCUCACAGGCUUUGCAUUUGAUUCUAUUUUUCGUCCCGAGAUGAUGGGAUGUGGGCGGAUGCUCAUGAGCAUUUGUUGGAUGGCCACAUUCUGAGAGUCCUCAUUGGGAGGACAGGCAAUCUUGGGCUGUGCACUAAGAAUUGAUGGAUCCGACUGUUAAGAGAAGGUUGUCAAAUAUAUAUAUAUCAAUCGCACGUAUUUCCUUGUGACCAAGUUUGUUAGGAAUAUGGAUGAGCCUCGAUAAGCCAUUCCCUCUUGGGUCCAUCCAUCGAUCACCUCUUACUUCUACCACAUUAGACUUAGUGUUCCACACAAUGAGUGACUAAGUUUGUCAGGAAAUAAAAUGAUAGCACAGCUUCAAGAUGAGUAUUUAUAGAUACGUCUUAGUGAUUUUAGAGCGCUCAAAAUGAGCAAUUUCUCAAGAACAGAUCAGAGAAAGCAUAUAACCUUGGAGCAUAAUCACAUAUGUCAUUAUCUGAAGAGCUAAAGAGAAAUAUGCAAUGUGAUUUGAGGAUUGAACCUAUGAUUUAGAUGCAGAUGGUAAUAAAUUCUUCUCUGGACUCUGAAGGUUAGCCAUUUUGUAUGAGAUAUGCAGGAUUGCAGGUAUCAUAAAGCAAAUCAAAUUAUGUUAGCAAAAAAGUUGGUACCGUCAUCUCCAAUGAAAGCAAAAUGUGUGAUAAAUGUUGUUGGCCAUGAAAACUGGAAGGAGCAAUAGAUGAUUCAUCUUCAGUCAAAGCAUGUGUCACAGAGAACAGCAUCUUUCUCUUCUUGGUUGACCAUUCUUCCUUGUCGGGCAAUUGUUUCUAUCUACUUCAUCAAUUAUGUAUGCUAUCCUUUAAUCCAUAGGAACUUCUCAUCAGUUGCAGGGUUUGGUUGCCCAAAAUCGGCUUGGCUUCGCCAAAACUCCUCUUCUCUAGAAGCCUGGCUGGCAUGGCAUCCCACUGGCAGUAGGGUGGUCAACCUUGCCUCGGCUUCGUGACAUGCUAUCUUUCCCCUCUGCAUUCCAUAGUCAAGGGUGAGUCCCAAGUGUCAGUUUGUGGAUAGCGGUCUCACACACAAAUCCCUACAGAUUCCUCUAGGUAGUCCAAAUUAUAUCUAAUUUAUUUUGAUGUGGUUCGUUCAUCAUUUGAUUUGACCUUGGAAGUUGGUUUUCUUCUUAUUUAUUUACAAGCCUAAAUGCUUAUUGUAAAAAACGAUUCCCAGGAGAGUAUCAUGAUAAUAAGUCAAAUAAUGAAGCUAAGUAGGUGAUCGACUCGAUAAAUUAAGAUGGCAGCACUGUCAAAUGCUUCUGCUAAUUUGGUGGCAGAUACUUAAAAUUGUUACCGACAAUGGAAGGGCAAAUGUUAUUGAAAAGACCAAAAAUACUUUGACAAUUAUUACGAGUAGAAUGGGGAGAUGUUUCAUUGGUUGUUUCAAGGUUACCUAAGAUCCUACUAGACCAAAAUACUUGGAAGUUUUUUCUUUACUGAAGAGAGAAAAAGAGGGAUGUUCAUGAAAAAUGGCACUUUUACUAGCACUUUCAGAUAGCAGCACCUUAUUAUCACAUUGCCACAUGUCAAACGUUGUCAUAUGGUCGUUACUAGUUGCCAAAAUAAAGUCAAAAUUGUUCUUGAGGUUAAAGCUUCUGAAUUCUUUGAAAAUAUCGCAAGUGUCACAGUUUUGCUUUUAUUUUUCUGGCAAAUCUCUUCGUGACUUUCUGCUUGGCCAGUGGAUCUAUAUGUGUUAUUUUACAGACUCUUUGCUGUUAUACGAUGGUUUUGCUCAUUUAUCCAUAUGAACUAGGAUAAAUAGAUGCCUUGGAGACAGGAGCACUGCUGCAAUAUCAGAGCUUUCUUCUAUCAUCAUAGAGUUAGAAGAAUCAAAAUGAACAAUGUCAGUUUUUUCAUCUCUGUCCCGUAUGCACGGGUAAUGCUUACUAACUAUUCUGAUGAUAACAAUUUUUGAGUAUGUGAUUGCAAAACGACACAGUGGUUACAUCAUUUAGUCAGCAUUUUACCUCUGAGAGGUGACAACUAGAUUUUUGUCGCCGCAAAUGUAUCAACUUGCUUCAGCAAAUAAGAUUUAUAAAGACAAACUUCUUCAGUGGUGUAUCCCACGUGUCCGGAAGCUCUUGGAUCUGAAUAAUGCAAUGACUAUGUUGUCUCCCAGGCUAAAUUGGUUUUCGGCCAGGAGCAUGAAUUGUUGCUUCAGUGGGAGAUUCAAUUUAGGGCCAAGGUGCGAAAAGAACGCUUGAUUUCUUUUUUUGGGAGGCUUUAGUUCAACAUAGCUGAAUUUUGGUAGACUGCAGAUGUUAGGUCCACACUUUUCCCAUCUUCAUGUGCUAGAAAAGAAUUUACAGUUAAUGAAUGCAAAGCUCGAUAGAUAGUAUGCAAAAGCUUGUGGCUAGUCUGCACAAACUACAUAAACCUUAUAUUCAUUUUCAAGGAAUUAACAAGACCGGCAAGCUUCCUAACAAAUUUAUUCAUAAUCAAAUUAUGCAUCCCAAUGUUAAUACUCCUAUUCAUAACACAGAGCACACAAGUCUUACACUCAAAAAUAUGAUAUUUAUCUGCUUUUGCUCAGAAGAUAACAAUAUCGGAUGUCAAGUGUUGGCAGGGAUUCCAAUUGACUUGCGUAAGAGCAUAAGUUGAAACAUCAAACAAAAAGGCGGUCUUCUGCCUCCCCAAUUCUUUCCAUCUGGAUAAGAGCCUCCCCAACUCUUCAACUACAUGCACUUUGCUUGCAGCUUUUUGAGACCAGCAUUGCAGGUCUUCUUUUGAGUACCUCCUAUUGUGGGCUCAUUCUGUCCACUUUUUCCUGCAGAAAUAAAUCUAGUUCAGCAAAAUCGAGGCUUCAGGUACUUCCAUUACUUUAAAAAAAAAUUGGUAUUGCCAUAUUUUCUGUUGAUUGUAACUUAUUGUGGAGAUUGAGUCUGUAUAUGAUAUAACAAAAGAAAAAAGAACAGGGCUAUUCACCACAUCACAUGGCAGCAUCUCGUUGCCAUAUAUACGUUAAAGUUUAGUGAGAGAGUAUUUCUGUGAUGAAACCAAACCGUGGGUAAAACGUAUUUGAUAUGAGUAAUCAAUGGACAAGGGCAUUCAUCAGAGACGGAAUCACCCAGUUUCAGGUCCGUUUCUCUCAAAGAUUACAAUAGUACUCACCAGCAUCGUCUUCAAUGAACAUAGCGUAGAGUGAAUUGAUGGAGAUGAUGGCGAUCUUUAUUGUUGGUGUUAACCAUGGAAGGCAAUCAUUGUUGACAUAAAGAUUGCAUUGCACAAGAACGUGAAAGUCGAAUGUGCAAAAUUUACCAGACACUGCAUAGGAAGCAUGGGUCGGUAGCUCUAAUAAAAGAAAGAGUAUAUGCUUGGGUAGGUGAUGUUUCAAAGUGGGCCUUUCAAAAGUGCAUGGAAUGUUGAAGUCGAAGUCGCAUUCUGCGUAGCGAAUGACAGCGUCGAUGCUCUUCACGACAUGCGUCAGUGAGCCUUCCUUCUUGAUACGGGAAGAAGUGGGUGUGCCAGGGUGAACAGGGCGUUGCAUAACUGAGGGCAAUUCAGCACAUGAUUUACGGAGCAGAAAAGAGCAGCUCGGCUCCAGGCAGGCAUGGGCUAAACCUUUAACAUAUUAAUCACGAGCCUCGCUCGCACCAUCCUUCAUUCGACCCAGCUCCAGCGGCAGCGGAUGAUAGUGAAUUGGAGAAGAGGCAAUCCAGACAAGCAUAGAACCCACCUAGUAUGCUGCUCUAUUCUCAGCUUUACACCCAGAUUCUGGUUUCAAGCUUCACGUGGAAGGACACCAGUAGAUGCUGAUGGGCGAAAUGAUUAAUAAAAAAUAAUAAAAAAAACUGAGCCUUUCUUGCCCUCCAGAUCUUGUGAACAUAGAGUUAUAGCCACGUAGUCCACGUCAAUGCUGAAAUUGCAUUCGCUGGAGGGGCAAACCAGAAGGCAGACAUUACAUUGGAGGUUUGCCGAUUGAUCGAAAGCAAGAAAAAGGGUUGAUUAUGGAGAGAGAUGCGUCGCUUCUCUGGGGUCGAUUCGGUGCAGCUCUCGUGAACUAAGAGUAUGCACCGUGUAGCAUCCCUAGACCUCCUCGCAGGCUUUGCAUUUGAUUCUACUCUUCGUCCCAAAAUGGAGGGACGGGAGCAGACGCUAAUGAGCAAAUUGCAGGAUGGAUUCUCAGAAUCCUCAUCAAGCUUCCUCAUCAAGCUUAGUUGUGAUUAGGCAGAAGCGGUAUCCGGCCGUGCACUAAUGCUCAAUCGUCCGAAUGGCAAGAAGGAAGCCUGCUCACACGCAUGGCAACUCCGAUGAUCCUCCUCAUCGUUGGCAGCUGGGCAGUCAAGGCGGGGCAGCGGGUGAGACAGGUGUCCUAGUGUGGACAGCAUGCUAAAUUCGGCAUGACUCGUAAAAGAAGAAACGACACGAUUCACAGUGGUGAGCCGAGCUGCGGAUUGGAGAUCAGCACGCAUGACAUUCCAAGCAAGUACAGGCUUCUUCGCUCAGGUUUCGCAGAUUCAAUACAUGAUCACCAAGGCAAAUUAGGAAAUAAAAAUGCGUUUUGAAUGGAGUUAUAGUUGUUAUCAACACGAAGUAAAUGUGGCGAAAUUAAUUGAGUUAAUGCUUUAAAAAACCCCAAAUUGAUACGUCUAUGACAAAUUUAUGCUAAAAUAAUUUUUUGAUCAUAAAAAACUUCAAACUAGUAUACAUUUGAUAAAUUUACCUCAAAUUUGUAUAUUUGUGAUAAAUUUACCCUAUGUUAGUUUCCGUUAAAUUUUACUAUCGAAUUACUAAAUUAAAGGACACGUGAAAGUUGACUGGUGUAUCGAUUUGGAAUUUUAUUCUCCAUUUUUCACAGUUAUAUAAUUUUUGUAAUUUUUUGUGGUAUUAAUCCAAUUUAACAUAGGAUAUAUUUAUCACAAAUGUAUCAGUUUUAGGUUUUUGGCGAUCAAAUAAGUUAAUUUAGAAUAAAUUUGUCACAGGUGUACCAGUUUAGAAUUUUUCAUGGUCAAAAAAUUAAUUUAAGAUAAAUUUGUUAUACGUGUAUCAGUUUGGAGUUUUUCAGGAUAUUAACCCAAAUUAAUUUUACCCCACUCCCACAUCAUUUGAUGUUGUGUUUCAGUGCUAAUUUGUACAAUUAUUUUUUUUAAUGCUUUAAUUCAAUGGUUAACGAAACUAAAGUAGCCCAUGAAAAGUUUCAUAUCUUGUUCAUUUAAAGUCAGUUGCAAUCUAACCAAAAAAUAAAAAUCAGCCACAACUGUUAUGAAAUACAUGAAUGAAUAGAAUACAUAAAUAAAUAUUCAUUAUAUUCAUCUUAUUUAAUGUACUUAUUAUGGUACAUUUGUAUCAUAUAUUCUAAGUACAUCUCUCUAUACAAUGAAUGUCCAUCUCCUUUAUCCAGUACAUGUAUCAUUCGAUACAUUGAUAUUAAUGAUAAGUACAUUUUUGUUUUUCUAUAAAUAGGAGUUUAGUUUUUAUGUACAAUACACAAUCACACAGAAACACAACAGUGAGAUACUAGAAAUAAAGCUCUCUCAUCUUGCUACUAUCUCUAGUGUUCACUUGCUUUCUCUUCUUUAAUCUCUUCUCUAUUAUACAUUCACCACGCGAUAUUUUACAACAACAACUAUAAUUUAAUUUUCCAUAAAUUAACCAAUAAAUAAAACUCCAAACAUUGGUUAAGAUCAUAAAGGUGCAUCACCUUGGGCUAGUCUAUACAUUUAUUAGAAAUUCUUAUCCAACUUACUAUGAAUGCUACUUACUUAACACAAUAUUGCGAUAUGACUUUUUUAUAAAUUACUAAAGUGGAAUUAACUUGACAUGACUUUAUAGUUUAUAAAACUAAAUUCACCUUAUAUGUAAAAGUAACCCUUACAUAUGCUGGGUCAUGUCCUUUUUCUGAGGCAAAAAAAAAAAAAAAAAAUUCUCUCUCUCUCUAUGAGAGAGUUUCCAAAGGGUCUCAAGGGAGGCUUCGAUGUUCCCGCAAAUAUGGUUGGAUCAUGCGGUAUUACAUGAUAAUCCUAUGUCUAAUCGUGGGCAGAAAUGGGACCAUGAAAGUUGGGGAUUUUUUUUAUAAAAAAAAAAACCAUUUUUGGCAAAAUUAAGAUUUUCCUGAAGUUUUGCUCUGCGACACUUUAAAUUUUCUUUACAACAUUAUUUCACAGUUUAAAAACCUCUAGAAUCAGCCCAACAACAUAAAAUCCAUACAAAACCUAAUUUACAGUUUAACUAAGAAAACUUCUUCAAUUAGAUAAAUAAAAGUUUAAAAUCCUUAUCGAUUACUAAGAAAUAUAAAUAAUCCGGCUUGACCCAGCCUCUCAAACGUGCAUGUAGCGAGAGCCCCUCGUCUCAUCUUUGUCUUUUUGUCUGUUUCUCCGGAUUCUGGUUUCCUCCGUUUUUUGGGUUCUUCUAUCUGCACUCGUAAUUCCUUUGCAAUGGCGUCAACUGAACCAAGACCAAGGAAAGUGCUAAACGAGACACUUGGGCUUCUGCUUAAUGUUUUGCUCUUUUGAUAUGUGUUAACAAGUAGCACCCAAAUUUGGGUCCCUUAUCUUCUCACAAAGGUCACAAAAGAACUCACUGGUAUCAUCUUCGAUGAACGAAGCAUAAAGUGUGAGUUGAUGGAAGUUAAUGGCAAUCUUUAGUGUAGUUGAAGGCAAUCUGUGAUGAUUAAGGUUGCAAUGCACACAAUUGUAAAAGUCAAACCUGCAAAAUUUACUACAGACACUGCAUAGGAAGCACAGUUCGGAAGAUCUAAAUUAAGAAAGAGUACAUGCUCGUGCAGGUGAUGUUUCAAAGUGGGCCUUUCAAAAGUGCAUGGAAUGUUGAAGUCAUAGUCACUGUCCAUGCAGCGAAAGACAGAGCGUCAACACUCUUCACGGCAUAUGUCAACACCGCUCCUUCCUGAUGCAAGAAAAAAAAGACGUGCGGGGUGAACAGGUUGUUGCAUGAGUGAGGGCGAUUCAGCACAUGAUUUAUGGAGCAAAAAAGAGCAGCCCUGGUUCAGCCAGCGAUAGAUGCACGCACUACGAGCCUUGCACGCACCAUCCUUCAUAUGACGGUUCCAGCAGCAGAGGAUGACCGGGCAGAGGAGAAAGAAGAGGCAAUCAAGCCAACCAUGGACCUCACCUGGUAUGUUACUUUCACAAGCUUUGCACCUGAUUCUGCUUUCGAGCUUCGUGAGGAAGACCAGUGGAUGCUGAUGGUCGAAGUGGUAGAAAACCGAGUCCUUCUUGCCAUCCAGAUCUUGCGAACAUCGAGUUAAUGCUGUGUCCAUGUCAAGGCUGAAUUUUGUAAUCGCUACAGUAGGAGACCAUGGUAAGCAUUAGAGUGUCAAAAUGGGUCCAUCACCCAUUUUUUGACUCAUAUUCUGAGAAGUGGGUCAUACAAGUUAUUCAAACUUUUAAGGGCCAGGCCUAAAUGGAUUUAAAAAGACUCAAAGUUUGGCGGGACGACAAAAUUUGGGUCCUCGACGGUGGCAUUGUGGGGCUGGGACAGAGGUGAGACUGUAUCGACUGAGUUGGACAUGCAACGAGGUAGAGUUCAUCUUCCUUCUCUCAACACAGCAACUGGUUGAUGGUCAGGCCUCCAAUCAAUGUGAACAACACCACCUUGUUUCUCUCCUGUCCUUGUGCUUCUAGAUCUACUCCGCUUCUCUGCACGCUUUGCACUUCUAGAUCUUCCUUCACUUCUCAGUCUCUGUAUUGUGUUAAGAGAGAGCCUUGAGGUCGAACUAUUAUUGAGAAUUAAAGAGGUAGCUCGUUCAUUUGAGACCCAAUUUGUCUCAAGCCCAAUUUGUCUCAAGCCCCAAUUCUAAGCCCAAUAAAAAACUGCCGAUGGGCUGUUCUUUGUUAUCGAUAUGGCCGAAAUUACCCCCAAAAAGAAAAAUAUAUAUAUGUCAGCAAAGCGAGUUGGGUUGGGUUGGGUUACGUUGGGUUGGAUCCAGUGGAGGUUGAAUAUGGGUUUGGAAGCGCACUGGUUGAUGAGAGCAAGGAUAUUGCUUGUCAUCGAGUAAGAUUCGUCAUCCUUCACCUCGUAAAAAUAUCAAAAAAUAGCGAUCCACGUAGAAAAUUAGAAAGAGUAAAGCAAAUAUAGGAAAACAAAAAUUAAUUAUACGUAUAUGCAUCGUAAAUAAUGGCUACUAAUGAGCUUUAAAUGAGUGGAUAUGAAUUUUCAUAGAUUUAGUUAAAUAUAGACGUGCUUUAAUAAUUUAGGUAUAGGUCAAGUUUGGGUCACUGGAUUUAUACUGCAUGUAAAUGAGUCAAAACGGAUUAAAUGGGUCGAUUUGAAUCGAACCAUUUUUUGACUCCCAACCUACCUAUUUGACAGCCCUGGUAAGCAUUACAUUUAGCUCCUCCAAUUAAUCAAAAGCGAGAGAGAGAGGGUGAUCAUGGAGACGAGUGUUGCUUCUCUAUGGAAGACUCGGUGCAGCUUUUGUGGAGAAAGAAUAUGCACGCAUGGCAUCCAUAGACUUGCCCCAAGAUCGCUUGUUCGUAGGUUUUGCAGCUCUUGAGCAUUUGUUGGAUGGUCACAUUCUGAGAAUCCUCAUCGGGGCUUAGUUGUGGCAAGGCAGAUGAAGCUAUAUUGGGCUGUGCAAUAACAAUCGACGUGUCCAAAUGACGAGAAAAUUUUCAUAUAUAAAAGCGAAAUAUUGAUUGGAAUGUACAUUACUAGAUUGGUGAGGUCACGUAUUUUCUUGUGUCAUGACAAGUUUGUUAGCCAUCGCCUAAGACCCACCACUGGCGAAAGGAAACAAAAGCUAAAAAAAAAAAAGGAAAAAAAAGGAAAAAAAAAGGAUGAAAAAUUCAAAAAUAAAAUAAAAUGUUGUCAACAUUAGCGCCAGUACGCCACAGGACGACUAGUUGGGACUAGCGUUUUCCAAUCAAAAUUGACUGAAAAGAUUAUUUGAUAAAUUGUCUUAAGUUUGAGGACUAAAUAAGUAAAAUUGAAAGGUUUAGAAUUAUUAUUAUUAUUAUUAUUUUGCCUAUAAAGUUUAGGGUUGAAUUAGUACAAGUGUAAUAGAUUUAGAAUUUUUUGGGAUUUUUCCUAAAAAAAAUGGAGGAAAGUAUCAUUCGGAAAUAAUUUGUAACGACAAUGACCUAGUUAAUGUAAUUUCUUUGUAACAAGACUUUUAGAGUGCGUUUGGCAACGUUUCUGUUCAAAAAUUGUUUCAGGGAACAGAAAUAGAAAAAACUAUUUCUAUUCCGGCGAACAAUUUUUGACCAGAAAGAUGCGUUUGGUAAACUUGUUCCGGGAAUAAAAAAUGAAUAGAAAUACGUUUGGUAAAUUUAUAUUCUUUUUUUUUUCUUUUAAAUUUUUAAUAUUUUUAUUUUAUUUUUUUUCUUUUUUCCUUUCUUUUUUUCUUCUUUUGGCCGAUUGCCGGCCUCCGGUGAUCGGCAGACGGGGGCUGACAGUCGAGCCUCGCCUUGGCUGGGCGAGCUCGGGCUCGCCUAGAUCCGGCGAGGCUUGGCCUGGCCGGUGGCUGGGCGAGCUUGGCCUCGUCCGGAUCCGACGAGGCCGAGCGUCGCCGGCCCCCGGCGUGGCUCAGCCUCGCCGAAUCUGGGCGAGCUCGAGCUCGCCAUGCUGGCGAGGCUCGGCCUCGCCGGAUCUAGGCGAGCUCGAGCUCACCUAGCCAUGGCGAGGCUUGGCCUCGCGAAUUUGGGCAAGCCCGAGCUCACCCAGCCAUGGCGAGGCUCGACCUCGCCGAAUCUGGGCGAGGCCAAGCUCGCCCAGCCAAGGCAAGGCCGAGCCUCGCCCCGGCCCCUCUCGGCCAUGCCGGAUUUGGGUGAGCUCGAGAGGCGAGGCCGAGCCUCGCUAGGGGCCGGCGACGCUCCGGCGAGGUCACCGACCCUCGCUGGCCAUGGCCGAGGCCCGCGACCGGCCAAAGAAGAAAAGAAGAAGAAAAGAGAAGAGAGAGAAAAAAUGUUCUUCAAAAGUGUUUCUGGAACAAAAAUAUAAUUUUUUUUUGUUUCUCAUUUCCGUUCCAAUUUUGUUCCGAGAACAAAAAAACAGAUUUUGAACAAAAACACAAACAAACGCGUUUCUAUUCUUUUUUUGUUCCCGAAAACAAAAAAAAAAAACAAAAUUUUUGUUCAUAAACAAUAAAAAAGAACAUUACCAUGCAGGGCCUUAGUCAUCAGAUGUUUCCACUUAUGCCCUUCUCGUUCCUUCCCUUUUUCACUAAUUUCUCAUCAGUCAAUCAAUCGUUGUCCCUUUCACAUGCCCUUUCCCAAUCUCUCUCCUCGUUAAAAGUUUCCACAAAUAUUCCUCCUUAAUAACUUUUUUUUCCUCUUUCUCAAAAAGAUGACAUUUGUAUAUUCCUUAUGCUAAAAUUCAAAUACAUUAUACUAAUCAGGGUCUAACCCUCAUUUGAACCGGGUCAAAUACUUUUUUUGGGAAGAAAGAAGAAGGAGAUAGAAUUCUUUUUUUUUUUAUGUCAUAUUUAUUCUCUCCCGCUAGACCUCUCUUCAACAACUUCUCAGUUUUCUUUAGUCUCCUUUCGAUUCCAUCUCUCUCUCUGAGAGUAAGUUUCCAAGAGGCUUCGAUGUUAACGUUGCAAUGGGACCAUGAGGAGUCACGUGAUGACCCAUACCAUAUGGAUAUAUGUGGGACCGUAGUGAAAGUUGGGACAAAAAAAGUUCAAAAUAGAACUGAAAUUGAAAUUAAAGUUGGAUUUUUUUUUUUUAGGGAAUUAACCCAUAAAAAUUCAUGAUUCCAUCAACAGUCCAAGAUAUCUCAAAUCAAAGAAAAUGCGAUCUCUUAUCAAGAUGGGAACCUAUUUUCAUAAUAUUUCACCAAAAAAGGAAAUGUUCAACUGCUUUGAAAGUAUUUUGACAGGAUUUAGUACAUCCAACAAUUACAAAAAUAGGUGCGUUCGUGCUUAAAAUAUGUUGCACUAUAGAUGUGUAUUUAAAGAAAGGGAUGAGUAGCUAUAUUGAAAUGGAGAAACAAUAACUAUAUAUUACUGGAUGUUUUUAUUUUGUUGAUUUUGUGAAUAAGACCUGUCAUUGACAUUUGUCAUCCCCCAGCUCUAUAAAAAUAGGGAAAACAACAUCAAGGUCCUCCUGCCUAGAAAAGAUAGCCUUAAACAUAAACCAACGUAAACAUGUUAUCAAAAUAUGUCUUCAUCUAUAUACUUGAUAUAAAGGUGAGUAGGUUACAAAAUCAAGAUUCUGAAAUUCAUCAAAAAAGUAAGUGUAUAUAAUAUGUAUUUCCAAACUCAAUUAAACCCUACAAAUAUCAUUUGAGACCUAUACGAGUAUCUAAACUCAUAUCAAAAUCCAACUAUAAAAUUUUAUUGCCGAUAACUCUCACAUCCUACCUUAGUUGAAGAAUUUGAAAAAGAUUUGAUAUAGAUAAUGUGAACAACCAUAAUUCAGUGACUAACACAAAUCUCUUCUAAGCAAAUGGGCAUCCGCCGUGCAUAUUAUAAAGUACUACUACAGACUCAUUUAUCCAAAUCCAAUAUAUAAUGUAUAGUAAAAUCCAAAUAUGAGCGAUAUCACUUCAACUCGGUUUUAUACUGAUCGGAAAUAUUCAUUCAAAUUUCAAAUACCAAAAGGGUAGUAUACACUCCAUCCGGCUUUAUGCGAUAAAUUUGUUUUAAACUGUACUUUUUUGUUUUAGCAAAAUCAUAUCAUGCAAUGCCUUUCUUAACAUAUAAUUUAUUACUUUUAAAACAUGAGUUUUUACAAAUUUAUAGAAUAUCACAACUUACCCUUAACCAAAAUCCAAAUCGAAAGUUACACCAAUCAAAAAGUUUCAAAAUCCUAUUGAAGGCGAUGCCAUAUUCAAACUUACGUGUCAACUAACCUCGACUAAAACUUCAGUAAGUGAUGCCAUAUUCUUAAGUCAAAUCGUUCACUUGAGAAAAGAGCUCUUAACAACUACUUUGCAAACAGAGUCAACCUCAUUUCAGAACUCUAAUUCAAGCGAGCUUACUUUCAACAAAAAAACUCCUUUGAAUUAUUAAGAGACCAUAAAGCCAAAAGAUGGCCCGAGAAGGGCAAAGUCCAUUGCCAAACACAGUAAUUGGGAAAUUGUUUCCAACAGCAUGCAAAAUUUUAAAAAUUUAUCACGACCAAACCAUAAACCUAAAUCAACUUUCAUGAAGUCUUGCUAUGCAACACCCUAAUUUUUUUUUUUUUUACAACAUAAUUUCACAACUUGAAAACCUCUAAAAUCAACCUGGCAACGUAGAAUCCAUACAAAACCUAAUUUAUAGAUUAACUACAAAAACCUAUUCCAUUAGAUAAAUAAAAGUUUCGAAUCCUUACCAAUUGCCAUGAAACAAAUAUAAUCGGGCUUGACCAAGCCUCUCAAAUGUGCAUGCAUUGAGAGUCCCCUUUGACUUGAGAAAAUAUUGGGUAUACUAGGGAGGCUAUCUCAACAAAUCACCAAUCCAUUCAUUGGGUGAUACAUGUCGCGUUAGGCUUAUCUUCCAUUAAUUUUCCCCUUUGACUUGAGAAAUUAUUCCCUCCGACUUAUUAUUCAUGAGGAAAUGAAUGGCAUGAGGAGAAUCACAAAUGCAAUGUGGUCAUAGCAAAACCAAUCGCAUAAUGACAAGUUAACAGGGAACAUGCAAGAGCAAUUUAGCAUAAAUAUUGCAGUACUAUCAACUAGUUUCGGGAAACGAAACACAUUACAGAGAACAUGAAGCAUCCCAGAACGUCUCCUUCUGUUUUGUUGUCUACACUGCAUAAUCUGAAUAAUCAUAAUUUAUGGCUUAAUUACGAAAAUUCCUGCACUUAGAUAAAUAAAAGUUGUUGCUACCAAAUAGAAUUAAUUCGUCUUGUCGAGUUCUCCCAAGCGUGCAUGGAGCGAAAGCCCCCUUUGUUUCCUCUCUCUCUCUCUCUCUUUUUCUCCGUUUCUUUCCUUCUUUUCUUUUUUGUUUUUCUUGGCCAGGCUCUGUUUUCUCUCCUCCGUUCUGCUCUUGUAAUUUCCCUUGCAAUGAAGCAAGACUAAAGAAAGGGCUAAAAUGAAACACUAGGCUUGGGCUUAGGCUUGGGCUUAAUGUUUUGCUCUUAUUUAUUAUUUUUUGCAAGCCCAUUUCUUGCAACUUCAUUGAUGAAGAUAAAUAUUUUAGGUUAUUAUGUACUGAUGGAUCCUAUGUGGCGUGAGGAUAAGGUCACUCAAAAUUAAAGUUGGACAUAUCUCUAUUUAAAGAAAAAUUAUAAAUCUAUUAUAUUUGUGUCAAUUUAAAUUAGUGUCAAUUCAGCCAUUUCGACUAAUUUUAAUUGGAAAUUACUGAUAUGGACAUCAGUUGUCCUAUAUGGCACAUCCAGCCCUAAUAUAGAUAAUUUUUUUUUAUAGUAAUUCAAUUUUUUAUUUUUUAUUAUUAUUAUUUUUUCUUUAUUCUUCCUUGGCCAUUUCCAUUGCGGGUUGGCCUCGCUUGGGUGAGGGUCGUCAUUGCCCACUACAGGCUAGGCUAGGCUAGGCUAGGCUAGGCUAGGCCAAGCGAGAGCGAUCCCAAGCAAGGCCACCUUGGCUUGGGCGAGGUCUUACGAGGGUUAGCCUCACCUAAGCUAGAUUUGGUGAGGCCAGCUUGCUCGGCUAUUGCUUAUCAUCAGCAAAAGAAGGAAGAAAGGAAAAAAUAAAAAAUAAAAAAAUUAGAAAAAAUAAAAAAAUAUUAAAUUAUUAUUAAACGUUUUCCAUGGCCAUCCAUAUCAGUAUCUAGUCAAAAUUAACUAAAAUGACUAAAUUGAUAUAAUUAUAAGAUUUAUGACUAAAUAAAAUUAAAUGCGAUAGGCUUAUGGCUUUUCUCCCUUGUCAAUAUAACCAAAUGAAAAAUAAAUAAAAAAGUUUAAGGCCUUCGUCCUCUCUAUAGUGUGGUGAGGAGUGAGGGUAGGGACAUCAUUUGAUCUUUAUUUUUUCAUGGAAAGUGGCACGGACAUCAAGUUAAUAAUCUUCUUUUGACAUCAAUCUAAUACUCUUUAUUUUGGACGUCCAUUCCAAUCAAGGACAUCCAAAUGCCCCUUUUCCAAGUUUCCUUUUAAAAAUUUUAAGAUGCAACGGGUAUCUUCCUUUAAAGAUAUCCUUAACAUUUUUCAAGCAAGUCGUGGUUUGUUUUUUUUGUUUCUGGAACGAAAUAGGAACAGAAAACAGAAACGAAAAAAAGUCGUUUCUUUUGAAAAGGAACACUUCUUCGAUGGAACAAAAGAACACAAACCCAAGGAACAAAAGAACAAAAUCAGAACAAAGGCGAACUCUUCUCCUUCGUGCGUGCUCGUCGCUCCUCUCGUCUGCUGAAGGCUUCCUUCUUCCCUUUCCGGAGUCUCUUCCCUUCUCUCCGGGGGCUCCCACUCGGCUGACUCUACCGGCGACUCCUCACUACCGGCAAUUCACGGUACGUUUCUAGGUGGUCCUCCUUCUCCGGGUAGCUUUGCUCCCCCUUCGGGNNNNNNNNNNNNNNNNNNNNNNNNNNNNNNNNNNNNNNNNNNNNNNNNNNNNNNNNNNNNNNNNNNNNNNNNNNNNNNNNNNNNNNNNNNNNNNNNNNNNGAUCAACUAUGAGCACAACCCUAUAGGCGCCUUGAUAAAAUGCCUGAUUUAUGAAAUGAAAAGCAAAGUCGAAAUCUAGGAUGUCAUAACUCUUCCUCUCUUAAAAAAAUUUCGUCCUCGAAAUUUAAACCUUUACCAAAUCUUUUAAUAAAAAUGUGGGGGUAUCAUAGUCUCAUCGAGUCUCACUUUUUCCGGUUACUUCUUUAGUCCCGCAGUGUUGUUAGAUGACUUUGACCAAGGGGAAUGUCCUUGAACCACGACUUGCUUGCGCAUAAAUGAAAAGUAUAAAUAAUGUCCCCCGUCUUUGCUCCUCCUCACAGCACCAUGGAUCUUCCCUCCAUUGUCUCUGUCCUGGCCAACUUCAUCCAAGUGAAAUUCCAGGGGAAGUCGCCUUCACCCUUUGAAACCCACCCCCUCGCCACCCGUGUCGCCAUCUGCAGCCUCCUCCUGCAUUUCUCGUUGGGGCGUGUCGCUACUCGGCUACCACCGCCUCUCGGCCCUGCUCUUUCCUGUGAUGGAGCAGCGCGCCUCCUCUUCCACUUCACCGGUUUGACAUCGGUGUUUUCGCUCGCGUGGUUGCUGCUCCACGACUCCUUCCACUCCCUCCUCUGGUUCGUGCUGUUCCUGUUGCUUGCCGUGCGUCUGUUACGGGGCCUCAUUCUAAGACUUUGGCUGUGGUUUUACCACAAACUCGUUCUCAUGAUUAUCCGUGCGGGGGGCUCCCGUGUAUGGCACGGUGGAAGAGCGCAGUCACAUUUGCCACGCCCGGUCGUGGAUCUGCGUUUCAUGCUGGAAGUUUGAGCGCUGUAAUUGUUCGAGUGACUGCUCCCUGCUUGGAAGAAGUAAUUUUAAUUGUAUGACCACUUCAAAUCAAAUAAUUAGUACGUUAGGAACCUAAGCUAGUUUUGUAUAAGAUGCACUUGGGGUUUUCUUCUCUUUAUCUGGAGCCAAAGCCGUAAGGAAUCCCCAAGCCUUCGGCGUCAAAUUAUCUCCCGAUCAUAACAAAGGAGAGCAGGGAACAAGCAAAAACUACCUAUGUAUCUUUCCUAUUCCUAGCCAUGAACGGUGAUGGACCUUGUAGUGACUAGAUCUGAUUAAGAUAGGCUAAGCCCUCGAAAGAAAUUUGGAUCUAUUGUUAUCGAAGAGAUUGAAGACGACCUCAACAAUUGUUAUGACGAGUAGAAUGGUCGUUUCUACUGGCCAUAUAAGGGGUAGUAAUGGUUCUUGAGGUUGAAGCUUCUGACCUCUUUGAAAACGUUGUUGAGUGUUGCAGAUUUCCUUCUUUUUUCAGUGAAUCUCUUUGUAGCUUUCUGUUUGGCCAGUGGAUGGAUAUGUGUGAUUUUACGUUCCUUGCUGGUGUACUAUGGUUUUGCUUAUAUGAACUGGGAUAAAUUGAUGCCUUGGAGAUGUGAGCACAGCUGCAGUUUCAAAAGCUUUGAUCUAACACUAACAUCAUUGAAUGAUCCAAAUCAAAAUGAAAGAUGUCAGCUUUUUCAUCUCUCUCGCAUAUACACUGUUACUGCUUACUAGCUAUUCCGAUGAUAAUAUAGUUGUAGUUUGUCAUUGCAGAAUGUGGGAAUGGUUACAUCAUAUGGUCUUCAUUUGAGCUCUGAGAGGUGACAACUACUAGAUCUUUGCUGUGGCAAACGUGUUAACUUGCAAUCUAAGACUUCAUUGUCUAGCUGGCUGAUUGACAUUCAAGUUGCCAGGGCCAAGGGGAGAAAAGAAUGCUGAAAUGUCGAUUUUUUUUUUUCUCUGUAGGCUUUAGUUCAAGAUUACUAAAUUUUGGCAAGACUGUAGAUGUUAAAACCGAAAUUUUCCCAUCUUCAUGUGCUAAAGAAUUUACGGUUCAUGUGUGCAAUGCUAGAUAGAUAGUAUGCAGAUGCUUGAGACAAUUCCGUACAAACUACACACAUUUGAUGUUCGUAUCUGAGGAAAUAAUUAGACCAGCAAGCUUCUUGACAAGUUGAUUCAUAAUCAAAUCAUGCAUCCCAAUGUUAGCACGUCAUCUCAUUACAUAGAGCACUCAAGUCUCGCACUUCAAAAAUAUGAUAUUUAUCUGCUUUACUGCAGAGAACAACAAUCUUGGAAGUCGACUGUAGCAGUGACACCAAUUGACUUGCAUGACAUCAAACAGAAAGGAAAUUCUUUUCAUAUUGAUAAGUGCCUCCCCAACUCUGCAAGUACAUGCACUUCACUUGCAGUUUUUCGAGACCAACAUUGCACGUCUUUUCUUGAGGACCUCCAAUUGUGUGCUCAUUCUUUUCACUUUUACCUGCAGAAUUGCAAUAUUUUCAUCUAGUUCAGCAAUAGCAGGGUCUCAGGUACGUCCACCAUUCCAGAAACCUGAUUUAAAAGGUGUUUGGUAUUGGAGCAUUUUCCGUUGAUUACUACUUAUUGUGGAGGAUGAAUAUAUAUAUACGAUGUUAAAAAGGAACAUGGCUACUCACCACAUCAUAUGGCAUUGUAUCCAUUUGUCGCCUAAAGUCUGUUUAGUAAGAGAUCAUUUCUGUGAUGAAAGCGCACUGUGGGCAAAACACAUUUGAUACGAGUAAUCAAUGGGCAGGGGCAUUCAUGGCAGAUGUAAGCACUCAGAUUCAGGUUCCUUAUCUUCUCACAAAGGUCACAAUAGUACUCACUGGUAUCAUCUUUGAUGAAUGAAUCGUAAAGAGUGAAUUGAUGAAAGUUAAUGGCAAUCUUUUACUGUGGUGGAAGGCAAUCUGUGAUGAUUAAGAUUGCACUGCACACAACCAUUGAAGACAAACCUGCAAAAUUUACUAGAGACACUGCUUAGGAAAUACAGUUCAUUAGAUCUAAAAUAAGAAAGAGUAUAUGCUCGUGGAGGUGUUGUUUCAAAGUGUGCCUUUCAAAAGUGCAUGAAAUGUUGAAGUCAUAGUCACAUUCCAUGCAGUGAAAGAUAGAGAGCCGACGCUCUACGACAUAUUUCAACAGUGUUCCUUCCUAAUAUGAGAAGAAAAAAGGAUGUGUGGGGUGAACAGGUUCUUGCAUGACUGAGGGCAAUUCAGCACAUGAUUAAUAGAGCAUAAGAGCAGCUUUGCUUCCACCAGCAAUAGGCUAAACAUUUGAUGCUUUAUCACAAGCCUCACAUGGACCAUCCCUCAUAUGACAGUUCCAGCGGCAGACAACUAUAGACCGCACCUGGUAUGUUCUGUUCACAAGCUUUGCACCUGAUUCUGCUUUCGAGUUUCAUGUGGAAGACCAGUGGAUGCUGAUGGUCACAAUUGUAAAAGACCAAGUCCUUCUUGCCCUUCAGGUCUUGCAAACAUAGAGUUCAAGCCAUGCAGUCCAUGUCAAGGCUGAAUUUGUAUUCACUGCAGUAGGAAACCAUGGCAGACGUUAUGUUUAGCUCCUCAAAUUUAUUGAAGAGAGACGGUAAUUAUGGAGAGAAGCAGGAGAGACAGGGUUAUUAUGGGGAGACAGGUGUUGCAUCUCUGGGGGAGAUCCGAUGCAGCUUUUGUGGAGAAAGAAUAUGCAAGCAUAGCAUCCAUAGGCCUCCCCCAAGAUUGCCUACUCGCAGGCUUUGCAUUUGAUUCUAUUUUUCAUCCCAAGAUGAUGGGAUGUGAGUAGAUGCUCAUGAGCAUUUUUUGAAUGGCCACAUUCUGAGAAUCCUCAUUAGGAGGACAAGCAAUCUUGGGCCGUGCAGUAACAAUUGAUGGAUCCAACUGGCAAGAGAAGGUUUUUAUAUAUAAAUGCAAAAUACUGUUUGGAAUGUAUAUAUCACUAGACUGGUGAGGUCACGUAUUUCCUCGUGACAAGUCUGUUAAGAAUAUGGACGAGCCUUGAUAAGCCAUUCCCUCUUGGGUCCAGCCGUCGAUCACAUCUAACUUCUACCAUAAGACUUAGUGUUCCAGACAAUGAGUGACUAAGUUUGCUAGGAAAUAAAAUGAUAGUGCAGCUCCAAGAUAAGUAUUUAUAGAUACCUUUCAGUGAUUUUAGAGUCCUCAAAACGAGCAGUUUCUCAAGAACAGAUCAGAGAAAACAUGUAACCUUGGAGCAUAAUAAUACAUGUCAUUAUUUGAAGGGCUGAACAGAAAUAUGGGAUGUGAUUUGAGGACUGAACCGAUGAUUUAGAUGCAGAUGGUAAUAAAUUCUUUUAUCCGGACUCUGAAGGUUACCCAUUUUGUAUGUGAUGUGCAGGAUUGCAGGUAUAAAGCAAAUCAAAUUAUGUUAGCAAAAAAUUUGGUACCAUCAUUUCCAAUGAAAGCAAUAUGUGUGAUAAAUGUUGUUGGCCAUGGAAACUGGAAAGAGCAAUAGAUGAUUCAUCUUCAGUGAAAGUAUGUCUCACAGACAACAGUAUCUUUCUCUUCUGGGUUGACCAUUCUUCCUCCUCAGGCAAUUUUUUCUAUCUACUCCAUCAAUUAAGUAUGCUACCCUUUAAUCCAUAGGAACUUCUCAUCAUUUGCAGGGUUUGGUUGCCCAAAAUCGAAUUGGCUUCACCAAAACUCCUCUUCUCUAGAAGCCUGGCCAGCAAAGUGUCCCGCUGGCAGUAGAGUGCUAAACUUCACCUUGCUUUUGUGACAUGCAUUCCAUAGUCAAGGGUGAGUCCCAUGCAUCAGUUUGUGGAUCGUGGUCUUAAAUGCCAAUCUCUACAAAUUCCUGUGGGAGGUCCAAAUUAUAUGCAUUUUAAUUUUCAUGUGGGUUCGUUCAUCAUUUGAUUUGACCUUGCAGUUGAUUUUCUUCUCACAUAUAUCUACAAGCCUAAAUGCUUAUUGUGAAAAAUAAUUCCCAGGAGAGUUAUCGUGAUACUAGGUCAAAUAAUGAAGCUAAGAAGUUGAUCAGCAGUAUGACUUAAGAUGGCAAGACUGUCAAAUGCUUCUGCUAAUUCAGUAGCAGAUACUUCAAAUUGUUACCAUCAACGAAAGGGCAAAUGUUAUUGAAAAGACAAAAAUAAUUUGACAAUUAUUGCGACUAGAAGAAUGGGGAGAUAUUUCAUUGUUUGCUUCCAGUUUACCUAAGAUCCUACUGGACCAAAAGAUUUGGAAUUUUUUUUUUUUUUUUUUUACUGAAGAGAGAAAAAGAGGGACAUUCAUGAAAGAAGGUACUUUUACUAGCAUUUUCGGAUACCAACUCCUUAUCAUCAAAUUGCCACGUGUCAAGCGUUGUCAUAUGGUUGUUACUAGUUGCCAAAAUAAAGUCAAAAUAAAGCUCCUGAAUUCUCUGAAAAUAUGGCAAGCGUUGUAGUUUUGCUUUUCUUUUUCUGGCAAAUCUCUUCGUAACUUUCUGUUUGACCAUGGAUCUAUAUGUGUUAUUUUACAGAAUCUUUGACCAUAUGCAAUGGUUUUGCUCAUUUAUCCAUAUGAACAAGGAUAAAUAGAUGCCUUGGAGACAUGAGCACAGCUGCAAUGUCAGAGCUUUGUUCUAUUGCCAUAGAUCUAGCAGAAUCAAAAUGAACAAUGUCAGUCUUUUCAUCUCUGUCCCGUAUGCACGGGUACUGCUUACUAGCUAUUCUGAUGAUGACAUUGUUUGAGUUUGUAACUGCAGAAUGACAAAGUGGUUAUAUCAUAUAGUCAGCAUUUUACCUCCGAGAGGUGACAACUAGAUCUUUGUUGCAGCGAAUGCGUUAACUUGCUUCGGCAACAAGAUUUAUAAAGACACUUCUUCUGUGGUGUAUCCUGUAUGUAUCAAGAAGCUUUUGGAUCUGAAUUAUGCAAUUACUAUGUUGUCUCUCUGCCCGACUGGUUUUCAGCCAGGAGCUAGAAUUGUUGCUUUGGUUGGAGAUUCAAGUUGCCAGGGCCAAAUUGAGAAAAGAACGCUUGAUUUCUUUUUUGGGAGGCUUUAGUUCAAUAUAACUGAAUUUUGGUAGACUGCAGAUGUUAGAACUGAACUUUUCCCAUCUUCACUUGCUGGAAAAGAAUUUACAGCUCGUGAAAGCAAAGCUAGAUAGCUAGUAUGCAAAAGCUUGAGACAAGUCUGCACAAACUGCACACAUCUGAUAUUCAUUUUCAGGGAAAUAAUAAGACUGGCAAGCUUCCUAACAAGUUGAUUCGUAAUCAAGUUAUGCAUCCCAAUGUUAGUACUCCUAUUCAUAAAUAACACAGAGCACACAAGUCUUAUGCUAAAAAAUAUGAUAUUUAUCUGAUUUUGCUGCAGAAGAUAAAAAUAUCGGAUGUCAAGUGUUAGUGGUGAUUCCAACUGACUUGCAUAUAAGUGGGUAAGCUGAAACAUCAAACAGAAAGGUGGUCUCCUGCCUCCCCAAUUCUUUCCUUCUGGAUAAGAGCGCCCAUGCACUUCGCUUGCUGCUUUUUGAGACCAGCAUUGCAAGUCUUUUUUUGGAGUUCCUCCAAUUGUGUGCUCACUGUCCACUUUUUCCUGCAGAAUUGCAAUUUCUUCAUCUAGUUCAGCUAUAGCGGGGCUUCAGGUACUUCCAUUACUUCAAAAUAAAUUUUGUAUUACCAUAUUUCCUGUUGAUUAUAUUUUAUUGUGGAGAUUUGAGUCUGUAUAUGAUGUAACAAAAGAAAAAAGAACAGGGCUAUUCACAUCAUGGGGCAGCAUCUUGUAGCCGUUUGUUGGCUAAAGUCAGGUUAGUGAGAGACCACUUCUGUGAUGAAAGCAUACCGUGGGUAAAACACAUGUCGAUAUGAGUAAUCAAGGGCAUUCAUUGGCAUUCAUUGCAGCCAGAAGCACCCAGAUUCAGGUCUUUUUUCUCUCAAAGGUCACAGAGGUACUAACUGGCAUCAUCUUUGAUGGACGAAGUGUAAGGUGUGAGUUGAUGGAGGUGAUGGCCAUCUUUUAUUGUUGGUGGUAACUGUGGAAGGCAAUCAUGAUUUACAUUAAGAUUGCACUGCGCAAAAACGUGAAAGUCGAAUGUGCAAAAUUUACCAGACACUGCAUCAGUAGUGCAGGUCAAUAGAUCUAAUACAAGAAUGAGUAUAUGAUCGUGGAGGUGAUGUUUCAACGUGUGCCUUCCAAAAGUGCAUGGAAUUUUGAUGUCGAAGUUGCAUUCUGCGCAGCAAAAGACAGCGUCAAUGCUCUUCACAAUGCGUCAGUGAGCGUUCCUUCCUGAUACGGGAAGAAGUGGAUGUGCAGGGUGAACAGGGUGUUGCAUAACUGAGGGCAUUUCAGCACAUGAUUUAUGGAGCAGGAAAGAGCAGCACUGCUCCAGCGGCAGCGGAUGAUUGUGAAUUGGAGAAAGAAGAGGCAAUCCAGACAAACAUAGACCUCACCUAGUAUGCUUUACACUCUGAUUCUGGUUUCAAGCUUCACGUGGAGGGCACCAACUAGAUGCUGAUGGGCGAAAUGGCAAAGAAACUGGGCCUUUCUUGCCCUCCAGGACUUGUGAACGUAGACUUAUAGCCGCACAAUCCAUGUCAAGGCUGAAAUUGCAUUCGCUGCCGCGGGAAACUAUAUGGCAGGCAUAACGUUGGAGGUCUGCCAAUUGAUCGAAAGGAAGAGAGAUGGUGAUCCCGGCGUUGCAUCUCUAGGGGGAGAUUCAAUAAUUAUAAAGCUGAGUUGAAAACAAAAUAAAGAGGUGCUCUUCUUAGUAAUUACAAGUAAGCCUGUCUAAAUGAUGGAAUGAACUAUAUUUGGAUGAAAUAAAAAUUAUGAUGCAUGCACAUUUUUCAUCUAUGGUGAUCAUCUUCCUUUCACUAGUUUGUACGCUUCUUUUGCUGGUACUUUGAAUUUAUUAUACUAAUCAAAGUAACGAUUGGUCCGACCUUGAUUUUGAACCGGGUCAAAUCCUUUUUUUGAGGUAUAAAAGGAAGACAGAAUGCUCUCUUUUUUAUCAUAUUUAUUGUCUCAUGCUAAGGUGUUUGCGUGUAUAUAAAAACCUCUUUUCAAUAACCACUGGGAUUUGCCCCAGUGGCCACCCUUCCAAUAUGGAAGGGGGAGGUGAGAGGUUCAAAUCCCCACUCUCAGGGGGGGAUGGGGUGGGGACGCAUAAGUUUCAAAAGUGGGUUUCGACUUCCACGCCCUGCACGAGGCAGAGCAAGAGUCUAAAAGUAAGUGUAAAGUAGGAAUAGAAUAGGACUGAUAACAAAAAAAAAAAAACGUGCAGGGCAAGAGUCUAAGAGUAAGUGUAGAGUAGGAAUAGAAUAUGACUGACAAAAAAAAAAAAAAAACUACUUUUCAAUCUCCUUUAAUGACUCUCUCUCUCUCUCUCUCUCUCUCUCUCUAAGAGAGUUUCCAAUGGGUCUCAGGGGAAGCUUCGGUGUUAACAUUGCAAUGGUUGGACUAUGCGGUGUUACAUGAUGAUCCAAUGGCCACUCAUGGGCAGAAGUGGGGCUUUCAAGAAAGUUGGAAAUUCUUUUUUAAAAAGAAAAAUCAAGGUAGAAUUGCGAUUAAAAUUAAAAUUUGAGAUUUUUCUAGGAGAUUAGCCCAUAAAAGCCCAUACUUCCAUCAACAAUUCAAGGUGUCUCAAACCGAAGAAAAUGCAAUUUUUAGUUAAGAUGGAAACCAUUUUUAGCAAUAUUUCACCAAGAGAAAAUGCUUGCUGCUUCAAAAGUACUUUAAUAGGAUUUUGUAUAUCCAACAAUUAUAGAAAUAGGUGAGUUUGUGCAUAAAACAUGGGGACACGAGAAUGCUCAUGUUGUGAUAUAUUAUUUGCACAAUAAAUGGAUAAUUAGAAAAAAGAGAGGAGCGGCUAUUAUUACAAUAUGAAAUUGGUAAGAUUAUAAUGAUAUAGAAAAACAAUGAUGAUAUAUUGAUGUAUGUUUUCAUUUUGUUGAUUUUGUGAAUAAGAUUUCUCCUUUAUCUAUUGUCACACCCCAAAUCUAUAAAAUAAGGAAAAUGACACCACCAUGCUCUUAUUCAAAGGAUGUAGCAUCAAAUUAUCAAAAUAUAUAUUCAUCUAUAUACUUGAUAAAGAGUGAGUUGGUUACAAACUCAAGAAUUCUAAAAUUCAUUAAAAAUAAAAGUAUGACUCAAUCUCCAAACUCAAUUAAACCCCACAAAUAUCAUCCCAGACAGAUAUAAGUACCUAAACUCACAUCCAAAUCUAACUGUAACUAAUUUCCCGCCGAUAAUGCUCAUGUCCUACUUUAGCUUACCAGAAAAAGAUUUGGAAUGAAUAAUAUGAGCAAUCACAGUUUAGUGACUAAUCCAAAUCUCUCCUAAAUAGAUCAAGAAUUUGCUAUGAUAAAUCAAUACUAGAGAUUGAUUUAUCCAAAUCCAAUAUAUUAUGUACAAUAAAAUCAAAAUAUGAAUAAUGUCACUUUAACGCAACUUUAUACUAAUAAAUUAUAUACCAAAAGGGUAAUAAAUGCUCAAUCUAAUUUUAUGCAACAAAUAUGUUUCAAAUAUUACUUUUUCAUUUAAAAAAAAUCAUUUUGUGCAAUGUUCUUCACAACUUAUAAUAUAUCAAAUCCCUAUCACUUUCAAGACAUGAGCUUAUAAUUUUUUAGAGGAUAACAACCACCCCUAAAUAAAAUGCAAAUCGAAAGUUACGCCACUCGAAGAGUCUCAAAGUCCUAUCAAAGUUGAUUUAAAUGUCAAACUUACAUGUCAACUAACCUCGACUACAACUUGAGUAGGCAAUACCAUAUUCUUGAGUAAAAUCCUCCACUAGACAAAAGAUCUUUGAACAAUUACAUUGCAAAUAGAGUAGACCUCAUCUUAAAAUUUCAAUUCAAGCGAGCUUACUUUCAAAAGAAAACUCUUUCGAAUUAAUUAUAAAGCCAAAAGAUGGUCGGAGAAGGGUGAAAUUCAUUGCCAAACAUAGUAAUUCGAAAACUGUUUUUAGCAAUGCGCAAAAUUUUAAAAAUUCAUCCAAAUCAAAUCAUUAACCUACAUUAACUUUUUUAAAGUCCUGUUAUGCAAUACCCAAAAAUUUCUUUACAACAUAAUUUCACAGCUUAAAAAUCUAUAGAAUAGACCUGGCAACAUAGAAUUCAUACAAAACCUAAUUUACGAUUUAGUUACGAAAACUCCUUCAAUUAGAUAAAUAAAAGUUUCGAAUCCUUACCGAAAUAGAAUUAAUCCGGUGCAUGUAGCAAGAGCCCCCUUUUGUCUCCUCUGUCUUUUUGUCGGUUUCUCUGGACUCAGCUUUCCUCAAUUUCUUUUUUUUUUCCGUGUUCUUCUUGGCCAUACUCUGUUUUCAUUUUAUUUUAUUUUUAUCUCUUUUUGCUCCAGUAAUUCCCUUACCCCGGCAUCAACUGAAGCAGGACCAAAGAAAGGGCUUUAACGAGACACUUGGGCUUGAGCUCACUGUUUUGCUCUUAUUUAUCAUUUUUUGCCGGAGGUGGUGGUGUAGGGCUGGCCGUAGCCGUAGUUGGGCGGCGCGUGGGGGUAGCCUGACAUUUUUCCGGGAGGAGCGACGCGCGAGGAUAUAUUUUCUUCCGGUCAAACUUCUAUUUUUUUUUUUUUUCUGGGAGGGGGCAAAAAGAGGCGAAGCUUUUCCGGGGUUCGCUUUGGGGGAGGGCUUGACGCGUAUAAAUUAGACGAGCGACACCGCCUCGCGUUGCGAAUUGGGGGUUCGGAUAGGAGGUAAUUUACGAGAUUGCCAUUAUUAUCCGGGGAACCGUGCCGAAUUUCGAAACGGAAAUUUAGGGUGCGUUUGUUUGCGUUUCUGUUUAAAAAUUGUUCCAGGAAACAGAAAUAGAAAAAAGUGUUUCUGUUCCUGGGAACAAUUUCUGAACAAAAAAACGCGUUUGGUAACUGUAUAAAAUUUCUGUUUCUGGAAUAGAAAAAGAACAGAAACACGUUUGGUAACUGUAAAAAAAUUUUGUUUGCGUUUCUGUUUAAAAAUUGUUCCAGGAAACAGAAAUAGAAAAAAGUGUUUAUGUUCCUGGGAACAAUUUCUGAACAAAAAAACGCGUGUGGUAACUGUAUAAAAUUUCUGUUUCUGGAAUAGAAAAAGAACAGAAACACGUUUGGUAACUGUAAAAAAAUUCUGUUUCUAGAAUAGAAAAAGAACAGAAACACGUUUGGUUAUGUACAAAAUUUAUGUUCCAAUUUUUUUUCAAUUGUUUUUUUUUUAAUAAAAUGUGAACUUGGUAUUGAAUUAUCAUUCUCAUGAAAUGCUUAUCAAUUUAAUUUUGUUCAUAUUAAGUGAAAACAAACAUUCUAAACUUAAUCAUAUUUGCUUAGUCGGAAUAAAUUUUUUUAAGUUCAUACCAAAAUUUUCCCAUUUGUUUUUUUUUUAAAAUAAAGUGUAAACUUGACUUUGAAUUCUCAUUAUCAUAAAAUGCUCAUCAAUUUAAUUUUGUUCAUGGUUAGUAAAGUCAAACAUUUUGAACAUGGUUAUAAGUGCAUACUCUGAAGAAAAUUUUAUAAAUAAACUUUGUUCCAAAUUUUUCUCACGUGCCUUUUUUUUUCAAUAAAGUGUAAACUUGGUAUUGCAUUAUCACUCUAAUGAAAUGCUCAUCAAUUUAAUUUUGUUCAUGGUUGGUGAAGACAAACAUUUUGAACAUGAUCAUGUGCAUACUUGGAACAAAAUUUCAUAAGUAAAAAUCCCAUAAUAAGAGCUACCUAAAAGAAGAAUACUUCAUAGAUCUCUACGUAGACCCUUUCAUACAUAACAUCACAAUAAUGAAGUAAUAUAGUUCAUUGUUCAACUUCAUCAUAUUAGAUUUGAUAAGUGAAUACUUAAAAACAAAAUUACAAAAGUCGGAAACACAAAGUCAUGAAAUUUAGGCAUAUUAUGAUCCAUCGCCAUUUUAUUUGCAAUCCUUGUCCUAAGCAUGUUUAUUCCAGGUGCAUCAUGCAAUGUAUCAUCUGCAACCUCCAAUUCUAUAGGUCCGCAUGGAACUUUGGAUGGAUCCACCGAAGUUCUCAAAGCAUCAGCGUUCACUUGAGAAUGAAUCAACCAAUUGAGGAUGUACCUUAAGUAAAGAAAAAUUCAAGACAAUAAGCAAUAAGGCAACAACGAAACAGCACCCUCCAUUCUCGCAAAUCCAUAACUUAAAGAGAAAAAAUCGAAGCAUUAUAGCCAUAAGAUAUGAAGGAUCUCGCAUAAUGUAUAAUCCCCAACAUUCCUACAAAAAAAAGUCAAACAACGUUGUUCUUAUAGAUUCACAAAGAAUGUACUAAAUGAACAAGUCAACAACGUUGUUCUUCUCACGUGCCUUUUUUUUUCUGUUCUUUUCUUUUCUUUCACUUUUAUUUUUCUCCUCCCCUUUAGUCUACCCCUCUACACGUUCUCUUCUUCGGGCGUCAUCUUCUUCCUUUUGUCUUUCUCACUUUUAACACCCAUUUUUUCCUUUUUCUUCCUCGACUUCCGAUUGGAUCAAAAUGUGGCUGAGUCGCAAGGGUUCAUAGAGACACACAGAAAAUACUAAUAUUAGACCAAAUCCAAGCAAUACGGGACAAAACGCAAAUUGAGAAGCUUUAACACAAAGGCAGAAAAAUAAAUAACAAUAACUUCGACAUUGAUUCACAUCACUUUGAUAUAUUCAGCCACAAAUCCAUAGAUCUACAUGAUGUCAUAGAGAUUGAGACAUGAUGUCAUAGAGAUUGAGAUUAAAGAAACAAUAAUGUAUAGAACUCUGAGAGUGAUAAAAGGCUAUUUUGUCAUGCCCGAUGUUGUCAAUUGACAGUCCACACACAAUGAAAAGUGUAGCAGCAGUAAGCAGACGCUCGCUUGGCAACAAUAACUUCUAUGCUCGCUGUUGCGAGCGCUCGAGAGAGCAGAGCAGGGCUCGUUGCUCUGCUCGCUUGAUUCAGGCAUUUGCAUGAUUCUUGCUAACUACUUUGAUUGACAUUAAUAGAUCAAUAAAUGGAGAAAGACUAGGAAAAUACCCACUGGAAGAUAUUGGCCUAGAUAGGGCAUCGUUUUUUUUGCCACAGAACAACAGGAUCGCGGGACAAAGAUCAACAGAACAGCAACUCGUCAUGGUGUCGAGGAACGCCAGCAAAGGCCAGAUAUUUGCCCCGUUUCGUGCCCUUUCCCCCAUCACCAGUGCCAGCACCAUUGGGCACGGCAGAAGAGCCGCCGAUGGUUCCAGUUCCGACACACAGCGGGCGGCUCGCUGGAGCCUGAGCAGCAGCGACGCUCGCUGCUCUGCUCGCUCGAGCCGAGCCUGAGCAGCAGCGACGCUCGCUGCUCUGCUCGCUCGAGCCUGAGCAGCAACGACGCUCGCUGCUCGAGCAGCAACGAUGCUCAAUGCUUUGCUCGCUCGCCCAGAUCUCGAGCGAGCAGAUGAGCUGCUGUCGCAAAUCUGGGUGAGCAACGCUCGCCCAAAUCUGCGAGACUCGCUCAAGCAAGCGGCUCGCAGAUCUGGGCAAGCGCUGGCUCGAGCGAGCCCUAACACUCGAGCUCUCGUCGAAGUGAAGACAAUCAGUGAAGGAGGAGCAGUGACCACGUUUACCUGGUGAAGGAGCAGCGGCUGUCGAGACAGAGGCCGCUGUUGGCGCCGGAGAAGACGAUGGAAUUCUCUGCUCGCAGGAGGAGACGCUCGUUGCAGGAGGAGACGCUCGUCGCAGGUCGCAGGAGGAGAAGCUCGUCGCGGGGGGGAGAGAGGCGUUGUUUGAGCACUAUCCAAGAAAUAAAAAAGGAACACAAUUUUGUUCCUUUUUUGUUUCUGAUUUGUGUUUCAGAAACAAGAAACACAAAAUUUGGCUGCGUUUGGUUGUAUUUCUUUUUUUUUGUUUUUAAACACUUUUUCUGUUUUUUGGUUCUUUUAUUCCCAGGAACAAAAAAGAAAUAGAAACAAGAAACACAAAUUUUGUGUUUCUUGUUUCUGAAACACUUUUGAGAAACACUUAUUUUUUUUUCUUUUUUCUCUUAUUUUCUUGUUCUUUUUUCUUUUGGCCGGACGCCGGCCUCGGUCAUGGUCGAGGACCGGCCGACGAGGGCCGGCGGCCUCGANNNNNNNNNNNNNNNNNNNNNNNNNNNNNNNNNNNNNNNNNNNNNNNNNNNNNNNNNNNNNNNNNNNNNNNNNNNNNNNNNNNNNNNNNNNNNNNNNNNNUUGAAAGAUAGAAAAUAUAUUUUCAAAUUUAGAAGGUUUUUAUUAUUGAUGAAAAAUGCAUUUUCUAUCGGUUCAUUUUGUGAAACGAAUAUUGAAAAAUGCGAGAAUUUUGUUUCCGAAAGUUUUUCUUCGUGAAACGAAGGAAGCUUGGCAAUUUGGACACAUCAAGAAAAAAAGCGACCUUCCUUUGAUUAUUCGUUUUAUUCCUAAGUACGGUCUACUUUUUGAGUUCCUAUUCUGUCGAAACAAGACCGUCAUUUUCCAGAGGAAAAUCAGCCAAUCACCGACCGUCCUUGGCACGGGCCUGGGUGUGGUGGGGGGCGGGGAUCCAGCGGUUCCCCACGUGCGGGCCCUACCAGGAGUUCCCGCGAGUCGUGGGGGCCACGUGCGGAUUCCGCACCGUUUUUUCUUUUUGAAUUUUGGGAACCUCGAAAAACGGAUAAAAGGAGUGCAGGCCCACUUCGCAAAAUCAAUUUCGGAAAAGACGUGACGGGUGUUUUUUUUUAAAAAAAAAAUACAUUCGUUUAUCAAAUUAGAGUUUCAUCGAGAAAGAAAAGAAAAAGAGAGCAGAAAUUAGAGAAUGCCUAGUGCCAACUCCCGCACACCGACAGAGCACCGGCCAAAAGAAGAAAAAAAAUAUGAAAAGGAAAAAAAGGAAAAAUAAGAGAAAAAUAGAAAAAAUAAAAGAAAUAAAAAAAAUUAUCCAAAAUUACCAAACAUGUUUCUGUUUAUUUUUUAUUCCCGGAACAAGUUUACCAAACGCGUUGUUUUGUUCAAAAAUUGUUCCCCGGAACAGAAACACUUUUUUUUAUUUCUGUUCCCUAGAACAAUUUUUAAACAGAAACGCAAACAAACGCACCCUUUGUGUUUCUUGUUUCUGUUUCUUUUUUGUUCCUGGGAACAAAAGAACAAAAUAACAGAAAAAGUGUUUAAAAACAAAAAAAAGAAAUACAAACAAACGCAGCCUUACUAGUAAAGGCGACGACCUUUUCGAUUUUCGCAGGCAGUGGGCGAGUUCAAAUUUGACAGGCCUCUUUGCCCCCUCUGAUAACGUCAAAAUCGUCGUCCGACCGACAUGUGGAAAUUCAUUUAAAAAAAAAAAAAGAUAAGUGCUUCGACAUCGACUAAGAAUAUGCCUCGUAAGCUUCGUAGGCCUUAUGUUACAAGUGUUAAGUAAGGAUGAAGGGUUCCAAAUUCCUUAUAAAUUUUGUCUAAAUUCUAAAACCUACUUUUGGGUAUAAAUUUUUAAUUUUUUGGAACCUAAAACUUCAAUUCUAGAAUUCAAUGGAAUUUCGAUCUUGAGGUCUCUACAAUAAAGUGGCCAAAACUGAAUCAAUUUAGUUGCCCAUUGAUGGGUAAGAAAGUCUCUUUUUCUAACACAAGAAAAAAUAGAUGGCAAAGUUCAAAGGCCCUUCCUCCUCUCCAGUGGUGGGGUGAAUGCAGGGACCUUGGCGGACCCCCCGUGGGGAAGGUAUCUUUUUCCAGCCCCUUACCUCUUAGAAUAUUCCUGGCUUAUGUGACGCCAAAUCACUUAUGAAAGUACCAGGAAACAGGAUCGCUUUUGCUUUCUUGUCCUUUGGCUCGCUACUAAGAUGUUUCAGUUCAAUGUACCUAUCUUCACCACAACCGGCGCCAUGGACUUUAGCUCCAUCGUCUCUAUCCUUGCGGCGCACUCCCGUGUAUGGCAUGGUGGAAGAGCGCAGCCACAUCCGCCGCGCCCGGGCGUGGAUCUGCGUUUAUCGCUAGAAGUCUAAGCACUGUAGUUGUUCGACUGACUGUUCCCUGCUUGGAAGAACUAAUUUUAAUCGUAUUUGACUUCUUUAAAAUUAAAUGAGUAGUACUUAAGGAACCUAAGCUAGUUUUGUAUAAGAUGCACUAGGGGCUUUCUUCUCUUUAUCUGAAGCCAAACCCAUAAGGAAUCCCCAAGCCUUUGGCGUCAAAUUAUCUCCCGAUCGUAAGAAAGGAGAGCAGGGAACAAGUAAAAACCAUCUAUGUAUCUUUCCUAUUCCUAGCCAUGAAUGGUGAUGCACCUUGUAGUGACUAGAUCUGUUUAAGAUAAGCUAAGUCCUCAAAAGAAAUUGGGAUCAAUUGUUAUUGAAGAGAUUGAAGAUGACCUCAACAACAGUUACGACGAGUAGAAUGGUCUUUUCUAGUAGGCAUAUAGGGGGUAGUAAUUGUUCUUGAGGUUAUAGCUUCUGACCUCUUUGAAAGCAUUGCUGAAUGUUGCAGAUUUCCUUCUUUUUUUCUGGUGAAUCUCUUUGUAGCUUUCUGUUUGGCCAGUGGAUGGAUUUGUGUCAUUUUACAUUCUUUGCUGGUGUGCUAUGGUUUUGCUCAUUUAUCCAUAUGAACUGGGAUAAAUUGAUGCCUUGGAGACACAAGCACAGCUAAAAUUUCAAAAGCUUUGAUCUAAUACUAACAUCAUUGAGUGAUCCAAAUCAAAAUGAAAGAUGCCAGCUUUUUCCAUCUCUCUCGCAUAUACACCAUUACUGCUUACUAGCUAUUCCGAUGAUAAUAUAAUUGUAGUUUGUCAUUGCAGAAUGUGGGAGUGGUUACAUCAUAUAAUCUUUAUUUUACCUCGAGAGGUGACAACUAGAUCUUUGCUGUGGCAACUGCGUGAACUUGCAAUUUAAGAUUACGCCAUCUCGCUGACUCAUUGACAUUCAAGUUGCUGGGGCCAAGGUGAGAAAAGAAUGCUGAAAUGUAGAUAUUUUUCAGGAGGCUUUAUUUCAAGAUAACUGAAUUUUGGUUGACUACAGAUGUUAGAACCGAAAUUUUCCCACCCUGCAUGUGCUAAGAAUUUACAGUUCAUGUACGCAAAGCUAGAUAGAUAGUAUGCAGAUGCUUGAGACAAGUCUGUACAAACUACACACAUUUGAUGUUCGUAUCUGAGGAAAUAAUUAGACCAGCAAGCUUCUUGACAAGUUGAUUCAUAAUCAAAUCAUGCAUUCCAACGUUAGUACUUUGAAAUAUGACAGAGCACACAAGUCUUGCACUUCAAAAAUAUGAUAUUUAUCUGCUUUUUCUGCAGAGAACAAUGAUCUUGGAUGUUGACUGUAGCAGUGAGUCCAAUUGACUUGCAUAAGAACGUGACUUGUCAAUCAAAAAGGGUAGGUUCUCCUGACUCCCGAAUUUUUUUUCUUCUUGGUAAGUGCCUCCCCAACACUACAACUGCAUGCACUUCAAUUGCAGCUUUUAGAGACCAGCAUUGCAAGUCUUUUCUUGAGUACCUCCAAUUAUGUGCUCGUUCUUUCUGCUUUUUCCUGUAGAGUUGCAAUUUUUUUCAUCUAAUUCAGCUAUAGCAAGAUUUUCGGGUACUUCCACUAUUCCAGCAACCUGUAUUAAAAAAUGUUUGGUAUAAGCGCAAUUUCUGUUGAUUAUUAAAAAAAAAGUUUGGUAUUGUGGAGGAUGAGUCCAUACAUAUGACGUUCAAAAAGGAAUAUGGCUAUUUACCACAUUAUAUGGCAGCAUCUUGUAUCCAUUUGUUGGCUAAAGUCUGUUUAGUAAGAGAGCCCUUGUGUGAUGGAAGUGCAUCGUGGGUCAAACACAUUUGAUAUGAGUAAUCAAUGGGCAAGGGAAUUCAUUGGAGUCCUAAGCACCUAGAUUUGGGUCCCUUAUCAUCUUGCGAAGGUCAUAUUAGUACUCACCGGUAUCAUCUUUGAUGGACAAAGUGUAAAAUAUGAGUUGAAGGAAGUUGAUGACAAUCUUUUACUGCAGUGGAGGUUAAUCUGUGAUGAUUAAGAUUGCACUGCACACUACCGUAAAAGUCAAACCUGCAAAAUUUACCACAGAUGCUCCAUAGGAAGCAUGGUUUGGUAGAACUAAUAUAAGCAUGGUUCUGUCCCCUCUGCAUUCCACAGGCAAGGGUGAGUCCCAUGCAUCAGUUUGUGGAUCGCGCUUUCACACACUAAUCCCUACAGAUUCCUGUGGGAGGACCAAAUCCUAUUGAUUUGAAUUUUCAGCAGGUUCCUUUAUCAUUUGAUAUGAACUUGGAAGUUAAUCUUCUUCUCAGGUUUAUAAAAGCCUGAAUGCUUAUUGUGGAAAACAAUUACCAGGAGAGUUAUCAUUAUCCUAAGUCAAAUAAUGAAGCUAAGUACAUGAUCUACAGAAGAACUUAAGACUGCAGGACUGUCAAAUGCUUCUGCUCAUUCAAUAGCAGAUACUUAAAAAUUGUAACCUUUAACUGGAGUGUGAAUGUUACUGAAGAGACCAAAAAUACUUUGACAAUCAUUACAACGAGGAGGUUGGGGAGAUGUUUCAUUUUUUGUUUCAAGGUUACUGAAGGUCCUACUAGACCAAAAGAUUUGGAAGUUUUUUUCUUUACUGAAAAGAGAAAAAGAGGCAAGUUCAUGAAAAAUGGUGCUUUUACUAGCAUUUUUAGAUAUUGACUCUUUACUAACACAUUGGCACGUGUCAAAUGUUGUCAUAUGGUCGUUUCUAGUUGCCAAAAUAGAGUUAUGAACUAGGAUAAAUAAGAUGCCUUGGAGACGCGAGCACAGCUGCAAUAUAGAAGUUUUGUUCUAUCGUGACAGAGUUAUCCAUAUCAAAAUAAAAAAUGUCAGUUUUUUCAUCUCUGUCCCAUAUGCACGGGUACCGCUUCUUAGCUAUUCUGAUGAUAAUUUUGUUUGAGUUUGUCAUUGCAGGACGACAAGAGUGGUUAUGUCAUAUAGUCAGCACUAUCUCUCAGAGGUGACAACUAGAUCUUUGUUGCUGCAAAUGUGUCAACUUGCUUUGGCAAAUAAUAUUUAUAAAGGCAGCGACUUCUUUUGUGACAUAUCCUGUUUGUAUCUGGAAGCUCUUGGAUCUGGGUGAUGCAAUCUAAGACUAUGUUGUCUCACAGGCUGAUUGGUUUUCGUGGGGACCUAGAAUUGUGGCUUCAGUCAGAGAUUCAAGGUGCCAGGGCCAAGGUGAGAAAAGAAUGCUGAAAUAUGGAUUUCUUUUUUGGGAGGCUUUAGUUCAAUAUAACCGACUUUUGGUAGACUGCAGAUGUUAGAACUGAACUUUUCCCAUCGUCAUGUGCUGGAAGAGAAUUUUUGCAGUUCAUGAAUGCAAAGCCAUAUAGAUAGUAUGCAAAAGCUUGAGACUAGUCUGUGCAUACUACUUACAUCUGAUAUUCUUUUUUUUUGAGGAAAUAAUAAGACCCACAAGCUUCCUGACAAGUUGAUUCAUAAUCAAAUUAUGCAUCUUUUUGUUAGCACUCCAACUCUUAACAUAGACCAAACAAGUCUUACACUCAAAAAUAUGAUAUCUAUGUGCUUUUGCUGCAGAGAAUAACAAUCUCAGAUGUCGAGUGUCAGCAGUGAUUCUGUGUAACUACAUGCGCUUUGGAUGCAUCUUUUUGAGAUCAGCAUUGCUCAUCUUGUUUUUAGUACCCCCAGUCGUGUGCUCGCUCUGUCCUCUUUUUCCUGCAGAGUUGCAAUUGUUUCACCUAUUUCAGCCAUAGCAGGGUCUUCAGGUACUUCCACUAUUCCAGCAACCUGUAUUUGGUACUAGCAAGUUUUCUGUUAACUAUUACUUAUUGUGGAGGAUGAGUCUAUAUAUGUGGUGUUAAAAAGGAACUAAGCUAUUAAAUGGCACUGGCGGCAUCUUAUAUCCAUUAGAUGGCUAGAGUCUGUUUAGUAAGAGAGCACUUCUGGGAUGAAAAUGCACUGUGAGUAAAACACGUUUGAUAUGAGUAUUCAAUGGGCAAGGGCAAACAUUGCAGUUGUAAGCACCCAGAUUCAGGUCCCUUAACUUCUCGCAAAGGUCACAAUAGUACUCACCGGUAUCAUCUUCGAUGAACGAAGCGUAAAGUGUGAGUUAAUGGAAGUUAAUGGGAAUCUUUUACGUAGUGCUAGGCAAUCUGUGAUGAUUAUAUUGCAAUGCACACAACUGUAAAAGUCGAACUUGCAAAAUUUACUGCAGCAGACACUGCAUAGGAAGCACAGUUCGGUAGAUCUGAAUUAAGAAAGAGUACAUGGUCGUGGAGGUGAUGUUUCAAAGUGGGCCUCUCAAAAGUGCAUGGAAUCUUGAAGUUGUAGUAACUUUCCAUGCAGUGAAAGAGCGUCGACAAUCUUUACAACAUAUGUCAGCAAUGCUCCUUCCUGAUAUGAGAAGAAAAAGGAUGCGUGGAGCAAACAGGUUGUUUCAUAACAGAGGGCAAUUCAGCUCAUGAAUUAUGGAGCUGAAAAGAGCUGCUCUGCUCCAGCCAGCGAUAGGCUGAACAUUUGACGCAUUCAUCGCAGUCUUGCACAGACCAUCCUUCAUAUGACAAUGCCAGCAGCAGAGGAUGAUUGUGAGAGAAGAGGCAAUAAAGACAAGCAUAGACCUCACCUGGUAUGUUCUCUUCGCAAGCUUUGCACCAGAUUCUUCUCUUGAGCUUUGUGUGUAAGACCAGUCGAUGCUGAUUGUUGAAAUGGUUAAAAACCGAGUCCUUAUUGGCUCCAGAUCUUGUGAACGUAGCCGUGCAGUCCAUGUCGCGGCUGAAUCUGCAUUCGCUGCUGUAGGAAACCAUGGUAAGCAUUACAUUUAGCUCCUCCAAUUGAUCGAAAGCAAGAGAGAGAGAGGGUGAUCAUGGAGAGACAGGUGUUGCAUCUCUGUGGGGGGAUUCGGCGCAGCUUUUGUGGAAAAAGAAGAUGCACGCAUGGCCUCAAUAGACCUCCCCCAAGAUCGCUUGCUCGCAGGUUUUGCAUUUAUUUCUACUUUUCAUCCUGAGAUGAUGGGAUGUGAGCGGCUCUUGAGCAUAUAUUGGAUGGCCAUAUUCUGAGAAUCUUCAUCGAGCCUUAGUUGUGACUAGCCAGACGAAGCUAUAUCGGGCUGUGCAAUAAUAAUCGACCCAUUCGAAUGGCAAGAGAAGGUUUUCAUAUAUAAAAGGCGAAAUAUUCAUGGAAUAUAUAUAUAUAAUAUCUAUAUCACUAGACCGGUGAGGUCGUGUACUUCAUGGUGUCGUGAUCAACUUUUGCUAGGAAAAUAAAAUGAUAUUGUUUAUGUAUGCGCGUUACGGUUGGGUGAAUCAACCCAGCGACAUAGAUGGAUGAAAAGCAUCUCUGAAAGACGACACGUAAGCGGUGACGACUUUAUGCCCUUCUCAUUCCUCCCUUCUUUUACUCAUUUCUCAUCCCCCGUUUGUCCCUUUCACGUGGCCUCUCCCCAUUUCUCUCUCCUCUCUAAAAGUUUCCACAAAUAUUCCUCCUCAAUUCCUCGUUCUUUCUUUGUCACGAAAGUUGACAUUUAUGAUGCAAUUUGGACGAAAUAAAGAUUAUGAUGCAUAGGCAUUUUUCAUCUGUGGCGAUCAUCUUCAUUUCACUAGUUUGUAUGAUUUUUUUGCUAAAAUUCGAAUUUAUUAUGGUCCGACAAACCGCAUAGGGUUGGAUCAUGCGGCGUCACAUGAUGAUCCUAUGUCCCCGGGGGCACAUAUGAGAUCUCAAUUGAAUUUGGAGAUUUUUGUUUUUUAACAAAAGAAAAAAUUGAAGUAAAAUUGAGAUUAGAAUUAGAGUUGUGCAUCUUUUUAGGAAAUUAGCCCAUAAUGAAUCUUCCAGGUUAAUUGCGCACACUGCUGAAACACAGGAACAAAUAAAUAGGAAAGUUUAAAGGCGUUUCCCCGCUGUCCACCCCGGUGGUGGGGUGAACGCAGGGACAUGAUUGAUGUUUCUGCUUCUUUUAUUCGAGGUGACAUUUGCACCUAUUCAUGCUGUGAAUAUUAAUGAUGUCCAAAUUUCACUUCGAAUAAAAGAAGCAGAAGCGAAGCAUCAAUGAUGUCCCUGCCUGCGCCCAACACGGCGCCAUGGAUCUUACCCCAUCGACGAGGAUCCCAUCGUCUCUAUCCUCGUCGAUUUCAUCCUAGUGAGAUAUAGGGGAAGUCGACUUCGCCCUUUGAAACCCACCCCGUCGCCAUCGGCGUUGCCAUCUGCAGCCUGCUCCUGCGUUUCUUGUUGCUGCGUCUCGCUGAUCGGGCACCACCGUCUAGCGGCCGUGCUCCUUCUCAGGAUGCAGCAUGGCACCUCUUCAUCGACUUCGUCGGUUCGAUAUUGGUGGCUUCGUUCGCGUGGUUGCUGCUCCAUGACUCCUCCCACUCCGUCCCCUGGUUGUUCGUGCUGCUCCUGCUGCUUUCCGUGAGUCUGUUGUGCGGCCUCAUGCAAAAACUUUGUCUGUGGUUUUACGACAAAAUCCUCAUGAUGAUCAUCCGUGCCGUGCAGCGUGGUCUCCCGGCCGUGGAUCAGCGUUUAAGGCCGCAUCUCUAAGCUAGUUUUGUAUAAGAUGCACUCGGGCCUUUCUUCCGUUUAUAUGAAAACAUAAGGAGUCCCCAAGCCUUCGGAAAAAUCAAAUUAUCUCCCAACCAUAAGAAAGGAGAGCAGGGGACAAGUACAAACCACCUAUGAACGGUGAUGGACCUUGUAGCGACUAGAUCUGAUUAAGAUAGGCUCAGUCCUCAAAAGAAAUUGGGAUCUACUGUUAUUGAAGAGAUAGAAGAUAACCUCAGCAAUCGUUUUGACGAGUAGGUCUACUCUAGUAGCCAGGUAAGAGAUAGUAAUUGUUCUUGAGGUUAAAGCUUCUGACCUCUUUGAAAAUGUUGUUGAGUGUUGCAGAUUUUCCUUCUUCUUCUGGUGAAUCUCUUCGUAGCUUUCUGUUUGGCCAGUGGAUGGAUACGUGUCAUUUUAUAUUCUUUGCUGGUGUACUAUGGUUUUGCUCAUUUUUCCAUAUGAACUGGGAUAAAUUGAUGCCUUGGAGAGGCGAGCACAACUACAAUUUCAAAAGCUUUGAUCUAAUGCUAACAUCAACAAGUGAUCCAAAUAAAAAUGAAAGAUGUCAGCUCUUUCAUUUCUGUCCCAUAUACACCAUUACUGCUUAAUAGCUAUUCUGAUGAUAACAUAGUUGUAGUUUGUCAUUGCAGAAUGUGGGAGUCAUUACAUCAUAUAGUCUUCAUUUGACCUCUGAGAGGUGACAACUAGAUCUUUGCUGUGGCACAAGCAUUAACUUGCAAUCUAAGACUACAUUGUCUUGCUGGCUGAUUGACAUUCAAGUUGCCAGGGCCAAGGUGAGAAAAGAAUGCUGAAAUGUUGAUUUUUUUUUCUGUAGGCUUUAUUUCAAGAUUACUAAAUUUUGGCAGACUGUAGAUGUUAAAACCAAACUUUUCCCAUCUUCAUGUGCUAUAGAAUUUACAGUUUAUGUAUGCAAAGCUAGAUAGAUAGUAUGCAGACGCUCGAGACAAUUCUGUACAAACUACACAUCUCUAAUGUUCGUAUCUGUGGAAAUAAUUAGACUGGCAAGCUACCUGACAAGUUGAUUCAUCAUCAAAUUAUGCAGCCCAAUGUUAAUACUCCGAUUCAUAAAAUGGAGCACACAAGUCUUGCACUUCAAAAAUAUGAUAUUUAUCUGCUUUUACUGCAGAGAACAACAAUCUUGGAUGUUGACUCUAGCAGUGAGUCCAAUUGACUUGCAUAAGAAUGCAAGUUGAAAAAUCAAACAGAAAGGUAGGUUCCCCUGACUCCCAUAUUCUUUUCAUCUUGUUAAGUGCCUUUCGAACUCUGCAACUGCAUGUAAUUUGCUUGUGGCUUUUGGAAACCAGCAUCGAACAUCUUUUCUUGAGUACCUCCAAGUAUGUGCCCACUUUUUUCUGCAGAAUUUUAAUUUUUUUCAUCUAGUUCAGCAAUAGCAGGGUCUUCAGGUACUUGCACUAUUCCAGCAACUUGUAUUAAACACUGUUUGGUAUUGGUGCAUUUUCGGUUGAUUAUUACUUACUGUGGAGAUUAGUCUCUAUAUAUGAUAUUAAAAAGGAACAUGACUAUUCACCACAUUGUACGGCUGCAUCUUGUAUCCAAUUUUGGCUAAAGUCUGUUUAGCAUGAGAGUUCUACUGUGAUACAAGCACACCAUGGUAAAACAUAUUUGAUAUGAGUAAUAGAUGGGCAAGGGCAUUAAUCACAGUCAUAAGCACCCAGAUUCGUGUCUCUUAUCUUAUUACAAAGGGGACAAUAGUACUGCUAACUGGUAUUAUCUUUGAUGAACAAAGCAUAAGUGUGGGUUGAUGAAAGUUAAUGGCAAUCUUUUACUGAAGUGGAAGGCAAUCUGUGAGGAUUAAGAUUGCACUGCGCACAACUGCAAAAACCUAAUUUACAGUUUAACUACGAAAACUCUUUAAUUAGAUAAAUAAAAGUUUCAAAUCCUUACCAAUUGCUAAGAAACACAAAUAAUCUGGCUUGACCAAGCUGCUCAAAAGUGCAUGCAGCGAGAGCCCCCUGUCUCACUUUGUCUUUUUGUCUGUUUCUCCGGACUCUGCUUUCCUCCUCUUUUGGGGUUCUUCUUGGCCAGACUGUUUAUUUUUAUUUUCUCUCUAUCUGCUCUAGUAAUUUCGUUGCAAUGGCAUCAACUGAAGCAAGACCGAAGAAAGUGCUUAAACGAGACACUUGGACUUGGGCUUACUGUUUUGCUCUUAUUUAUUGUUUUUUGCCAGCCCGGUUAUUGAAACUUCAAUAGGAAAGUUAAGUUCAAAGGCGUUCCUCCACUCCAGUGGUGGGUUGAAGGCAGGGAUAGCAGAGUGGCAUAAAAGAUGACAGUCUGGAACUGGGAGGAUCACUGCCACUGUCAGUUUGGAGUUUAGUUGCUACAAGGUGCAUUCCCAUUCAUGGCUAGGUAUUGGCACGAUACAUGGGUAGUUUUUACUUUCUUAUGGUCGGAAGAUAAUUUGAUGAUUCCAAAGGCUUGGGAACUCCUUAUGUUUCAGAUAAAGAGAAGAAAGCCCCAAAUGCCUCUUAUAAAAUACUAGCUAGCUUCCUAAAGUACUUGUCACUUGUUUUAAAGUGGCCAUAUAGAACAAGAGUACUUUUUCCAAGCAGGGAACAGUUGAACAACUAUGGCACUCAGACUUCCAACAUGAAAUGCAGAUACAGGACUGUGCGAGGUGAAUACGGCUGCACUCUUCCACCAUGCCAUACAUGAGACUGCACCGCAUGGAUUAUUAUGAGAAUGAGUUUGCAGUAAAACCAUAGCCAAAGUUUUUGAAUGGGGCCUUGCAACAGACUCAUGGAAAGCAACAGGAGUGGCACGAACCAGGGAACGGAGUGGAAGGAGUCAUGGAACAGCAACCAAGCGAGUGAAGCCACCGAUAUCGAACCGGUGAAGUCAAUGAGGAAGGAUGAUGCUCCAUCACAAGAAGGAGCAUGGCUGCCAGAUAAGCGAAACGCAGCAACAAGAAAUGCAGGAGCAGGCUGCAGAUGGCGACGAUGGUGGUGACGGGGUGAGUUUCAAAGGGUGAAGUCAACUUCCCCUGGUAUUUUAAUUUAAUGAAGUUGACCAGGAUAGAGACAAUGGAGGUUAAAUCCAUGACACCAUGAGGGAUGAAGGCAGGGACAUCAUUUGUGGUUCUUUUUAUGGACAUUGGCCCUCAAAAGAAAUUGGGACCUAUUUGUUAUUGAAGAGAUCAAAGAUAAUCUCAAAAAUUGUUACAAGGAGUAGAAUAAUCGUUUCUAGUAGCCAUAUGAAGCGUAGAAAUUGUUCUUGAGGUUAAAGCUUCUGGCCUCUUUGAAAACAUUACGAGCAUUGCAGGUUUCCUUCUUUUUCUGGUGAAUCUCUUUGUAGCUUUCUGUUUGGCCCUUUGAUCAACAUGUGCCAUUUUACAUUCUUUGCUAGUAUACUAUGGUUUUGCCCAUAUAUCCGUAUGAACUAGGAUACAUAGAUGCCUUGGAGACACGAGCACAGCUGCAAUUUCAAAAGCUCUGUUCUAACAUCACUGAGUGAUCCAAAUCAAAAUGAAAGACAUCUGUUUUUUCAUCUCUGUCCCACAUACCCCAUUACUGCCCAAUGAUGAUAAAGUUUUAGUUUGUCAUUGCAGAAUGAAAGUGGUUAUAUCAUAUAGUCUUCAUUUGACCUCUUGAGAGUUGACAACUAGAUCAUUGUUGUGGCGAAUGCAUCUACUUGCAAUCCAAGACUACUUUGUCACUAAUCCCUGCAGAUUCCUGUAGGAGGACCAAAUCAUAUUGAUUUUAAUUUUCAGCGGGUUUCUUCAUCAUUUGAUAUGAACUUGGAAGUUGAUAUUCUUCUCGGUUUUAUAAAAGCCUGAAUGCUUAUCGUGGAACUUGCAAUCUAAGACAACUAGAUCAUUGUUCUCAGGACUGUCAAAUCCUUCUGCUAAUUCAGUAGCAGAUGCUUAAAACUUGUAACCUUUAACUGGAGUGCAAAUGUUACUGGAGAGACCAAAAUACUUCAACAAUCACUAUGACAAGGAGGAUGGGGAGAUGUUUCAUUGUUUGUUUCGAGGGUAACCAAGAUCCUGGUAGACCAAAAGAUUAAGAAGUUUUUUCUUUACUGAAAAGAGAAAAAGAGGCACGUUAAUGAAAAAUGGCGCUUUUACUAGCAUUUUCAUAUAUUAACUCUUUAUUAUCGCAUUGGCACGUGUCAAAUGUUGUCACAUGGUCGUUUCUAGUUGCCAAAAUAAAGUCGUGAACUAGGAUACCUUGGAGACGCGAGAACGGCUACAAUAUAGAAGCUUUGUUCUUUCAUGAUAGAGUUAUCCAUAUCAAAUGAAAAAUGUCAGUUUUUUCAUCUCUGUCCCAUAUGCACAGGUAUCGCUUACUAGCUAUUCUCAUGAUAAUUUCGUUUGAGUUUGUCAUCGCAGAAUGACGAGUACUUACAUCAUAUAGUCAGCACUUUUCCUCUCAGAGGUGACAACUAGAUCUUUGUUGCUGUGAAUGCGUCAACUUGCUUCAGCUAAUAAUAUUUAUGAAGGCAGCGACUUCUUUUGUGAUGGAUCCUGUAUGAAUCUGAAAGCUCUUGGGUCUGAGUAAUGCAAUCUAAGACUGUUGUCUCACUGGCUGAUUGGUUUUCGUCAGGAGCUAGAAUUGUAGCUUCUGUCAGAGACUCAAGUUGCCAGGGCCAACGUGAGAAAAGAAGGUUGAAAUACAGAUUUCGUUUUCCGGAGGCUUUAGUUUAAUAUAACUGACUUUUGGUAGACUGCAGAUGUUAGAAUUGAACUUUCCCAUCUUCAUGUGCUGGAAAAGAAUUUUUGCAGUUCAUGAAUGCAAAGCCCUGUAGGUAGUUUGCAAAGGCUGAGACUAGUCCAUGCAAACUAUUCACAUCUGACAUUUAUUUUUCAAAGAAAUAAUAAGACCGGCAAGCUUCCUGACAAGUUGAUUCAUAAUCAAAUUAUGCAUCCCUAUGUGAGUAGUCCAACUCAUAACAUUGAGCACACAAGUUUUACACUAAAAAAUAUGACAUUUAUCUGCUUUGCUGCAGAGAAUAACAAUCUCAGAUGUCGAGUGUCUGCAGUGAUCCCUGUAAGUUGAAACAUCAAACAGGAAGGUGGUCUCCCGCCUCCGCAAUUCUUUUCUUAUCGAUAAGUGCCUACCCAACUCUUCAACUACAUGCACUUUGGUUGCAUCUUUUUUAGACCAGCAUUGCACAUCUUUUUUUUUAGUACCCUCAGUUGUGUGCUCGCUCUGUCCUCUUUUUCCUGCAGAAUUGCAAUUGUUUCAUCUAGUUCAGCCACGGCAGGGUCUUCAGAUGCUUCCACUAUCCCAGCAACCUGUAUUUGGUUCUAGCAAGUUUUCUGUUAAUUAUUACUUAUUGUGGAGGAUGAGUCUAUCUAUAUGAUGUUAAAAAGGAGCAAGGCUAUUCACCACAGCAAAUGGCGUUGGCAGCAUCUUGUAUCCAUUAGAUGGAUAAAGUCUAUUUGGUAAGAGAGCACUUCUGGGAUGAAAAUGCACCGUGGGUAAAACGCAUUUGAUAUGAGUAAUCGAUGGGCAAGGGCUUACAUUGCAGUCAUAAGCACCCAGAUUCAGGUCCCUUGUCUUCUUGCAAAGGUCACAGUAGUACUCACUGGUAUCAUUUUAUCGAAGCGUAAAUUGUGAGUUGAUGGAAGUUAAUGGGAAUCUUUUACUGUAGUGGAAGGCAAUCUGUGAUGAUUAAGAUUGCAAUGCAGACAACUGUAAAAUUCGAACCUGCAAAGUUUACAGCAGAGCAUCGACACUCUUCAUGACAUGUCAACAGUGCUCCAUCCUGAUAUGAGAAGAAGGUAGGAUGUGCAGGUGAACAGGUUGUUGCAUAACUGAGGGCAAUUCAGCACAUGAUUUAUGGAGCAGGAAAGAGCACCUUUGCUCCAGCCAGCGAUAGGCUAAACAUUUGAUGCAUUCAUCAGAAGCCUUGCACGGACCAGCCUCCAUAUGACAGUUCCAGCGGCAGAGGGUGAUCGUGCAGUGCAGAAAGAAGGGGCAACCAAGACAACCAUGGACCUUUGCACCUGAUUCUGUUUUAGAGCUUCAUGUGGAAGACCAGUGGAUGCUGACGGUCGAAAUGGUAGAGAACCGAGUCCUUAGUGCCUCCAGAUCUUGCGAACAUAGAGAUAAAGCCAUGCGUGCAAUCCAUGUCGAGGCUGAAUUUGCAUUUUUUGCAGUCGGAAACCAUGAUAAGCAACUAAGGACGGAUUUUGGUAAUGUUGCUGUUUUAGGAAACAGUUUUUUUUCGGAAGCACUUUUUUUCUAUUUUUGUUCUUGGGAACAAUUUCUGAGUAUUUUAAGAUGUUUGGUAAAUAUUUAAAAUUUUUGUUCACAAAACAAAAAUACGUUUGAUACGCAAAUAUUUUUAUGAUUUAGAAUUUAUUUUAAUUUAUUAAUAAUUUUAUUGCAUUUUUUUCUUUUCUUUUUUCUUUUUCUUCUCCUCCCUCUUAGUCGACUGCCGACCUUGGCCAUGGCCGACCAGCGAUCGGCCAGACAAGGGCCGGCGAGGUCCCACCGAGCCUCAUGGUGGCUAGGCAAGGUCAUGGCCGAGCGACACCGACGUUGCCGAGGUCGCUGAACCUCGUCUGGCAGGUCGCUUGACCGGUUGGGGGAAGAAGAGAGGAAGAGAAAGAAAGAAAAGAAUAGGAAGAAAAGAAAGAAAGAAAAAAACUUGUUUCUUAUUUCUAGAAUUAUUUCUUGGAACAAGAAACAAUUUUAUUUUUGUUUUUUGUUUCCGUUCUAAAUCUAUUCUCAGGAACAAAUUGUUCCCAAUAAUAAAAAAAUUACCAAAUGCGUUUCUAUUCUAUUUCUAUUCCAGAGAACAAAAAGACAAAAAUACGUGUUUCGGAGAGUGUUACCAAACCCUCCCUAAGCAUUAAAUUGAGCUCCUCCAUUUGUUCGAAAGCAAGAGAGAGAGUGUCAUCUUCGCGGGAGACUCGAUGCAAGUUUUGUGGAGAAAAGUAUGCACGCAUAGCACCACAGACCUGCCCCAAGAUCGCUUGCUCGCCGGCUUUGCAUUUGAUUCUACUUUUAAUCCUGAGAUUAUGGAAUGUGAGUAGAUGAUCUUGAGCAUUUGUUGGAUGGCCACAUUCUGAGAAUCCUUGUUGGAGCUGAGUUGCAACUAGGCAGAUGAAGCUACAUUGGGCCAUGCAUUAACAAUCGACACAUCCGAAUGCAAGGGAAGGUUUUCAUAUAUAAAGGUGAAAUAUUGAUUGGAAUAUAUAACUACAUAUAUCACUAGACUGGUGAGGUCGCAUAUUUCAUCAUGCUGUGACCAAGUUUGUUAGGAAAUUAAGAUGAUAUUGUAUAUACAUACACGUUAGGGUUGGGCGAAUCAAGACACCAACAUAAAGAAUAAUGGAGGAAAGUAUCUUUUGAAGACAACAGGUGAGCGGUGAAGACAAUGACCAGUUUAAUUUAGUUUCUUUGUAAUUAGACCUAGUCAUCAGAUGUGUCCCCUUACAACCUUCUCAUUCCUCCCUCCUUUUACUCAUUUCUCAUCCCCCGUUUGCCGCUUUCACAUGCCCUCCCCCCAUUUCUCUCUCUUCUCUAAACGUUUCCACAAAUAUUCUUAAUCGAUACCUUUUUUUUUUCCAAGCAAAAAGAAAAUACCUUAAUUUUUCUCUAUCUCAAAAAGAUGAAAUUUAUGUAUGAUGCAAUUUGGAUGAAAUAAAGAUUAUGAUGCAUAUGCAUUUUUCAUCUAUGGUGAUCAUCUUCAUUUCACUAAUAUGUAUAUUCCUUCUGCUAAAUUUUUUGAAUUUAUUAUACUAAUAAGGGUCAAUCCUUGUUUGAACCAGGUCAUAUCCUUUUCCCAAGCCAAAAAGAGGAAGAAGGUAGAAUUCUCUCUUUUUAUCAUAUUCAUCCUCUCCUGAUAAGGUGUGCGCGUGCAUAUAUGAAAACCUCUCUUCAAUAGCUUCUCAGCCUACCAGACAAAGCCAUUGUCUCUCCAUGCGAGCGCUGGCUAAUUUUUUCCUCUCUCUCUCUCUCUCUCUGAGAAAUAAAAGUUUCAAAUCCUUAUUGAUUGCUACAAAACAAAAAUAAUUGGGCUUGAUAAAGCCUCUCAAACUUGCAUACAUCGAGAGCCCCUUUGUUUUGAGAAUAUAUUACGUACAUGAGGGAGGCUAACUCAACAAAUUACCAGUCCAUUCAUUAAGCAACACAUGUCGCAUCGGGCUACCUUGCAUUAAUUUUCCUCUCUCUGUCUUUUUGCUUUCCUUUUUUGUUUUUUGUUUUUUGUUUUUUUGUUUUAUGUUGUUUUGUUUUGUUUUUUUUGUUUUUUUGUUGGGUUCUUCUUGGCCAGACUAUGUUUUCUUUCUUUGUCUCUCUCUUUCCGCCAUAGAAAUUCCCUUGGGACGGCAACAAGUGAAGCAAGUCCAAAGCAAGACCAAAGAAAGCGCUUAAACGAUACAUUUGGGCUUGGGCUUACUGUUUUGCUCUUAUUUGUUAUGGUUUGCAAGCCCGGUUAUUGAAACGUUAAUCAGGGAGAUAAAUCUAUUCGGUUGUUAUGUUAUUGAUGCAAAACUAUGUGGAGAGAGAAUAAGGUGAUUUUUCCUGGUGGUAAGAAAAUUGAAUGGGAUGAGCCAUGUGGGAUGAGGUUUAGUUUCAGAUAUGAAGUCUGACUUCCAUAUUCUACUGAAAAAGAGAGAGGAGAAUUAGACUCCAUUUAUUUCAGUUGAUGCGGUCAGCUUCAUGAAAGAAUUCAAGUUGGACAAAACAUAAGUCUUUUUUUUUUUUUUAAUCCAAGAAAAAAUAAAUAGGAAAGUUCAAAGGCAUUCUUCCACUGUCCACUCCAGUGACGGGGUAAAGGUAGGGAAAUCAGUUCCUUUUAGUUAGAGCCACUUUGAAUAAACGAACUGAUGUCCCUGCCUUCACCCAACACGGUGCCAUGUAUUUUACCUCAAUUGUCUCUAUCCUGGUCGACUUCAUGGAAGUGAAAUACCAGGGGAAGUUGAUUUCACCUUUUGAAACCCACCCCCUCACCACCCGCGUCGCCAUUUGCAGCCUCCUCCUACAUUUCUCGUUGCUGCGUUUCGCUAAUUGGGCACCACCGCCUCAAGGCCUUGCUCCAUCUCGUGAUGGAGCAGCGCACCUCCUCUUCCACUUCACCGGCUUGGCAUCGGUGUUUUCGCUCACGUGGUUGCUGCUCCAUGACCCAUUCCACUCCGUCCUCUGGCUUGUGCUGUUUCUGUUGCUUUCCGUGAAUCUGGUGUGUGGCCCUAUUAAAAAAACUUUGUUUGUGGUUUUACUGCAAACUUGUUCUCAUGAUUAUCCGUGCGCCGUGCUCCUGUGUAUGGCAUGGUGGAAGAGCGCAGCCACAUUUGCCGCGCCCGACUGAGGAUUGGCGUUUCACACCAGGAGUCUGAGCACCAUAGUUGUUCGACUAUUCCCUGCUUGGAGAAAGUAAUUUUAAUUGUAUGACCACUUUAAAUCAAAUGAUUAGUACUUUAGGACGCUAAGCUAGUUUUGUAUAAGAUGCACUUGGGGCUUUCUUUUUUUUUAUCUGAAAACAUGAGGAGUCCCCAAUCUUUCGUCAUCAUUGAGUGAUCCAAAUCAAAAUGAAAAAUGUCAGCUUUUUCAUCUUUGUCCCAUUUACACCAAUACUGCUUUCUACUUAUUCCGAUGAUAAUAUAGUUGUCACUUACCAUUGCAAAAUGAGUCAUUAUUAGGUAUCGAAAAUGUGCUAAUUGGUUAAUUAGUGUAAUCAAGUUCCCGAUCUUAGACUUUCUAGUUGCGUAAGAAUUGAGAUACACUGAUAUGUCUCACUUGAUUUCUAACUGAUCCCAAUAGACUAGUAGCGACUUUUUUUUGUUACAAAAUUCUUAUGAACGUCCCAAAGUGCACAAGGUAUGGGCUUGGGAGAGCCCAUGCUUAAUCAUGGGCCGUAAGUUCAUCUUUUAGAUAAUAUCUCUAAACAUAUUCCUUAUCCCGAAAGGGAGGUGGCAACAAUCACACGUCACAAGUCAUUGAGAAAGGUCCUCCUCCAGAUGUAACAUGGCGGAUGCAAUUUCUCGUGUAUUUACUUUUUCUCUAGCAAUUUGUGUUGUUCUUCGAAAGACUUCAAGACGCCUCGAAGUCUUCUUGCACCGAGAAAGCGGCACGAGUCUAAUGUCACCGUCACCACAUCUCCCUAUACUAGACAUUACAUGGUCAUGAGGCGUUGGGCCCAUGGUUUUAGUGUAGAUACAAGCCAAACGUGCAUGAAUCAGAAGCACAAGAUCCCAAUGAAUUUCAAUUGUUAGAUGAUAUCGGUUUUAUAUUUCUUGGGUUCGAGUUCAGGCCAACCAUGUCUAAAGUGAGCAUGAAGACGAAAAAGUCUUCUCACAGGUUAGUACAAGGCACGUUCAAUUUUAGUGGCUUAACACAUGUUGCUUUUGUUUGAUCUCACAGAGGGGGACUUCGCAUCUAAUAUAUGGGAUAAAAAUUGGAUCUGCAACAGGAUUAACUAAUUCACAAGCGAAGGAUAAUACAAAGGAGUGAGUCUUAAGCUGAAGUAUUCUAAGAAUCUUACAUCCUAAAGAAGUUUCGGCCUCUCCGUCGAGAAAUAAUACUACUCGUUCAAAAAUCAAUAACUUUUAACGAUUCAAUGAGAACUUAAACCACCAAUAGGCAUGCUACCUUGUUGGUAAGGGGAUUGAGGGGUGGGGCCAGAGAGUACUGGACCCGAUGUUUGAUCUCCAUGACUAUAGAAUAUACAUGUACAUAGAAGAGAGGAGUGAGACAAGAAAAGAAUCAGAGCUUAAAUGAGAAAGCAUUUUUUCAAUGGUACUUGUACCCGUUCAUCAAGGUCUUCUGUGGAGAGUAUGUAAUUCGAGUGUCACUAGAAGUCAUGGUCUUCGUGGUUUUAUGUGUAGAUAUUCAGACCGUGAGAACUACAACAUACAGCGGGUCCUUGGGGUUUGAUAUGUUGAUUUUCUGGACGACUACGCGUUACAUGGUUCGUGAGAAAUGAUGGCCUUACAGAGACUUUUUGCCGAUGUUUGGCCUUGGAAAAUACCCAUCUUUUAUGGAGCGAAAUAUAAUAUCAGAUAGACUUACUCUAUGAGUUCAUCUGAAUAUAAUCAAUUACAUUAUGGAAAUUGUGAAUGGAUACUCGUGUUUUAUAUAGGGACUAGAGUCGGUUUAGUCAUUUCUUGAUGCAUUGUUCGUUGAAAAGAUGAAAAAUAAACGGAUGUCAUAUAUAAACUGCAUCUCACUCUUACAGCAUAGAAUGGAAAAGAGUUCUCCAAGACUUGCUAAUUUGCAGAAGCCAUACAAUUUUAUUUCCUCAAUCCACUUUCACCAAACUUCAGCUUCAAUUUAUCAAUUAUCCCUUUCCUGGACAAGCACUUAAUGACCCUUACUCAUCGCUCUAUCCUGAUGAAGCUUCUGUUGAUUCGCCUUCCAACCGUGAUCUAUUCAUAUAUCGGAGCUGAGCCAAUGAUAUCUCAUGGAAGGGCUGAGCCAAUGGUGACUUUUGAGCUAGAAAAGUUUCCGAGACUUGCUUCAUAGUUGGUCGAGACUUUGGAUUAGCACUCAAGCAAGCAAGUGCAAGAGAAACUAUCAAAACUAUACUUCUUACAAUAGAGUUCUCUCUUGGAAAAGGCAACCGCCGGUCUAGAAUUUUAUGUAGCAUGAUAUCUUCUCCAGAGGAUGUCAACAAGAUAGAUAUAAUAUCUCUUGGAUGCUCACCCAUCAUUGUUUCCAUUAUUACCACUCCAAAACUAUAUACGUCGCAUUUCUCAUUAACGACCAAAGUAUACGCGAGCUCUGAAAAAAAAAAAAAACACAAAAGGCAUACAAAACUUUAGCAAUUGAGGCUUUGGAUGGGAUGACAACACCCUUAGCCGCCCGCCCCACGAGGGUCAACUUUUCCCUCUCCAUCGUGGCCCACAUGACUAUGUGCGGCACCCCACCCUGCUCCAUUUGCCCCUCCAAUUUUUAUUUAAAAACAGUUAAUUUUAUUUCCACAAUAAAACGUUUAAUAGAAAUGAAUGAUUUAGUAAUGCCAAUAUAGAUGUGAUACAAAAUCUAAAAAUCUUACUAUUCCGACAUGCUUUUACUUAGAUGCAACAUAAAGUUAUAGUUUAUGAGACAUUUUUAUUCUAAAAUAAGUAACCUAGUAAUACUAACAAUAGUAGCAUACAAAAUAAAUAUUCAUUUUCCAAAAAUAUUCAAAUAUAUAGAAAUGAAUAAAAUGAAUACAAGAGUGAGAGCCACAGCAAACAAGGUGGUUCCGGGGGGACAUUUUGCCAAUCGUGGCACAACCAAUCCUUAGCUAUUGUUGGUAAGUACAAUAAUAGUCUACAAGUCACCGAUAUGCAUGGAUAGCGAAAUUUCUACAAUGUUGUUUAUUUAACAUCUACCUCUAGUAGUAACUUUCAGGGUGAAAAAAAUAUAUAUAUGAAGCAUAAAGUAUUGCUCACCUGGUGCAAUGUAUCCAUAGGUGCCAGCGAUAUUUGCAGUGAAGUUAGAUGAGGAAUCAUGAUCUAGAAGUCUCGCAGUGCCAAAAUCUGAUACAAAAGCCUGCAUUUAACUAUUAAGUAAGAUGUUAUUACUAGAUAUGUCUCGAUGAACAAUUGGCCGAGUGCACUCAUGGUGCAUGUAAGACAAAGCAUGUGCCAUAUCUCGGACGAGAUCGACUCUUUGGGACCAAUCCAAUUCCACAGCUUCAAUAUCAUCUCUCAAAGCACAAAAUAGACUCCCAUUUUCCAUAUAUUCAUAAACUAAGAACAUGCAUCGCUUGUGUAAGCAGAAACCAUGGAGCUUGAUUAUGCUUCUAUGCCUUACUUCUGUCAAGAGUUUCACUUCAUUUCGAAAGCUCUUGUCGAAGGACGGGUCCUCUGCUUCAAGACGGUGAAGUUUCUUCAAUGCCACAACUUUCCCAUUGGGCAAUCGUGCUCUAUAGACGCUACCAUAACCACCAGUCUCGAUGCAAUAUCUAAGAUCAAAGUCCUCUCUUGCAUCAAUUAUGUCUUCAUAUGCAAUCCUCCCGUCAUAAUUCCAUAUUGACAAGAAAUUUCCAUUUUUCUCUGUAGUCUUUGGUUGCUCUGUUUUUGUUGCAUGUCGAAAUAGAAAGCAAUAUUCGACCACUAUACAAGAAAUCACAACAAGUGGAAUGAACACCACAAUAAAAUCAAUAUUGCUAGACCUUCUUUUGGGGCCUUGGGUUUCAGAAAAUUGGUUCAAAUCUUUGUCGUCGGGAAAAGCACUAUUAGGAAUAAUACCCCUGAGAUUAUCUGGAAUGGAGCCAAAAAGAGGAUUGCUGCGAAGAUCGAGAUAGUUUAACAACCUCAGUUUCCCAAGUUCAACGGGGAUUUCCCCGACCAAGUUGUUUGAGCUCAAAUCUAGUUGUUGGAGAUCCCUUAAAUCUCCCAUUUCUGAUGGGAUGGCACACUCAAUUAUAUUUUCAUGUAAAUUUAGCUCAACCAAGCUUUUCAGAUUGCCUAUUUGUGACGGAAUACAUCCACCGAGUUUGUUUUCUUGCAAAUAGAGAUAAGUCAAGUUUGUCAAAUUUCCUAUUUCUGGAGGAAUAGAUCCACCGAGUUUGUUUCCUCGCCAAGAGAGAUUAGUCAAGCUUGUCAAAUUCCCUAUAGAGGACGGAAUGGGACUAGUGAAGUUGUUGAAACUUAAAUCAAUAACAUUCAUUUUUGCAAGGUUCCCUAGUUCAAGAGGGAUUGAGCCACUUAAAUUGUUUGAGCUAAAUCUAAGGGAUCGUAAAUUGUGCAAGCGACCAAUAGUCAGAGGGAUUGCACCAUUAAGCAAAUUGUACUUGAGAUCCAAGUUGGUCAAUCUCUCCAAAUUUCCCAACUUAGCAGGGAUAGAGCCACUAAUGUAAUUAACACCGAUAUUAAGAACUUGAAGCCUAGUGAGGUUUUGGACACAGGGAGGCAACUCGCUAGUGAGGGAAUUGGAGGACAAGUCAAGGUAAGUUAGCCUUGACAGAGUACAAAUUUGAAGGGGGAUUUUGCCGGCUAGCCUGUUAUGAGAGAAAUCAAGUAAGGUGAGGCUCGAAAGUAGAGAGAAGUUAAGGUUGCUGAAAAUUACCUCCUAUUUGGUACUCAUAUGGCAAGCAAAUCCCAUUGACGCUCCCAGAGGCGUCGCACAAUACCCCAAGCCACGCACAAUGAGGUAAGGUAGUGACGAAGGGAGGCCACCGCCCGCUGUAGAAAAGCGCACCUGCCUCUGACUAGUUAGAAGGUGCUAGUGCUAUAACAAUCGAAUUGUAGUAGGAGAAAGCUAUAGUGAUCAAUAUAGUUAAGGACAUGUUGCAGAUUAUGCUCUUCAUGUUGCAACUCGAGUCACUUAUUAUUGCCAUAUUCUUUGGACUACAGCAUUUAAAAAGCAAAGCGAGACACUGUACCAACACGUCAAAGGAAACACGAUUUCCACAAUUCACGCUUUAUCUUUGUACUGAGUUGACACUUACUGUCUUUUAUUCUUUCCUCUCUUCCUUUUUCUUUUGAGAUGAUGGAGUUGCCAUCAACUCGUAGGCUGUAAAAGGGGAACUAAUUACUAAAAAUUGAAUUAGGUUGUGAAGCAAUCCAAGUUUCAGCACCCCUACAAACCAAAAGCUGAGUAUCAAUUAUCAUCUCUACUUUUGACGUCCUUGCAGAGUCACAAUGCUUCAUCAAGAACUAUUCUAUUAUUUCGAACAAAAAAGAAGAAGAAGAAGAAGAAAGGAUCUUCUUCCAUGCCCAUAAAUUACUGAAAGAGUUGGUAAGUGCCAAAAUACUAAUGAUAAAUGGAUCUUCAUCGGGUGUGAUUUUAUGCAACAUAAAAUCAGCAAUAGUAAUACUAUGACUUUUUAAGUAAUCAAGUAAGUGUCAUAGUUUUUAGCUCACUUAAGUUACAUAGGUGAUUCUUUUACUAGAAAUUCCUAUGUGGCAUUGAUUCUUGGCAAAUCAAUUGGAUUAUUUAAUAUUAAAUUAAUGCCACAAUGAAUUUUCAAGUUAAAAAAACCAUUAUUGUAAUUUUAGAUAUUCGGUUUUUAAAAGUUAUGCCUCUAAUUUCUGAGGAAACAAAAUAUUCUACUCUUGUAAAUCUCUGAAUUUCGUAGUUUUGUGAUUCGAUUGGAAUUUAAACAAGCAUACCGGCUAAAACAAAAGGAUUUAAACCAUGUAAGGAUGGAUCUUGUGCACAUCCAUCAAGAAGUCAAGAUCUUUUGGGGUUUUACGUGUGUUGACUUUGGAUUAGUACGUGGUCGAUGGUUCAUGGGAAGUCAAGGUCUUCAUGACACUUUUAUUGGGUAAUGUUUGGCCUUAAAAAUCUCUAACCCAUCGUAAGGGAAACGUCAUAGACCAAUUUUUUAGCAUUUUCUUCUUUUGACUAACAAGCCUUCAACUUAGAGAGGAAACGAUCCUUGUAAUUCUAAUCACACUAUAAAUAUCAAAGCGUGUUGUGCAUCAAUGAUAGUGACCCUAUUGGAAUCAUUUCUCAAAGCACAUAGUAGACUUCCCCUUUCAUCAUCUACUCAUAAACCAAGAACAUGCAUCGCUUGUGUAAGAAGAAACCAUAAAACUUAAUUAUGCUUCUAUAUCAUACGUCCGUCAAUUGUUUCACUUCAUUUUGGAAGCUCUUGCCAAAAUACGGGUCCUUUGCUUCAAGAUAGUGAAAUUUCUCCAAUGCCACAAUUUUCCUUGGGCAACGAUGCCAUAUAGACACUACCGUAACAUCCACUCACUAUGUAAUAUAUGAUGUCGAACUCUUCCGUUGAAUUGAUUAUGUCUUCAUGUGCAAUUUUCCCAUCAUAAUUGUGACAUCCUAAAUUUCUAGUACUGUUUUCAAUUGAAUAAAUCGGGCAUUUCAUCAACACGUCUAUAGUGCUAUUUUCAGAGCCGAUCACUCGUGAGAUAAUUAGACUAUCUGAGGAAGUCAUUAAGAGAUUUCAAUGUAAUGAACUUAAGAAUUCGACUAGAAGUCGACCGCUCGACCGUGCUAGUCUACAAGGGUCAUUACGGCAUUGUCAAAAUCGAUAAGAAAUCAAAGAUAGGUCAAUUCGAUAGAGAUGUGUGAUAAAAGUGUGGGUGAUUCCACCUGAUGGCAAAAUUCUCAUCAAAUGGUACUGGACCGAUUUUUUGUCGUUUUCAGUACCCUGUGCCCGUAAUUGAAACUUUGAGAUUUUCACAACCACCGAGAGUUGCCAAUGUAUCGAGUGAUUUCAUUGUGGCUCGAAGAAAAUCGACCACGGAUCAUUUGCACUAAAAAUCUCCGAAAAACUACUUAGUAGCCUAGGUCAUGCUAAAAACGCGUCGAAUGGAAAUUAACCGUGAAUUUGAACCCGAUUUCAGAAAUUGAAAGUUAUGUGGUGUCACGAUUUAUUUUAGGAAUGUCGACUCAUCCUCAAAAAAAAUUUCAGAGAUUUCAGGAUUUUUAUGAAAAACCGUUUCAGACGUCGUAGAAAAUUAGCGGAAAUUCAAAUUGGCUAAAUCGAUGGAAAUUGAGACUUCUAAACCAAGCCUUUGAGUGUUGGGGACUUACAGAAAAUUGUUCGGGAUUUUUCUUCACCGAAAUUGAACGUCGAUUUGGGAAAUUUCGCAAAGAAAUUGGAGCUUAAAUUUAAGAAAUUCGGAGCUAUGGUUUUAGGGCUGCAUUUUGGCAUCAAUUUGGUGAAUUUAUGUGUUUAAUUUGUUGGAAAGUAAUGGGGGACAAACAAUAAAUUGAAGAGAUAAAUAUGUUGACUUUGGCCCCUUCAACUGUGGUUUCUCCAUCACGUUUGCCAACUGCCUUCCCCUUCGACGCCGACUCCAUCAGCUCUGUCUUGCAAUUUCUUUUCUUUUGUUUACUCUUCAACCGAAGCCCCUCUCAUCCUCUCGUUUUCUCUCUUUCCAUCAACACCGGACCAUCAUCCACCAUCACCCUCCACCGAAAACCUUCCCCCACUCACACAUGCCCACUUCCACCCAUCGUUUCUCCUCUUCAUGCCACCUACCUGUUUUUCUUCUUCAACGGUCAAUCGAAGAAGCCCUCCCCACCAAUGGAGACUCAGGCUGCUCAAACAUCCACCAAAUUCUGUCUCUGCUGAGCCAAUCCCUUGCUGUGAAGCUCCCAUCUUUGACCGCUAGCUGCCAUCCCCAUGUGCAGCUCCAUUCCACCAAAGACUCACGCUAGCUUGCUCGAAUCCUCGUGCAGUUCAUCUCACUGAAGCAGCACGUCCACAACCCAGCUCCAAUUCAGGCCAUGUCUCUAGCGAAAUCAUCUCCACCGAGGCAAGUUUUGAAGCCCAUCUUCAUGCAGCCCAGUUCGGUUUUGUUGCACCAACCCAUGAAACGUUCUACUCCAUCCAGCGUCUUGGGCUAGUGUCUUCAGCCCACGUGAAUGAUCAAGCCCAGCAACCCAGUUUUUGAAGCCCGCUUCAACCUUGAUCCAAUCCAUUGAAGCCCACGAAGGCAAGCCCAGUCCGCAGCCAAAGCCCAAGGCCUAAGCCCAGCUUUUUGUUGUGGGCUUGCGAGGUUUCUUGGCCCGGUCUAAGUGUCCAUCGACACUGUUGAAAAUUCAGAAUUCGGCCGCUGUCGCGCCGUCGUUGCGGUGUUCUGGUCUCCACUUUCAAACAAGUGAGUUUUGCUCACUAAUCCCUUAUUACUAUGCUAAUGAUGCUUAGGGGUUGUGUAGAUUUAAUUAAGUGAAAUUAUGUUGAUAUAUUAGAUUAGCGCAAUUAAAUUAGUGCAUUCUCAAUGCAUGUUAGACAAGUGGCUAGUGAUAUUAGCUAGUGAAUAAUUUAUAGUAUUUAUUGAACGAAUCUCGGAAUUUUUUUGGGUCCGUUUUAGCUUCUAAUUAGGCAUUACGGGCCUAAAUUGGAUUUAUUGCAAUUUAUUUAAUAAUUUUGGUAAUUAUUUAUUUAUUUAUUUUUCGAAAAUUAAGUUGGGAUAGUCGAUGACCAAAAUUUUAUGUUGAUUGUUGUGGUGCAAUCCUUUUUAUUUAUUUGAGCAUUGAUUUGUACCGAAUUGAAUUGAUUAUGAUUUUAGGAUUUUAUUUCUAAGUUAAUUAAAUUUGGUAAUUAAGUGGAAAAUUAUCGGGCGUCGGUUUACAGCGCCAAAAAUCUAUUUUGGGACUGUUGAAAAUAGUGAGAGAUUCAAAAGUGAAAAUCUUAUAUUUUGGCUAAGGCUGACCGUGUACCCGUGCACAUGUAUUUUUAUUAGGAAUGAUAAAAAUGAUGAAUUGAUAAAAUGAUCAAUUAUCAAUAUACUAGGAAAGUAUGGCUGGCAGCUUUUGGCGAGCAUAUAUACAUUUAUCAUCAUGCUAUGAGAGUAUGGCUAGUAGCUUCUGGCGAGCAUAUUAGAUUAGCGAAUCAAUGGAUCUAGCAGCUUCCGGUGAGUAUAUAUAUUAGAUUAUCGAAUUAAUGGAUCUGGCAGCUUUUGGUGAGCAUUGUGACAUCCUAAAUUUUUAGUUCUGUUUUCUAUUGAAUAAAUCGGGCAUUUCAUCGAUGCACUUAUAAGGCUUUUUUUAUAGCUGAUCACUCUCGAGAUAACUAGACUAUCUAGGGAAGCUAUUAAGGGAUUUUAAGGCAAUAGACUUGAGGAUUCGAUUAGGAAUCGACUUUUUGACCGUGCUCAUCUUUAGAGGCCAUUACGACACAAAAUGAAAUCGAUUUGAGAUCAAAGAUAGGUCGAUUUGACUGAGAUGUAUGGCUGACCGUGGGUGACAUCACUAAAUUGGAAAAUUCUCAUCAACCGACCCUAGACUAAUUCUUUCGUCGUUUUGGUACCCUAUGUCCAUAAUUGAAUCCUCAAGAUUUUCACGACAAUCGAGAGUCGCCAAUGUGUCUAGUGGGUUCAUUGUGGCUCGAAAAAAAAUCAACCGUAGGUCAUUUACAUUAAAAAUCUCUGAAAAUUACCCGGUAGUUUAGGUCAUGCUAAAAACGCACCGAAUGAAAAUUUACCGACAAUUCAAGUCCGAUUUUAGAAAUUGAAGAUUCUAUCAUGUCACAAUAAAUUCUAGGAGUAUCCACUUAGUUUCAGAAGAUUUUUUUUGAAAACCAAGAUUUUUUUAGAAAAAGUCGGCUUAGGACCAUUUUUGUGCAGAAAAAGCUAUGGAUUAAUUUUGAUUACAAAACUGGGAAACAAGAUGGAUUCAUGGGUGAGGAAAAAUAUCAAUUGAAGCAUUUGGGUGCCAAUUGAAUUAAUUGAAGCUAUAUGAGAUUAAAUCAAGAGAGAUGAAGUAUCCAAUUGAAGCCCAUUUCUUACAAAUUCGUAGCUCCCCCUUUCCCCUAGCAUUUUGGGCCAUCUCAUAUGUUGUGGAGAGGGUGUUGGUGGCUUAAUAGCAGCCAUGGGUUAUUGGCUUAAUGGACAAGUCUUUGGGGGACAAGAGUGUGGAAGAAGUUGGCCAAGAGACCUCACCAAAGUAAACUUGCUCCACACACUUCUCUCUCUCCCUCAUCUUCUCCCUUUGGCUAGCCAAAAUCACUUUAUUCUCUCCCUCCAUCUUGUUUUUCGACCAGUAGCAAGAGGAGAAGGAGCAGCAACCAACGGAGCCAGUCGCACGCCACCACCGUCGCUGAAACGCCGCCCGCAUGCUCCGUUGUCCCCGCACGCUGUUUGCCCUCGAUCUUGCUUCCCCCACGCUAUACAGCCCUUUGUCCCGCCGUUCCAGCAACCGUGAGUGGCUAAGGAGGCUUGCUGGAGCUAUCGUUCAACUCGCCGGAGCUCUGCCUAGUUAUUACCAGCCUUUGCUCGCCAUUUCAACCGCCAAAGCUACACCAACCAGCUAAGAAUAGAAGCUUUUCCAGUGGGUUUUCAGCACCAUUCCAAGCUCUUUUUGAAGUGGUUAUAGACCUUGGAACCUAGGCCCGCUUUGGAGAAAAAUGUCAUUUGCGACGUUUCUAACGUUUCAAUCCGAGCAGAAUGUUAAUCAAGUGAGUUUUGCUCACUAAUCCCUUAUUAGUCGGUUAAUUAUGCUUAAAGGUUAUUUAAAUAAUCUUAAGGAUGGAUUAGUGAUAAGCUAUAAUGGAUUAGUAUAACUUAAUUAGUAAGAUUUGUGUAAUAGAUGAUGGAUUAGUCGAAUCCAGUGAAAUUCCUGCAGUUUUGGUUUCUAGACUCUAGUUGUUUGCCAUUUUUGUAGAUCAAAAUGUGUUACGAAUAUGAGGUUAAUGUUUUCUUGAGAAAUGUUUUAUACAUCCUCAGCUACAACAUAUAUUUUACUCAUGAUUUUUCGAGAUUUAAAAUAUUGAGAUAUGAGCUCCGUCAUUUGCAAAUAGAAUCUCGGACUGCGCUGUAACUUGUGACUUUUAAGGAUUCUAGGGGUUUUUUUACUAACUCUUAGGGUUCGAAUUUUAAAAUGUUUUCUUGAUAAACAUUGUUUGUCAUAUCUUCUAGUUUAACAUACUCAAAUUUCAUAUCAAAUGGACAUGGUUUAGAUUUCGAACCAAACUAAUUUCGGAAAACAUAUUUUUGGAAAACAGACAUAGUUUUGUACUAGAUUGAGUGAUUUACUGGGCCGAACUUAGAAGGAUCUGGGUUUAUAUAUCCUCAUGAAAAAUGUUCAUUUAUGUGUCUUUUAUAACAUAUUCAAAUUUGAGAAUUUUUCAAAAUUAUUUUAUUUGGUUUAUGGAUUUAAACUUGGAAACAUGCGAGUGAGCCUAUUCUACCAGUUAGAGUCGGUUAUGAGUUGUGAUGGUUCUUGAUGCUUAACUUGCUAGAAAUUGUACAUUUGAUGAUAUGGUUACUUUGUGCUAUGCCUUGAGGACUAUGUGUGAUGAGGCAUGAAUAGUUAUGUCAUAGCUGUGGUGUUGUUAGUGUAAUGCUUACUGAUUUGUGCAAAAUUGAUAAUGUAUGGUUGGUUUGUGAGAUGCCUAGAACUCAUACUUGAUAAUCGUGUGGGCACUGCUCCUAAAUGGAAAGCCCGUGCCUGUGUAGCGAUAAUUAAUCGUGCCUGUAUGGCGUAAUAUUAGGCUUGUGUGGUGUAGAACGUGCUUGUGUGACAUAAUACCGAGCCGUUUGGCUGUAUUUCUGUGAGUGUCAGGUAUCAUGCAUGUGUGGCCGAAAUUAAUUGAAAGGCACGAGUUAAGCACAUCGUUUAUGGCACACACACGCAUGAAUCGAUGACGUGCAUGGUGUGGCAAUGGCUAGGUAAGAUCACUUGUAACGCGACUCAUUUGUGAUUAAUGAAAUGCAUCAUCUAAUGGCCAUAUGCAUUUCGUGUAUCAUGCGGAAUUAUAACGUUCAAGAUAUGGCAUACGAGGUAAGGAUGUAUGCAAAUCGGCAGUUGCCUAUUCAAAUUGUGUGGUUGUGCUUAGGCAGCUCCUAAAGCAUAUUUUCUUCCUAAUCGGGUCUUAGGGAGUAUAACUUCCUGAGACAUUAUCUCAUUGGUUAUUGAAUAACCAUUUUCAGGUCUAUAGAUGGUGUUGGUAAAGGACCAAGAGCUCAGAGUUAGUGAGGUGAAGUUCGAAGAAUCGAUGACCAUGUCCGACUAGCUAGUCGUAGACAAUUCUCCUUUGUAGGGAGCCGAUUCUUUUCUAUAAACCUUUGUGUAUAGACCCAGAUGUUUAUAAAAAGGUAUAUUUUGAAAAAAAAAAAGAAAGGGCUGGCACUGCUUUUCUAUCCCAUUGUAUUAUUGUCUAAGAAUUAUAUAUAUGCUUCCGCAUGUGCAUUUAAAUAAAUAGGUCGAUGAUGUGUCCUAGAACAUCGCUACUUAAUUGAUCAAGAAAGGAUGGGCACGUGCUCGAAGGAUCGAUGCGUGACAAGUAUAUAUAUAGAAUAGCGGAUCAAUGGAUUUGGCAGCUUUUGGUGAGCAUAUAUAAUUCUCAGCAUACUAUGAGAGUAUGUAUAGCAGCUUCUGGCGAGCAUAUAUAAUAUACUAUAUCAGAAAUUGAGGUAGCUCUUGGCAAGCAUAUAUGUAUAGUAUAUUAUCUCAGUAUUUAAGGUAGCUUCAGGCGAGCUAUAAUAUCUACUAUUGGUUUAGAAUGAGCAGUCAUGGAUUAUGGUUGGACUCAUAGAUAGUAUUGAUUGAGAUGACCAAGGAAUGAUCUGCGUGAUAUGUAAUCAACUAAGUCGAUUGAUAAAUGAUUUUAUCUGAUGCUGUGAAUGGAUGUGGUUCCUAUAUAUUUGAUAUAUACUGACUUGCAGGAAGAAACUGAGACUAAAUUAAGUCAUUUGACUCAUGUUGUGCUUAGGCAGCCUUUAGAAUAUAUUGGCUUUCUAAUCGGGUCUUAAGGGAUAGAAGUCCUUUGACUCGUGUUGUGCUUAGGUAGCCUUUGGAGUGUAUUGGCUUUUUAAUCGGGUCUUAAGGGGUAGAACUCGCUAAGACAUUGUCUCACUGGUUAUUGUAUAACUAUUUUCAGGUCCCUAUGUGACGGUUGUAGACAGUCGGAAGUCUCGAAGUUUGGGAAUGUGGAAGAAACAGAAUCGGCAAACUUGUCUGGCUAAUUAGUCAUAGGAUAGUUCCUUUUUGGUUAAGCCGAUACUUUUGUAAGUGACCUGAUGUUGUGGAUAAAACAUGUUUGUUAUAAAAUGUUUGUUUUGGUUUGAAAGGUUGUGGAAAAAUUGGCCCUACUUUUAUAUCAUAUUGCUUUAUUAUCUGGGGAUUAUUAUUAUAUGUUUCCGCAUGCAUAUUAAAAUGAAAGGAUCGGCAAUCCAACCUGGGACGUCGCUAUUUAAUCGACCAAGGUAAGGGAUGAGUGCGUGCCCGAGGAUCGGGGUGUGAUAAUAAUUCCUUAUAAAAAGAAAUCUCCAUGUUUCUUUGAUGCCUUUGAUUGCAUGCUUUUGUUGUACAUUGAUAUAUGAAGUAAGGCCUAAGAACUAGAUGGGAAAUUACAUAAGUGAGAUUAUCCAAACACAUCCAUUAAAAAAUGUCCAAAAUUCAAAGAGAGUCACGAGUUCAUGAACAAGAUCUAAUUUUUUCUGGUGAACCAUAUAAAAUUGUCCAACCUCUCUCAAAGGUUAAAUCCAAAUUAUUUUAAGAGUCCAUUUAUGUUUCCGAAAUUGAUUAUUAUUGCUUCAAGGACACUGUUGUUGUUGAGUAAUUGAACUUUGUUGUUCCUUUUAAUUAUCACGCCCCGAACCUCGAGUAUGCACACAUCCCUUGGUGGUCGAUAAAAUUUGCGACAUCCCAGGACGCGUCGUCGAUCCAUUCAUUUUAAUGCAAAUGCGGAAGCGUAUAAACAAAACUCUAGACAACACAAAUAAGAUAUAGAAAAGCAGGAAACAAAUUUCACAAAACUCUUUUAUAAACACAUUAGGUUUAUAUACAAAAGUUUACAAAAGAUCGGCUCUAAAAAAGAAGCUGUCUUACGACCUACUUGUCAGACACAUUCAUCAAUCCUUCAGACUCUACCUCCACAGGUUCUGGGGGCUUCAGGUCCUCCACAAUCCCAUCAGGAGGGUUAGCUGCACCCUCGCCUAGAGCAGUGUUGACCGCAAUGGCGGGGAUAUCAAAUCCUUGAAUGGGACCUACCCUAUACCCAUUGAGUCCAUGGCGAAACAACACCCUAAAUCGAUGAGGUAUCAUUUAAGGUAGAUCCUCAUCAACCCGGACAAUGAUCAUAAACAGCUCAUAGACCUAAUAACUCCUAGGAAUAAGGAUGUCUAUGCUUUGCUCAAUAAUAGCCCGAGGUUGACCAAAACAUUCCGGAGGGACUACCAUCUAAGAACCUGAAAAAAUUGAACCCACGAUGGAGUGAGACAACGUCUUAGCAAGUUCACCCCCCUAAACCCCUAUUAUGAAGGAAAUACGCCUAGGGGCAACUUAACCACACAACCAUAGAGACUCAUCUCGCCUCAAUUCCUCCCUGCAUGUUAGCACAAUUCAUAUACAUAAUGCAUAUAAUAGAUGCACACAUCAAUUGGACCGACUCACUAAAACUCAAUCAAUCACAGGGGUUCCGAUUAUAAGGCCAAAUUGUUAUGACACGUCACAUAUCACGCCACACAAUUUUGUCCCAUAAUCAAGCGUGGUUAAACCGUUCAUUCAUGCAUUCCAAUUUUAUCAUGCCCCAAUGGGCACGGCCUACUCGACGUUCGGCGGUCUUUUGGCAUAACCAGGCAUCAUCUCACCCUAUUGAGCACGUUAACGUCUAUCUUGAGAUGGCAAUCCCAAAGGAGCAUCGGUCUAGAAUCUACUACGACUAGUAUCCAUUGUCUAAGGGCAUCCCAUAUAAGGGCAACGUCCACCCGACUCAUAUUGGGGACGGGUUCUCAUAUCCAUCACACGAUCAUUCACUUAUGGCCAAUGAUAUUGUGCAUUGCACUCAAAUGUCUCAAUUAAAAUAGUAAACUUGGCCUAUUUCAUUCAUAUUAAAAACACACGGUAAAAUAAUCGUAUGUGGGUACACGGUUAAAAUUGAAUCAAAAAAAUUGAUAUCCUCCCUUUUAAAAUCCCACGGUUUGAUAUAGUCUUUAAAAAAAAUUUCGGUGUCAAAACCCGACACCCAGUAAUUUCUAAUUAAUUACCAAGAUUUUGUAACUUUGAAAUAAAUACUCAAAAUCACAAUCACCACUCAAUUUGUAUAGAUUAACACUCAAUUGCAUAAACUAAGUAUACCACUGCAAUCAGCAUGAAAUUCCAGUCACUGACUAUUUCGAUAUAAUUUUCGGAAAAAUAUUAAAUAAUUAAAUAAAUUACAAAAAUAAUUAAAUAAUGCAAAUUAAAUCCAAUAAAUGCUAUUCUAACCACUUAAACGGGCCUACAAAUAUAAUGCACAUAUCUAGAUAAAUAGUACAAUCUAUUUAGUAUUUAGUCCCUAAUCAAUCUAUUCUAAUCACCUAACAAGCAUAAUUAAAUAAUUAAAUCACUAAUCCAAAAUAAAUAACCACCUAAUCUCAUUUUAAGUUAAGCUAAUCAACUCUUAAGCAUAAUUAACCUCAUAAGUAAGGUUUAGUGAGUAAACUCACCGUUUUAGCGGGUCGGUGAAUCCACGACGACGGCGACGUAGACACGAGAGACAAACAAGCCUGUGGCGACACCAAGUGAGGUCUGAACAAGGCCUCAAAGUCUCAGCUAGGCUGAAACUUUAGCUUCUGGUCACGACUGAAAGGGGCUGUCCGAGCGGCUGCUUAGCACGGAAAUGGCGAGGAGGUGGACCAGGUGGCUACAACGGGCAACAACGAUGGCUCCAGCGGCUUAGACGGCGACCAAGGUGAGUUCGAGGACCUACGAGCAAAUGCGGGAUGACAGCCUGGGCUCGCGAGGGACGUCGAGCAGGCGCGAGACGAGUGGGACGCGAGCGCGCGACAAUGUGGCGUGCGGGCGGCAGCGACGACUCUCGACAGGCUCAGGUGGUGCUCGGUUGUGGCUGGCUCAACUGCAGGGCCUCUCUCUAGUUUUCUUGAGCUCAAAACACCACACAACAAUGGAGAAAUCGAUGCAAGGAAGAGGAAGACAGUUGUUGAAGAGGGGGGCACAAAAUAUCCAAACACUCAAGUUUCAUGCCCCACCAUGCUCAGCCAUCAUCCUCAACCAUUAUCCACACCAAGGCUUCUCCAAGAAGUCUCCCAAGGUGGUUGAAAUGUUGCUCCCCCCUUGACCUACGAAUUUUGUAACAUUUCCCCUCAAUUUCAUCCAAUUCCACUUCAAAACUUCUCCAAUUGAGCUCAAAUCAAAGGCCAAAAUGUCAAGUCGGAUGCCCACAUCACAUUCUACAUUUUUCCUUGCCAAUUAGUGUAACUUGAUUGCCAAAAGUGCGAUAAAAACAGUCAUUUAAUUUUCCCGAUCCAAAAAUGCCUAAAUUUGAUUUUUCGCCAAAAACUCAAGUUUGCAGAAAAAUCUUUUCUAAAAUAAAUCGCGACAUGACAGAACUUUCAAUUUCUGAAAUCAAGUUCAAUUUCGUAGUUAAUUUCAACCGAGCGCAAUUUUAGCGUGACCUAACUUAUCUAGUGGCUUUUAGGAAAUUUUAGUGCAAUUGACCUGUGGUCGAUUAUUUUCGAGCCACAUUUUACAUUUUUGACUUAUUUGUGACUCUUGGUUGUCGUGAAAAUCUCGAGAUUUCAAAUACGAGCACAUGAUAUAGAAAUGACAGAAAAAUCAGUUUAAUGUCAUUCGAUGAGAAUUUUGCAACUCAGUGGAAUCACCCACACUUUAAUCACAUACCUCAGUCGACCGAUCUACUCCGAUCUCUAGUCGAUUUUGACAGUGCCGUAUUGACCCUUGCAGAUUAGCAUGGUUGAGCAAUCGAUUUCUAGUCGAAUUCUUAAGUCUAUUGCUUAAAAUCUUUAACGGCUUCACCAGAUAAACUAGUUAUCUCGUGAGUGAUCAACUCAGAGAAAAAGACUAUAGGCGUGUCGACGAAAAACCCAACUUAUUCAAUCGAAAACAGAAUAAGAAAAUCAUGAUGUUACACUAAUCAUCCAUAAAUCCAUUCAUAACCCCAUUUUAAUUAUUUUGUUUAAUCUCCCACAAGACUGUUGAAAAAUUGCAAGGAACUGCCAUGAAAGAGACUAUUUGCAAAAGUUGUGUGGUCAGUGGAACAAGACGGCUAAAUGUCAAAAACAGCUUUCGACAUACUUUGUCGAAGUUCGACUUUGGCAGCUACACGUAACAUGUUAUUGUCUUGAGCACUUCACAAAAAACCACUGAUUGAUAACCCUCGUAGCUGGACUUAUGGUUCAUCAUCAAUGAAUCGCUAGGGAGGGAAGAGCAAAUUUCCCUUUUGCAAGCCCCCCUCAAACAUGAGGAUAUAGUCAUAAUUGACAGUGACAUUAUCUCUAUAGAUGGAAUUACAAUGUAGUUUGUAGGAUUAUUUUUUCACGCUAGUUCAAGUCUUGAGUCACCACAACCUUUCAAGUCACUCUCUAAUCGAAAGGGAUAUCUUAUCUUGGGAACUUCACGACAAUAGUGUCGUUCAUUCUACGCGUUGCAUAUCCCUAGUGGCACAACAAGAAAGACGGAUAACAAAAUAUUUGUUGUGCUAUUUUCUUGCCUAAAUCCUUGAACGCUCGCCCAACACCUCUGUCCAAAGAACUCUAACCUGAAUUCAAUUGAGAUCUCGCUCUAAUCUCUUCAAAUCUCAACUCAAAUUGAAAGAUUCUUGGUUGAGCCUGAGCUGUUUCUUUCCACAAUUAGGAGAAAAUGCAAAUGUUUUCUCCCAUCCCAAAAGAGUUAUUGUGUAGUAUAACCCCUUAACUACUUGACUUAAUUAGAGCGGAUUCUAAAAUGCGAGGCUAUAAUGGUAAAUGUGGGAUGAGACAUCAAAUUUAAGAUUUUGUUCAUACAUGAUAUUGAUAACUAAAAUGGAAAGACAAAUAAUGCACAGCAUUAAUUUUUUAACUUUCGAGAAUGCUUUUAUCCAGAUAAAAAAGAAAAAUGAAAAUUCUCAAUAUGAAUAGAAAUUUUAAAAUCAAGCUUUAUUGGAUGCCAGUUUGAACAUUUUGACAAUAACCGGUGCUAUUUUCGUUUUUGGCCGAACCAUUUUUCCACGACCUUUCUCGUUCUAAAAGAUGCAUUUGCAAAACUGAAAUUGAUUCCCUAAAGAGCAUGGUAAAAAGCGUUUUCCGAAGGAUUUCAUCAAUAUGCGAAAAUCAACGGUCGCGAUUGUUUUGGUGUAGGAACCGAAACUGGAGACAGCAUAUACGGUGGUAUGGCAUGGGAAGUCGCCACGUGGCGCGUCGUGGAACUUUUGCUUGGCCUUUCAGUUUCUCUGCUGGAGGACUUCUGACUAUGAGAGAGAGAGAGAGAGAGGUCGCCGGACGCUUGUGGUUGGCGACGGCGGAAAAGAGGAUGGCCGUGGCGGCGAGCCUCUGCAACCGCAUCCCCUCUCCGCGCCUCGGCCGCUUCCCUCCUCCUCCUCCUCCUCCUCCUCCUCCUCAUCCCCUCGCCGUCAGUCUCUCUCUCUCUCUUCGUGUCUUCCAUGGAGUUCGCUUUUUACUGUAUUCAUGUUGCGGAUUCUUCUUGAACGAAUCCGAAUGUUUUGCCCGAAAAUAUGCUUCCUUUCUUAUGUUUCGCGGGCCUGCUUCUUCAAUCUCACGACGAUUUCUCAUGUUCUCCUUCUUCUUCUGCGCCUGCGUUUUUUUGAAUUGAGGAGUUGUUGGUUGAUGAUUGGAUAAUGUGAUGCUGUCGCCCAAAUCCAAACCCCUCGCUCGCGCGCGCAGUCGCCCAAAUCUCCCCCAAACCUCAACUCAAACCGCGAAUGGAAGCCUCGCUGGCUAUGUAAAUGUGUUCGGACGACUUGUUCAUUAGUUGGGGACGAAUGGUUGUUCCGCUCUCACAUCUAUAUCCGUCGGUUGAAGUGUCUGCUAGCUGUUUGUGAAAAUGCCCAAGCGAACUUUUGCGAAAAUUUCCCUCUGGAUUUACAUAUCUGAACUCCAUUGCGUAUCCAAAUCGUAAUGAGCGCUUUUGAUUCAUUCAUUUAGUCUCGGUUUUUCAUCUUUGAAUCCGAAAGCAAGAACAACGUAAGGAUGUUUGUUUCUCUGUUUUAUGUGCUAUGUCUUGUGGCCUUAAAUGCCGGUGGGAGAUAUGGUCUGGAAUCGUUGAUACGCAUGGUGAUUUUCUCGCUGGUGGCACCCCAACUUCUUUUAUGUUCAUGUACCAUGUGUCUCGGUGAUCUAUGACCUGUAUACGUUGUAUCCGUUGAAUGGUUGGAAAUCGUCACGGUGGACGGUGGUGGUGCCUGGUGACUCCGGCAGUGGCUUGAUAAUGAUCAUAAGUGAACGAUAGUGAUGCUCAGUUGAAAAAUAUGGGCCGUAAUGCCACUUCAUUGAACUCAUCAGUGACAAAAAAAUAAUAAUAAUAAUAAUAAAUAAAAAAACAGCCACAACACUACUUCCUAUCACUAUUUCUUUACGUUGGAGUUGCUUCCUCUCCAUAUUUUUCUUCUUUCUUGACAGGCUUAUUGCUUUAACUAGAAAUUCAAUUGCAGCUGAUUAUGAUGUUGAUUCAAUCUGUAUUUCUAUAUCAACUUUCUGUCCCUUACCUUGUCUGGCACUUCUACUCUUAACCUGAUAUUAUAAGAUUUCAUUAGUUAAAAAAAAUUGACGUUCUUUGUAGCUUUCUGUUUGGCCAGCGGAUGAAUUUGUGUCAUUUUACAUUCUUUGCUGGCGCACUAUGGUUUUGCUCAUUUAUCCAUACGAACUGGGAUAUAUAGAUGCCUUGUAUACAUGAGCACAGCUGCAAUUUCAAAAGCUCUGUUCUAUUGUUGAGUGAUCCAAAUCAAAGUGAAAGAUGUCAGCCUUCUCAUCUCUGUAGCCCAUACACCAUUACUGCUUACUAGCUAUUUUGGCGACAAUAUAGUUUUAGUUUUCCAUUGCGGAACAGAGUUGGUACAUCAUCUAGUCUUCAUUUUACCUCUACUAAAGCUUUGCUGUGGCAAAUGCAUCAACUUGCAAUGUAAGACUAAGUUGUCUCACUGGCUGAUUGGCUUUUGGCCAGGAGCUUGAAUUGUUGCUUCGGUCAGACAUACGAGUUGCUGGGGCCAAGGUGAGAAAAAAAUGCUGAAAAGUAGAUUUUUAGUCAGGAGGCUUCAGUUCAAUAUAACUUUUGGUUCACCGUAGACUUUAGAACUAAACUUUUCUUAUCUUCAUGUGCUAAAGGAUUUACAGUUCAUGUAUGCAAAGCAAGAUAGAUAGGAUGCCAAUGCUCAAGACAAGUCUGUACAAACAACACACAUCUGUCGUGCGUGUAUGUGGAAGUAAUUAGACCAGAAAACUUCCUGACAAGUUGAUUGAUCAUCAAAUUACGCAUCCCCAAUUUGAUACUCCAUUCAUAACAUAGAGUACGCAAGUCUUGCACUUCAGAAAUAUGUUUUUUUAUCUGCUUUUACUGCAGUGAACAGCAAUCUUGGAUGUCAACUGUAGCAGUGAGUCCAAUUGACUUGCAUAAGAAGGCAAGUUGAAACAUCAAACAGAAACGUGUUCUCCUGACUCCCGAAUUCUUUUCAUCUUGGUAAGUGCCUCCCCAACUCUGCAACUACAUGCACUUUACUUGCGGCUCUUCAAGACCAGCAUUGCAUGUCUUUUCUUGAGUACCUGCAACUAUGUGCUCAUUAUUUCCACUUUUUUUCUGCAGAAUUGCAAUUUUUAUUUUUUAUUUUUAUCUAGUUCAGCAAUAGCAGAAUCUUCAGGUACUUCCACUAUUCUAGCAACCUGUAGUAGAAAUGUUUGGUAUUAGCGCAUUUUGUUUUAAUUAUUACUUAUUGCAGAUGAUAUAUAUUUGAUGCUAAAAAUGAAUAUGGCUAUUCACCACAUCACGUGGCAGCAUCUUGUAUCAAUUUAUUGGCUAUAAGUCUGUUUAGUAAGAGAGCACUUCUGUGAUGAAAGCGCACCGUGGGUAAAACUCAUUUGAUAUGAGUUAACAAUGGGGAAGGGUAAGCACCCAGAUUUGGGUCCCUUAUCUUCUCACAAAGGUCACAAAAGAACUCACUGGUAUCAUCUUCGAUGAACGAAGCAUAAGUGUGAGUUGGUGGAAGUUAAUGGCAAUCUUUUACUGUAGUUGAAGGCAAUCUGUGAUGAUAUUUACUGCAGACACUGCAUAGGAAGCAUAGUUCGGAAGAUCUAAAUUAAGAAAGAGUACAUGCUCGUGGAGGUGAUGUUUCAAAGUAGACCUUUCAAAAGUGCAUGGAAUGUUGAAGUCGUUGUCACUUUCCAUGCAGCGAAAGACAGAGCGUCAGCAUUCUUCAUGGCAUAUGUCAACAGCGCUCCUUCUUGAUGCAAGAAAAGAGCAGUCCAGGUUCAGCCAGUGAUAGAUGCACGCAUUACGAGCCUUGCACGCACCAUCCUUUGUAUGACAGUUCCAGCAGCAGAGGAUGAUCCGGCAGAGGAGAAAAAAGAGGCAAUCAAGCCAACCAUGGACCUCACCUGGUCUGUUCUUUUUACAAGCUUUGCACCUGAUUUUGCUACCGAGCUUCAUGAGGAAGACCAAUGGAUGCUGAUGGUCGAAGUGGUAGAGUCCUUCUUGCCCUCUAGAUCUCGCGAACAUAGAGUUAAAGCUGCGUCCAUGUUGAGGCUGAAUUUGCAAUCGCUGCAGUAGGAGACCAUGGUAAGUAGGGGUGUGCAUGGUCCGAGCGGGUGGUUCCCGACCUAGAAACGGGAACUGCCUGCUAAGAACCGCUUUCGAAAAAUUGGAACCAGGAACCACCUGCUAGUUGCGUGGAUCCAUCCGGGGACCAGACCACCGGUCUGGUCCGGUUCCUAGGUGGAUCCAUAGAACUGGUCCAACCUCCAUGCCUUUCCCUUUUCGCCUUCAACCGAUCACAACUCUCGCUCCGCUUUCGUCUUGGCCACCACCACCAUCUUGGCCACCACCUCUGUCGUCUCCCCCUCCUCCCUUGAGACCAACAAUGAGGACAGUGGGGACGAUGAGCCAUUCUUAGACUUAGAGUUUGCUCGUCUCUAAAGAUGAGGAUGAUGGGGAGGAGCCUGAGGAGGGGGAGGAGGAAGAGGGGAGGUAGAAGCGGGACAAGUCCAACAACAAAGAGGACGAUACUGACAGUGAAUGCGAAGAUGGCAACAACGUGGAGAGGGAGUUCAAAUUCGAGGGAAGAAAAGAGAAUUAACUCAUUAUUUCGCCAAGUUCAGAUAAGGACUCAAAGGGAGAUGAGUAGAUCCGGAGGUAAAUCGAAGCGGAAGAGGGAUCUCGGGAAGAUUUUGAACUGAAAGAGUCAAGAUGGAGUAGGAAAGUAGUGAAUUGAGACAAGAUGGUUAUUAGAGCCCUAAAUUUUAGAUUUGCUAAUUUCGAAUUAUUUUAAUAUUAAAAAUUAAUAUAUUAUUAUAAUAUAACUUAUCCAGUUCGGGUGGGCGGGUGGGUGGAUCCACCCAUGGAACUGGGAACCGGACCAGUACUCACUGGUUCCCAUAAAUUGGAACCGGGAACCGGAUUGAUUCCCUUAAGAACCAUUGGUUCCGGGCAGUUCUGAUCUGGUUCCGGGCGGUUCGGGCGGAUCCCGGUUCUUUUACACACCCCUAAUGAUAAGCAUUUGAGGGUGUCAAAAAAUGGGUCAGUCAAAAUGGGUCCAUGACCCAUUUUUUGACUCAUAUUCUGAGAAGUGGGUCAUUCAAGUUAUUCAAACUUUUAAGGGCCAGGCCUAAAUGGAUUUAAAAAGACUUAAAGUUCGGGGCGACAACAAAAUUUGGGGGCUCGGUGGUGGCGUUGUGGGGCUGGGACAGAGGUGAGACUGUAUCAACUGAGUUGGAAAUGCAACGAAGUAGAGUACUCAUCUUCCUUCUCUCAGCACAGCAACUGGUUGAUGGUCAGGCCUCCAAUCAAUGUGAAUAACACCACCUUGUUUCUCUCCUGUCCUUGUGCUUCUAGAUCUACUCCGCUUCUCUGCACGCUUUGCACUCCUAGAUCUUCCUUCACUUCUCUAUCUCUCUGCAUUGUGUUAAGAGAGAGCCUUGAAGUCGAACUCUUAUUGAGAAUUAAAGAGGUAGCACGUUCAUUUGAAGACCCAAUUUGUCUCAAGCCCCAAUUCUAAGCCCAAUAAAAACCACCCAUGGGCUGUUCUUUUUUUUUUUUUUAUCGAUAUGGCCGAAAUUACCCCAAAAAGAGAAAUAUAUAUGUGGGCAAAGUGAGUUGGGUUGGGUUGGGUUGGGUCGGGUCCAGUGGAGGUUGAAUAUGGGUUGGGAAGCGCACCAAUUCAUGAGAGCAAGGGUAUUGCUUUUCAUCGAGUAAGAUUCAUCAUUCCUCACCUCGUAAAAAUAUCAACAAAUAUCGAUCCACUUAGAAAAUUAGAAAGAGUAAAGAAAAUACAGAAAAAAAGAGAGUAGUUAUACGUAAAUGCAUCGUAAAUAAUGGCUACUAAUGAACUUUAAAUGAGUGGAUAUGAAUUUUCAUAGAUUUAGUUAAAUAUAGACGCGUUUUAGUAAUUCAAGCAUGGGUCGGGUUUGGAUUAUUGGAUUUAUACUACACGUAAACGAGUCAAAACGGAUUAAAUUGGUCGAUUUGAAUCCAACCAUUUUUUGACUCCCUACCUACCUAUAUGACAGCCCUAGUAAGCAUUACGUUUAGCUCCUCCAAUUGAUCAAAAGCAAGAGAGUGAGGGUGAUCAUGGAGAGACGGGUGUUGCAUCUCUGUGAAAGACUCAAUGCAGCUUUUGUGGAGAAGGAAUAUGAACACAUAGCAUCCAUAGACUCGCCCCAAUAUCGCUUGCUCGUAGGCUUUGCAUAUGAUUCUUUUCAUCCUGAGAUGAUGGAAUUUAGUGGAUGCUCUUGAGCAUUUGUUGGAUGGUCACAUUCUGAGAAUCCUCAUCGGGGCUUAGUUGUGACAAGGCAAAUGAAGCUAUAUUGGCCGUGCAAUAACAAUCAACGUGCCUGAAUGGCAAGAGAAAACUUUCAUAUAUAAAAACGAAAUAUUAAUUAGAAUGUACAGUACUAGACUGGUGAGGUCACAUAUUUUCUUGUGUCGUGACAUAUUCGUCAACCAUCGCCUACGACCCACCACCGGUGAAAGGAAACAAAAGGGGGAAAAAAAACAGAAAAAGGAAAAAAAAAGCAAAAAAGGAGGAAAAAAGAGUGAAUUUUUUUAAAAACAAAUUAAAUAUAAUUUUUUUUAAAAUGUUGUCCACAGUAGUGUCAGUACGCCACAUAGGAUGACCGGUUGGGACUAGUGUUUUCCAAUCAAAAUUGAGUGAAAAGAUUAUUUGACAAAUUGUCUAAAGUUUGAGGAUUGAAUUAGCAAGAUUAAAAAGCUUAGAUUUUUUUUUUUUGCCUAUAAAGUUUAGGAUUAAAUUAGUACAAGUGUAAUAGGUUUAGAAUUUUUAGUAUUUUUCCUAAAAAUAAUGGAGGAAAGUAUCAUCCACAAACGACUUGUGACAACAAUGACUCGUUUAAUGUAAUUUCUUUGCAACAAGACUUAGUCAUCAAAUGUUCCACUUAUGCACUUCUCGUUCCUUCCCUCUUUCACUUAUUUCUCAUUAGUCAAUCAGUCGUUGUCCCUUUCACAUGCCAUUUGCCAUUUAUCUCUCCUCUUUAAAAGUUUCCACAAAUAUUCCUCCUCAAUACCUUCUUGUUUUUCUCUUUCCGGAAAAGAUGACAUUUAUGAUUCAAUUUGGAUGAAAUAAGAAUUAUGAUGCAUUACAAAUUUUUCUCUUUCUCAAUACCUUUUUUUUCCCUCUUUCUCGAAAGAAUGACAUUUGUAUAUUUCUUUUGCUAAAUUUUCAAUACAUCAUACUAAUCAGGUCUGACCUGAUUUGAAUGGGAUCACAUUUUUUUUUUUUGGGAAAAAGGAGAUAGAAUUCUUUUUUUUUUUUUGGGUCAUAUUUAUUCUCUCCCACUAGACCUCUCUUCAAUAACUUCUCUGUCUCCUUUAGUCUCAGAUCUCUCUCUCUCUCUAUGCAAGCACUGGGUAAUUUCCAUGACAACGAUUCCAUCUCUCUCUCUGAGAGAGAGUUCCCAAGAGACUUCGAUGUUAACGUAGGAAUGGGACCAUGGGGAGUCAUGUGAUGACCCUUACCAUAUGGAUAAAUAUGGGACCAUAGUGAAAGUUCGAACAAAAAAAAUUCAAGAUGGAAUGGAAAUCGAAAUUAAAGCUGGGAAUUUUUUUAGGGAAUUAGCCCAUAAAAAAUCAUGAUUCCAUCAACAGUUCAAGAUAUCUUAAACUGAAGAAAAUGCGAUCUCUUGUCAAGAUGGGAACCUAUUUUCGUAAUAUAUCACCAGAAAAAAAGAAAUGUUCAACUGCUUUUAAAUAUUUUGAACGGAUUUAGUACAUCCAACAAUUACAAAAAUAGGUGAGUUCAUGCUUAAAACAUGUAGCACUAUAGAUGGGUAUUUUGAGAAAGGGAUGAACAUAUGUUAUUGUAAUAUAAAAUUGAUAAGAUUAUACUGAAAUAGAGAAACAAUAACGACAUAUUGCUAUAUGUUUUUAUUUUGUUGAUUUUGUGAAUAAGAUCUGUCAUUGACUUUUGUCAUCCGGCAAUUGUAUAAAAACAAGGAAAACAACAUCACCGUACUCCUGCAUAGAAGAGAUAGCCUCAAACGUAAACCAAUGUAAACAUAUUAUCAAAAUAUUUCUUCAUCUAUGUACUUGAUAAAAUGGUGAGUUGGUUACAAAAUCAAAAGUUCUGAAAUUCAUAAAAAAAAAUGAGUGUAUAUAAUAUGUAUUUCCAAACUCAAUUAAUCCCCACAAAUAUCAUUCCGGACAUAUACAAGUAUCUAAACUCAUAUCAAAAUCCAACUAUAAAAUUUUCUCGCCAAUAACUCUCAUGUCCUACCUUAGUUGAAGAACUUGAAAAAGAUUUGACAUAGAUAAUGUGAGCAACCACAACUCAGUGACUAACACAAAUCUUCUCUAAACAAAUGGAGCAUCCACCAUGCAUAUUAUGAAGUACUACUAGAGACUCAUUUAUCCACAUCCAAUAUAUAAUGUACAGUAAAAUACAAAUAUGAGCAAUAUCACUUCAACUCGGCUUUAUACUCAUUGGAAAUAAUUCAUUCAAAUUUCAAGUACCGAAAGGAUAGUAAACGCUCCAUUCGGCUUUGUGCAAUAAAUAUGUUUUAAACUAUACUUUUUUGUUUUAACAAAAUCAUAUCAUACAAAGCCUUUCUUAACAUAUAAUAUAUUACUUUUAAAACAUGAGUUUACAAAUUUAUAGAAUAUCACAACUUACCCCGAACCAAAAUCCAAAUCGAAAGUUACACCGCUAAAAAAAGUUUCAAAAUCCUAUUGAAGGCGACACCAUAUUCAAACUUACGUGUCAACGAACCUCGACUAAAACUUUAGUAGGCGAUGCCAUAUUCUUGAGUCAAAUCAUUCACUCAACAAAAGAGUUCUUAACAACUACUUUGCAAAUAGAGUCAACCUCAUUUCAGAACUCAAAUUCGAGCGAGCUUACUAUCAACAGAAAACUCUUUCAAAUUAUUAAGAGACCAUAAAGCCAAAAGAUGGCCAGAGAAGGGCAAAGUCCAUUGCCAAUCAAAGUAAUUGGAAAAUUGUUUCUAAUAGCGUGCAAAACUUUAAAAAUUUAUCAUGAUUAAAUCAUAAACCUAAAUCAACUUUCAUGAAGUCCUGCUACGCAACACCCUAAAAUUUCUUUACAACAUAAUUUCACAACUUGAAAACCUCUAAAAUCAACCCGGCAACAUAGAAUCCAUACAAAACCUAAUUUAUAGAUUAACUACAAAAACUUCUUCCAUUAGAUAAAUAGAAGUUUCGAAUCCUUACCAAUUGCCAUGAAACAAAAUAAUCAGGCUUGACCAAGCAUCUCAAACGUGCAUGCACUAAGAGCCCCCUUUAUCUUGAGAAAAUAUUUGAUAUACUAGAGAGGCUAAUUCAACAAAUCACCGGUCCAUUCAUUGGGUGAUACAUGUAGCGUUGAGCCUAUCUUCCAUUAAUUUUUCUCUCUCCGUCUUUUUCUUGGUUUCUCUAGACUCUACUUUACUUUUUUUUUUUUUUUUUUUUGGGUUCUUCUUAGUCAAACUCUGUUUUCUUUCUUUCUCUCUCUCCUUGCCCUAGAAAUGCCCUUGUGACGGCAUCAACUAGAGCAAGACCGAAGCAAGACCAAAGAAAGGGCUUAACCGUUACACUUGGGGCUGGGCUUACUGUUUUGCUCUUAUUUAUUACGGUUUGCAAGCCUAGUUAUUGAAACUUUAAUCAUGGACAAAAAUCUUUUAGGUUGUCAUGUAUUGAUGCUAAACCAUGUGGAAUGAGAAUAAGGUCACCUUGCCUGAUGGUAAGAAAAUUGAAUGGGGUGAGGCAAGUGGGGUGAUGACAUUUAGUUUCAGGUAUGAGAUUCGACUUUUUUUUUUUUUUUUUGGUAAGAGCAAGCAAUAUAUUAAUAGGGGUCAAACUGUACAAACAACAUGGCUCCAAAAGCUUACACUCAAAAUGAACACGCUCAUUAAGAGUGAAAGGAAGCCGCGGACAAGCAAACAAAACGACCUACAGCAAGCCAACGGCAAAACAAGCCUGGCAAAAACACCUAAACAACCACCGAAAAGCCUAAGUCAGACUAUAAUCAGAGGAAGCGAAAAUAAUGGGGUCCACAUCCCACGAGCGUUGCAUCCGCCUGUUCCUAGGAGAGUCCUCAACAUUCUCAAAGGUUAGGGCCUUAUCCUUAACAACCUUGAGGAGAUGCUUCUUCAUGGCCGAAAUAGAUAACGGCUCCCCCCUGAACAGAAUAUUGUUCCUGUUUCUCCAGAUGAUGUGACAUAGCGCCCCAAAGGAGAACCGGGCAACACGCUUAUAAAACUCCUUGCCGCUGAGCAAGGUAAUGGCCCAACUAAGAGUCUCCUCCCAAGUCCUGUUGGUCCAGGGGAGAUUGCAUCUAGUAGCCCAGAAAAAGGCAAUACUCGAGGUAAUGUGACAACCAAAAAAGAGAUGAUUGAUUGAAUCAGGCACCUCGUUGCAAAAAGGGCAGGAAGCAGCAUCAAUCUUACCAUAAGACAUGAGAAGAGACUGAGUAGGUAACCUCCUCUUGGUGAUGAACCACAGGUUUAGUUGGUAGCGAGGCAGGAUGGCAUUACUCCAAAUGAAACAAUGCCAAUUGACUCUGGCCUUCUUCCUCCUUAAGGCCUCCCAAGCCGAGGCCACCGAGAACAAGCCCGUCGAGUCCUCCCUCCAACAGAACCGAUCUUGGGUUCCAGACAAGGAAGGAAGCGGCGAACCCCAAGACUCAUUCUCUGAUCUGAUAGCUUGUCCAUCCUCAGAGAAGAGAUCGGCAACCAAAGCCUGCCUAGAGAGACCGGAGCUAUAGAUGAGGGGAUCCGUGAAAUAUAAAUUCAAAGGACCCCUGGGAUGCCAAUUGUCAAACCAGAGUAACGUUGAUAAUCCAUCGCCUACCCUCCAAUGGAAGUGAAGCCGGCAAUCUGUCCUGAGUUGUAAAAUUUUUUUCCAUGCCCAAGAGCAGCAGGUUGGCUUUUUAACUACCCAAAAGUUCUUGGUUUUUAAGAAGGUCGAGUGGACCUACUUACACCAUAGCGAUUCUUUAUCUGAAAAUAGAUUCCAGAUAUGCUUGAGCAUGGCCGCCUUAUUACACUCACGCAAUCUCCGGAUACCAAGACCUCCCUCCACUUUAGGAAGGCAUACAUCUUCCCAUGAGACUUUGGCACCCCCCUGCCCAACUCAGGUCCCUUCCAAAGGAAUUGUCUGAGAAUGCGCUCUAUCUGGUCCAGUACAGCUGCAGGAAGAAUAAAGACACUUGCCCAAAAAGCCUGAAUGGCAUGGAGGACUAACCUGAUCAGCUGAAGUCGGCCAGCAAAAGAAAGAAACCGAUGAGUCCAGGACUGCACCCUGGAGGUGAUGCGCCUCACAAGUUCAACGCAAUCUGCCUUCCGAGGCCUCGAUGUGAUAAUUGGAACCCCAAGAUAACGGACUGGAAGGUUACCCUCAACAAAGCCAAGCUCCAGGAGGAUUUGAUUUUUCAAGGUCGGCAAGCCUCCCGAGAUGAACACCUCGCUUUUCCUUGGGUUUGGGAAAAGUCCGCUCCAAGAAGAAAACAUAUGGAGACCAUCCCUGAGAAGCUUCACGGAUGGCAGGUGGCCCUCGCAAAAUAGAAAGACAUCAUCCGUGAAAAACAAGUGCGAGAGGCAAGUAGUCUUACAUCUCCAGUAGAAUCUGAAAUCCGGCUGUAGCGAGCACCUCCCAAGAAUCCCAGAGAGCACCUCCAUAACCAACGUGAAUAAGUAGGGAGAGAUGGGGUCUCCCUGACGUAAGCCUCGCCCACUAGGGAAGAAACCAUGUAACUCCCCAUUCAAAGAUAUUGGAAAACCGAGGAGUCCUCACACAGGUCAUGAUGAGGUGAACCAAUUGAUCAGGAAAUCGAAAAGCAAGUAGUACACUCUCGAGAAACCGCCAAUCCACGGUAUCAUACGUCUUUCUGAAGUCGACUUUGAUAGCACACUUGGGAGAAUAGGGUUCGAUAUGGAACUUAGAGAAAAGUUCCUGCGCCAAGAGAAUAUUAUCCCUAAUUCGUCGUCCCUUGACGAAGGCACUCUGAGACGGAUUGACAAGGUCUUUUAGCACUGCUGCAACCCUAUUCGCCAUCACUUUGGUAAUAAUCUUGUAGACCGUGUUGCAACAAGCAAUAGGCCUGUAAUCAUCAACGGUAGUCGCAUUGGGAACCUUCGGAACCAUGACCAAAAUGGUGUUAUUGAUUUCUCUGAGUAGUCUCCCCGAUGUGAAAAAGUCCUUGACGGCUUCCGUGACCAGCUGACCCACCGUAUCCCAAUUCUCCUUGAAGAACUCAGCCGUGAAGCCAUCCGGACCUGGUGCCUUACCUCUGGCAAGGGAAAAAAGAGUAUCUCGAAUCUCUAGAUCAGACACAGGGCGAGCAAGAAAAGAAAUCUGAUCAUCAUUCAGCUGGGUGCGGAUAACUUCCCGAAUCUCCGAUACCUGAGGGGUGUCCAGCUCCAUCCUUGGCUUAAGGAAAUCAUGAAAAUGCUCCACAAAAUGCUGUUGGACCAAUUGAGGCUCAGUGAUUUGGUUACCUGAGGAAUCCACAACAGAGAGAAUUAUGUUUCUCAGAUGUCUCUUACUGACAUACUGGUGAAAGAACUUUGUGUUCCGGUCACCUUCCUUGAGCCAUCUUAUACGAGCUUUCUGUCUAAAGAAUGACUCUUCCUGAGACCUAAGCUCCACUAAAGUACGCCGCUGAGCUCUCUCCAGGUCCGCGAGGACCAUGCUAGUAGGGUCAUUGAGGAGGCCCACUUGAGUUUGCUUUAAGGCUUCCCUCACUUCAGAAAUCCUUACAGAGAUGUUGGCGAAGGAAUCUCUAUUUAACUGCUUGAGCCGACCCUUCAAGAUCUUUAGUUUGCGCACCAACCUAAACAUGAGCACUCCAUAACCCGGAUUCUCCCAAACUUGCUUCACAAUUGAGUCGAAAUCCGGAUGCUGCAUCCAGAAGUCGAAGAACUUGAACGGCCUUUUCCGAAGGAUCGGGUUCUCCACCUUUACCACCAUAGGUGAGUGGUCGGAAAUCCCAGGCACAAGGAAGGACGCUUCCGAAAAGGAAAAAACUUGGCUCCAACAAGGGUUUACCAGGACUCUAUCAAUUUUUCUCAUUUUCCGAGAGGGCCCUGAAAAGGUCGACCAAGUGUAUCGAAACCCCACAUACCGAAGGUCAUCCAGCUCCGCCUGAUCCAGACACUGCCGAAAUUCAUCGAAGCACGGCAACCAAAGGUCCGAGCCACCCAAUCUGUCCGAGGGGUCCUUUGUAGCAUUAAAGUCUCCCAAAACAAGCCAAGGUACGUCCUGCAGAGAAUAGCUUCUCGCCACCAAAUCCUCCCAAAGAGGUCGGCGAGUAGAAAAGGAAUGCUCAGCAUAAAUAACAGAGACAUAGCAGGCUACUCCGGUCUCCAACCAGCAAAGCUUCCCAAGAAUCAUCUGAUCCGAGACCGACAAAACUUCAAAGGAAACCACAGUAGGAUCCCAACCAACCCAAAUCCUACCCCGAUUAGAGUACUCAGAAUUAGCCUGCCAGCACCAAUUCGAAAUCAAGUUCCCAGAAAUGGCAUUGAAGAGGUUAUGAGGAAUUUUAGUCUCAACUACCCCGAUCAAAGCCAACCGGUUCAUCAAAGCGAAGUUCCUCACUUCCGCUUGCUUGAGCGGGGCACCAAGCCCUCUAAUAUUCCAGCAACCUAUAUACAUAUAUAUACAAAAGAAGAGGGCAAGAGCAUUACCUCCUUUUAGAGGAACUACGCCUAGUAAUAGGCGGAGCUGUCCGGAUUGUCGAAGGAGGAGGAUCCGGGGCAAGAGCAAGCAGGUUGUCCUGUGUAGUCGAAGGACGAUGCUUCGGCGUCUCAGUAGGCCUCUCCUCCUCUACAGAUGCCUUCGGUGAAGUGCAAGGGGAGAGGAGGUCAUCCUCCAACAAAGAGAUGUAUGUGCCCCCUACACCCUCCAGGCGGGGCACCGCAGUGUCUACCGGCACCGAAGUGGUGAUAGCUUCAGCCGAAGUAGUUGGAGCAGUAUCACCCUGCUCCGAGAUAAUCAAAGGCCCCCUAGGGGGUCUUCGUGAAUAAGUACCAGGCAGCCUCUUCUCCACAGCCGUAGUCUUGAGAUUCAAAGACCUCUCUCCUUCACUAGGACUGGGUAACAUCCCUUCCAAAGGUUGAGCCUUGUUCUUCUUGCUCUUCACUUGCUUCCAGCCUUGCUCCGAGUCUUCAGGAGUCUCAGCGGGUUGGUCAAGGGGGCGAGUAGUGUCCAAAGGAGCAGGAAGAGGCCGAACAGGGGGCGGGCCAACAUCACAUUUAUGUCCAAAGACCCCACACUUGGAGCAUUCAAGGGGCCUCCAUUCAUAGUUCACAGCAAUGGACCUAGUGACCCCAUCAACAUUCACUUCCACUGUCGAAACUCUUGGCCGAUUAGCUUGGAUCUCCACGCAUACUCUGGCAAAGGAAAUCAUCCUCGUGCCCUCGGUUCGUUGAUCCACAUAAAGGGGUUUGCCAACGGAGCUGGCUAUAACACUAAUCGCCGAUGCGGACCACAGGUCAAGGGGAAGGUUCUUGAGUCUUAUCCACACCGGAACAGAGGUUUGCUUAGCCUUCUUCAACUCCAUAAGGGGUUUCCAUUGUUGUAAAAUAAGGGGCAUCCGAGCUACAGUGAUCGGUCCCUCCUCUAGGAUCUUCCUCCUGAACUCCGGGUCCGGGAUAUGGAAAUAGUAGAACUCUUGGUCAUCCGCCAGCAUAUCAAUUAGCUUUGUCCCCCAAAUAUUCUUCAAAGUCUGUUCGAUCAUCUGAAAAGGAAGCUUCCUCCCAAUAAAAUAUCCUACCAAGAACUCAUUCCAUUUGGGAUCUGCAACCUGCAGCACUUCUCCCGACAAAUUUACAACCGCUUUCUCUCCCACAACAGCAGCAGCAGGAGGAAUAUAUGAAAGGCCGUAGCCCUUUGUGGCCAACCGUGCCACAUUGGCCCACGAACGGGCUUGGGGGGGCCUUGACGAGCUUACUGGCUUGUUCGGGGCUCUCUUAUUAGGAGCCCGAACUUGACUUCGACCCCGAGAACGGCCUUCCCGAAGAGGCUGAGAGAUUGGCCCACGUCUCGAGCCAUCCCCUGCCACAGAAGACUCUCCUACGGGUCGGGAUUGCUGGCCCGGCUUGCUAGCUUGCCGGUCCACAGCCUUAUGAGGAGGGGAGCUCGGCCCCUUGCCCCUGCUACCACCUAGUCGAGGUUCCACCGAAGUAGAGGCCAUCGAGCCACUAAGACAACAAAUCAACAGCCAGAGAGGAGCUCCAUACCAGGCCAAGCUUCGAAGAGGAGGGAUACUUGAACCACCCCAGCCACCUCAAGACCAAAGUCGAGCAGGCCACGAUCCCGAGCAGCUCCCGCAAGUCUCGAACUAGGGCUGAGUGGAGGUCUGAGCGUGAGCAGCUCCCGCAAAGGCUACGAACUAGGGCCGUCACGAUCCAGAGCCGAGACGGGUCGGUGCGUGAGCCGAGGCGGGUCCGAGCGUGAGCCGAGAGGGACCCCCCAGCCGUCCCGAGCCAGAGCCGAGACGGGUCCGAGCGUGCGCAGCUCCCGCAAGACCGUCGAACCAGAGCCGAGGAGGAGCGGGAAGAUGGAGGAAGGAGAGGGGAAGAAAAACCCCCAAAAAUCGGAGCAAGAGGGAGGCCGAAUCGUCCAAGCCGAGCAGGAAACCAGUCGGCGUGAACAGUGCACGAUCGCCUGCUCUUGAGAGAGGAGAUGAACAGUGACGCGAGAAAACAGAUGACCCCCUUGGUAUGAGAUUCGACUUUCGCAUUUUGCUAAGAAAGAAAAGAGAAUUAGGUUCCGUUUGUUUCGGUUGAUGCAGUGGACUUCAUCAAAGAAUUCAAGUAGGACAAUAAAGUUUUUUUUUUUUUACCCAAGAAAAAAUAAGUAGGAAAGUUCAAAGGCCUUUCUCCACACUCCAAUCGUGGGGUGAAGAUAGGGACAUCAGUGCAGUUCUUUUAUUCAGAGUGGCAUUUGGAACUUAGCAGCUACAUAGGAAAAAGUUCUCCAGACACGGUCUGUAGAGAGUGGACCUUUGGGCGGGGGAGUGGUUGCAAUUGCAGAGGUUGAGUGCAUGAGAGGGGGGGGAAUGGCGCAUUGGGUUGCCCCACCCUUGGUGGUGUGAGGAAGGACGUUUUGANNNNNNNNNNNNNNNNNNNNNNNNNNNNNNNNNNNNNNNNNNNNNNNNNNNNNNNNNNNNNNNNNNNNNNNNNNNNNNNNNNNNNNNNNNNNNNNNNNNNGGUUUUUGGGACGGUCCGGUUUUCAUCCAGAAAUUGGGAACUGGACCAGUGGGACUGAUUCCCCAUUUUUCGGACCCAGGAAUUGAACCAUUGGUCCCAUAACCGGAUGGUUCGAAUCGGAGUGGGUAAUAGAAUGGUGGCUGGCGACCUGGAAGCAUGACCGUCAUGACGAGCUGCGGUGAGGGAUGAUGCCGGGAGCUGCAAAGUCAGCAAGAAGCCUCGUCGAAAUUGGCGUGGGCGGACUAGUGGAGGGGAAAAGCCGUUCCGUUGAUUCUGCUUGCUGUUGUUGUUGGGGCUUUGCCGACGUCAGAAGGACACGACAGAGCUGGGUUUUCAAUGCUAAUCUCGGGCAAUCGGUAGCGCGGUGGCAGGAAAUGCAAGAACAAGCUUCGGUCCCGACGUCUAGCGGCUGGACUGGCGUGUCGGAAUGGAAUGCGGGAACACUCUGAAUAAAAGAACCACCAAUGAUGUCUCUGCCUUCAUCCCUUACCGCGCCAUGGAUCUUACCUCUAUCGUCUCUAUCCUGGUCAACUUCAUCCAAGUGGAAUUCCAGGGGAAGUCGAUUUCACCCUUUGAAACCCACCCCGUUGCCAUCGGUGUUGCCAUCUACAGCCUGCUUCUGCAUUUCCUGUUGCUGCAUCUCGCUGAUCGGGCACCCCCGUCUAGCGGCUGCGCUCCUUGUGAUGGAGCAUCAUCGCACCUCCUCAUUGACUUCACUGGUUCGAUAUCAGUGGCUUCGCUCGCGUGGUUGCUGCUCCACGACUCCUCCCAAUCUGUCCCCUGGUUGUUCGUGCUUCUCCUGUUGCUUUCCGUGAGUCUGUUGCGCGGCCUCAUUCAAAAACUUUGGCUUUGGUUUUACGAAAAAAUUUUGCCAUGAUAUUCCGUGUGGCGCCGUCUCGUCUAUGGCAUGGUGGAAGAGCGCAGUCACAUCCGCCGCACCCGGUCAUGGAUCUGCGUUAAUUGCUGGAAGUCUGAGCGCCCUAGUUGUUCGACUGACUGUUCCCUGCUUGGAAAAACUAAUUUUAAUCGUAUGACCACUUUAAAGCUAAGCUAGUUUUGUAUAAGAUGCAGUUGGGCCUUUCUUCUGUUUAUCUCAAAACAUAAGGAGUCCCCAAGCCUUCGGCAUCAUUGAAUUAUCUCCCGACUACAAGAAAGGAGAGCAGGGAACAAGCAAAAACCACCUAUGUAUCGUUCCUAUUCCUAGCCAUGAACGGUGAUGGACCUUAUAGAAACUAGAUCUGAUUAAGAUAAGCUAAGCUCUCAAAAGAAAUUGGGAUCUACUGUUAUCGAAAAGAUCGAAGAUAACCUCAGCAAUUGUUUCAACGAGUAGAAGGGUCUUCUCUAGUAGCCAUAUAAGGGGUAGUAAUUGUUCUUGAGGUUAAAGCUUCUGACCUCUUUGAAAACAUUGUUGAGUGUUGCAGAUUUCCUUCUUUCUCUGGUGAAUCUCUCUGUAGCUUUCGAUUUGGCCAGUGGAUGGAUAUGUGUCAUUUUACAUUCUUUGCUCGUGUAGUAUGUUUUUGCUCAUUUAUCCAUGUGAACUGGAAUAAAUUGAUGCCUUGGAGACACGAACACAGCUACAAUUUCAAAAGCUUUGAUUUAACACUAACAUCAUUGAGCAAUCCAAAUCAAAAUGAAGAUGUCAGCUUUUCCAUCUCUCUCGCAUAUACACCAUUACUGCUUACUAGCUAUUCCGAUGAUAAUAUAGUUGUAGUUUGUCAUUGAGAAUGUGGGAGUUACAUCAUUUAGUCUUUAUUUGACCUCUGAGAGGAGACAAUCUUUGUUGUGGAAAAUGCGUUAACUUGCAAUCUAAGAUUACAUUGUCUCGUUGGUUGAUUGGUUUUUGGCUAGGAGCUUGAAUUGUUGCUUGAGUCUGACAUUCAAGUUGCUGGGCCCAAGGUGAGAAAAGAAUGCUGAAAUGUAGAUUGUUUUUUUUUUUUUUAUGGGGGGAGGCGUAGGUUCAAGAUAACUGAACUUUGGGUUGACUGCAGAUGUUAGAACCAAAAUUUUCCCACCCUGCUUGUGCUAAGAAUUUACAGUUCAUGUAUGCAAAGCUAGAUAGAUAGUAUACAGAUGCUCGAGACAAGUCUGUACAAACUACAGACAUUUGAUGUCCGUAUCUGAGGAAAUAAUUAGACCGGCAAGCUUCUUGACAAGUUGAUUCAAAAUCAAAUUAUGCAUCCCAAUGUUAAUACCUUGAUAUAUGACAGAGCUCACAAGUCUUGCACGUCAAAAAUAUGAUAUUUAUUUGCUUUUUUCUGCAGAGAACAACAAUCUUGGAUGUCGACUAUAGCAAUGAGUCCAAUUGACUUGCAUAAGAACGUGAGUUGAAACAUCAAACAGAAAGGUACGUUCUCCUGACUCCCAAAUUCUUUUCUUCUUGGUAAGGGCCUCACCAACACUGCAACUACAUGCACUUCACUUGUGGCCUUUAGAGACCAGCAUUACACAUCUUUUCUUGAGUACCUACUACAUGCUCAUUCUUUUCAGUUCUAUCCACAAGCCUAAGUGCUUAUUGUGGAAAACGAUUCCCUGGAGAGUUAUCAUGAUACUAAGUCAAAUAAUGAAGCUAAGUAGGUGAUGUGCGGUAUAAUUUAAGACUGCAGGACUGUCAAAAGCUUCUUCUAAUUCAGUAGCAGAUACUUCAAGAUGUUAAUGUUAAAUGGAGGGCAAAUGUUACUGAAGAGACUGAAAGUAAUUCGUCAAUUAUUAGAGAAUAAUGGGGAGAUGUUUAGCCAUUCUUUUCGAGGUUACUUAAGAUUCCACUGGACCAAAGGAUUUGGAAGUUUUUUUCUCUACUGGAGAGAAAUAGAGGGAUGUUCAUGAAAAAUGGCACUUUUACUUUUCAGACACCAAUUUUCAUUAUCAAAUUGCCACCUGUCAAACAUUGUCAUAUGGUCGUUUUAGUCUCCAAAAUAAAGUCAAAAUUGUCUUUGAGGUUAAAGCUUCUGAAUUCUUUGAAAACAUCACGAGCAUCACAGUUUUGCUUUUCUUUUUCUGGCGAGUCUCUUCGUGACUUUCUGGUCGGCCAGUGGACCUAUAUGUGUUAUUUUACACACUCUUUGCUGGUAUACAAUGGUUUUGCUCAUUUAUCCAUAUGAAGUAGGAUAAAUAGAUGCCUUGGAGACACGAGCACAGCUGCAAAGCAGAAGCUUUGUUCUAUCAUCAUAGAGUUAUCCAUAUCAAAAUGAAAAAUGUUAGUUUUUUCAUCUGUCCCAUAUGCAUGGGUACUGCUUACUAGCUAUUCUGAUGAUAAAUUUUUUUGAGUUUGUCAUUGCAGAAUGAAGAAUGGUUACAUCAUAUAGUCAGCAUUUUACCUCUUAGAGAUGACAACUCAAUCUUUGUUGCUGCAAAUACAUCAACUUGCUUCAGCAAAUAAGAUUUAUGAGGGCAGCGAAUUCUUUUGUGAUGUAUCCUGUAUGUAUCCGGAAGCUCUUGGAUCUGAGUAAUGCAAUCUAAGACUAUGUUGUCUCACUGGCUGACAGGUUUUCGUCCAGCAGCUUUAAUUGUUGCUUCAGUCAGAGAUUCAAGUUGCCCAGGCCAAGGUGAGAAAAGAACACUGAAAUAUAGAUUUCUUUUUUCGGAGGCUUUAGUUCAAUAUAACCAAAUUUUGGUUGACCGCAGAUGUUAGAACCGAACUUUUCCCAUCUUCAUGUGCUGGAAAAGAAUUUUUACAGUUCAUGAAUGGAAAGCCAUAUAGAUAGUAUGCAAAGCUUGAGACUAGUCUGUACAAACUGCACACACCUGAUAUUCAUUUUUUGAGGAAAUAAUAAGACCAGCAAGCUCCCUGACAAGCUGAUUUAUAAUCAAAUUAUGCAUCCCCAUGUAGUACUCCAACUCAUAACAUAAAGCACGUAAGUCUCAUACUCAAAAAUAUGAUAUUUAUCUGCUUUUGCUGCAGAUAACAAUAUCGGAUGAUGAGUGUUAGCAGUGAUUCCAAUUGACUUGCCUAAGAGCAUAAGUUGAAACAUCAAACAGAAAGGUGGUCUCCUGCCUCCCCAAUUCUUUUCUUCUGGAUAAGUGGCUCCCCAACUCUGCAGUUCCGUGCACUUUGUUUAGUUCAGCCAUAGUGGGGUCUUCUGGUACUUCCGUUACUUUAAAAGAAAAAAAAAAUUUGGCCUUACCACAUUUUCUGUUGAUAAUAACUUAUUGUGGAGAAUGAGUCUAUAUAUGAUGUUAAAAAAAGAAAAAAAGAACAAGGCUAUUCAUCACAUCAUAUGGCAGCAUAGUGUACCCAUUUGUUGGCUAAAGUCAUUUUAGUGAGAAAGCACUUCUGUGAUUAAAGCAUGCUGUGGGUAAAACACAUUCGAUAUGAGUAAUCAAUGCUCCAGGGCAUUCAUUGUAGACGGAAGCACCCAGAUUCAGGUCUUUUUCCCUAAAAAAUUACAAUAGUACUCACCGGCAUCAUCUUCGAUUGAAUGUAGCGUAGAGUGUGAGUUGACGGAGGUGAUGGCAAUCUUUCAUUGUUGGUGGUAACUGUGGAAGGCAAUCAUGAUUGACAUUAAGAUUACACUGGACCAAAACGCGAAAGUUGAAUGUGCAAAAUUUACCAGACACUACACGCAGGUCAGGUGAUCUAAUAUAAGAAUGAGCAUAUGCUUGUGGAGGUGAGGUUUCAAAGUAGGCCUUUUAAAAAUGCAUGGAAUGUUGAAGUCGAAGUCGCAUUUUGUGCCGAUAAAGACAGCAUCAAUGCUUUUCACGACAUGCAUCAGUGAGUGUUCGCAUCAGUGAGUGUUCCUCCCUGAUGCGGGAAGAAGUGGAUGUGCCGGGGUGAAGGGGGUGUUGCAUAACUGAGGGCAAUUCAGCACAUGAUUGAUGGAGCAGAUGAGAGCAGCCUUGCUCCAGCAGGUCAGUUGAUCUAAUACAAGAGUGAGCAUAUGCUCAUGGAGGUGAUGUUUGAAAGUGGCCGUUUUAAAAGUGCAUGGAAUGUUGAAGUCGAAGUCACAUUUUGCGCAAAGAAAGACAGCGUUAACGCUCUUCACAACUUGCAUCAGUGAGCGUUCCUUCCUGAUACGGGAAGAAGUGGAUGUGCCAGGGUGAGCGGGGUGUCGCAUAACUGAGGGCAAUUCAGCACAUGAUUUAUGGAGCAGAAAGAGCAGCUCUGCUCCAGGCAGUGAUGGGCUGUACCUUUGGACAUAUUCAUCACAGGCCUUGCACACAACAUCCUUGACCCAGCUCCAGUGGCAGCGGACGAUUGUGAAUUGGAGAAAAGAAGCGGCAAUCCAGACAAGCAUAGACCUCACCUAGUAUGCUCUACUCACAAGCUUUGCACUCGAUUCUGGCUGUAAGCUUCACGUGGAAGGACCCCAGUAGAUGCUGACGGGCAAAAUGUCAAAAAACUGAGCCUUUCUCGUCCUCAGAUCUUGUGAAAAUAGAAUUAUAGCCACACAGUCCAUGUCAAGAGUGAAAUUGCAUUCGCUGCAGCGGGAAACCAUAUGGCAGGCACUACAUUGGAGGUCUACCGAUUGAUCGAAAGCAAGAGAGAGGGUGAUCAUGGAGAGACGAGCAUUGCAUCUUUGGGGAGAAAUUCGGCGCAGCUCUCAUGGAGAAAGAAUCUACACGUGUAGAAUCAAUAGACCUCCUCACAGGCUUUGCAAUCGAUUCUACUUUUCGUCCCAAGAUGAUCGUGUGAGCGGAUGCUAAUGAGCAAAAUGUUGGAUGGUCGCAUUCUCAUAAUCCUCAUCAGGCUCAGUUGUGACUAGGCAGUUGAAUCAAUAUCGGGCUGUGCAGUAACGCUUAACCAUCCGAAUGGCAAGAAGGGAGCCUGCUCACAUGCAUGGCAACUUCGACGAUCCUUCUCAUCGUUGGACGCAAAUUGCGCAACCCCAACAUCUCCAUAACUAGAACAAUAACAUAUAUAAUUGAGAAAGAUUAAUGCACCUGUUUUGGGAUCCAUCGAACAUAAAUCGGAAGUAGAAAAGGGAUUACUCACUCAUCAAAGGGAUCCACUGUUCUUGAAGCGGAAGCGGAAACACAAUGUUCCACCCGUAAGUCAUUCUCCUUUAUUGCCCUCCGUAUCACUGACUCAAUGAGGCGACCCCCUCAAGUGUAGCGUUAGGUAAAUGCCCCUUAGGUGAUGAUACAUGUGAGAAUUAGGGUUAGAGGAGAGACUUGAGCACUAUUUAUAGAGUUUCCAGCCAGUCUCUCUCAUUACAGGUCAGGCUCAACUUAGCCCACACUAGCCUGCCUAUAUUAGACUAAUUAAGAAACCUCUAUCUCACUUUAGACCAACCCUGUUUUACGGUAAUCGUAGAAACAAUAAAUUAUAAUAUCAAUUAAUUUAGUCCACAUUAGGAAAACUCUUACAUUCUCCCACUUAGAUUAUAUUAAUUGAAAUCGUAUUGUAUGUGCGCACAUUUGGUCCAGAGAUAAUUCUUAAUAGUCAAUCAUAUCCCAUAAAGUCUUAAACACCGAAUCAUGGCGGUAACUGCAUGUAUAUACACAGAGUCUUCCAUGGUCAUGAAUGUUCUCAACUUUAUUGAUAUGGAUUUAAUAUGGUAGUAUGGCAAAUGGAUAACAUCUCUCAUAGAGAGAUCCCAUUUGUCAAUCACCAUUCCCUUAUCUUAAGCGUCACAAAAACUUGUGUCACUAAAGAAUGUUUUAUGGUUCCAAUGAAUCCACAUAUGUCUUGUCCUUAUGGUUAACCUUUCUUUAUGUAUCACAAGACAUAUGCACAAGGCUAAUAACCGGAUGCCCGGAUGCCCCUAAUCUUCACUCAAGGUUUAUACAAUCCCUUGAGAUUUUAUCAAUAUUGAAUAACAAUACAUUCAAAAAUAUUUUAUUGAAUAUAAAAGUUGAUACAUAUCAAAUCGUUUCAAAGUGUAAUGGACACAGAUGAAACCUUUAUCAGAGUAAAGUCAAAAUAACUCCCACUAAAUAACAAUAUCUCAUGAUGCUCCUAGGCCUAUACUAAUGACAUGUCGCUUAAAUACACAUAGGCGUAUGCCUUUAAUUAGUGGAUCUGCAACCAUAUCAUCUGUGAAAAUAUAUUAUAUUAUAACGUCACCUUUCUGAACCAUUUCCUUUUGGUAAAAAAUUUUGACUACCAUAUAUUUAAACCCCUUAAGACAUCUGUAGUAAAUAAAUAAUACUACAAAUUUGUUAUCUCAAUACAACCGUAUGGGUCUAUCCAUAAAGUUAAAACGAUCAACUCCAUCAUGAGAUUCUGGAACUUAAUAGCUCAAGUAACAGCCUAAAAGAAUGUUACUAACACUAUUUACAUAGUAGAAGAUAACAUAUAACUUUAUUUACUGCACUUCCUACUAACAUAAAUAUGUAUUCGGUUAUUGAUUACAUGUUAUCAGAACGGCCAGCAAAGUUUACUUCUAAAUACCCUACUAACUGCAAUAAUUGAACAUAUUUGUAAAUUAACAUAUAAUCUCAUAUCCUCUUUAAGUACCUUAAAACCUUCUUGACAACAACCCAGUAAUCAUGUCCUGGAUUUGACCGAUAUCUGCUUAGAAGUCCCGUCACAAAGACAACAUUUAGUCUAGUGCAAAUUUAAGCAUACAUUAUACUUUUAAGUGUACUGAUACAAGGUACACCAUUUAAUUAUAUUUUCUCAAUAUCUAAAUAAGGACAAUAUGAUAGAUUUAGUCAAUCAUCCUUAACAACAGGAGCAAUUCCUGGCUUGUGAAUAUUUCCAAUAUACAAUCAGCAAAUGUCCUCCGAGAAAAUCUAAUAUAAAAUGGCAAAAACAAUCCUUGCAGACCUCAGUACAUAGGAUAUAAGAUGUCUCAAUGUCACAACUUGUAAGCAAAAUAUUAUGUACAUAAAGUAUGAGAAAAAAUAAAUUUCCUUCCACUAACCUUGCAGUAUAUUGAAUUACUUUGUUCCCAAUUGAACAAAAUAACAACACUAUGAAACUUUAAUAAUAUUGUCUGGAAACUUGCUUAAGACUAUAAAUAAUACUUUUCAAUCUACACACAAGUUUACUUAAAACAUUUGUUGCAAAAUUCUCCAAUUGAACAAUAUAGAUUUUGUAUUUAUUUGGCGUAACUUUAUAUCAAAAUAAAUUAUUAAUGCCACGUUCACUCUGAAAGAAUAUUUAAAGAAAUAAUUAUUUCUUCACUAUAAACAAUCCACCCCUCUUUCAAAGUGAAAACUUUAGUUAUCAAUUUGGCUUAAAUUCCAUAAUCUUUCUUUGAAAUUCUUUUAGUUUUGUACGCCAAUUUACAACUAAUGAACUUAUGAUCUUUAGGCAAGUAAGUUAGUUUCCAAACACUAUGAUGUUUCAUAGAUUGUAUACCGCAUGUUAUGGCAUCUAAUCACAUACUUGAUUAAAAAUAAGAAACGACGUUUAUAAAUAUGCAAUUAUAUCAACCAUAUAGUGGAUAUUGUAAUCAUGCUCUCACAAAUAAACUAUAUAGUCUGAUGAUAUAACUGAUCGUCUUUCCCUAACAAAUUUCCUUAAUAAAGCUGCAACCACUUCAUUCUGUACUUGAGAAGUUUAAGAAAUUUCAUUAUAAACUAUAUCAAGAAUAGUACCUUGAACCUUAACAAGUUUAGUCUAUGGUACAGGAGAUUCCAUAAUUAUCUGUAUAGGUAAAGACAAAAACACAGUAACCUCUAUCAUACUAUCAUCUUUAAUAGUCUGAGAGCAGCUAUCCUCUAUAAUUACGUCGAUCUUAAGAAACUUUAUAGUAUGUGAUCCCAUAAUUCUUGUAUCUGUGUCCUAAUUGCAAUAUAAGACAAGACAUAAUUUCAAGAAAUAAGGCUUUCAUCAUCUUAUAACAGUGCAGUCCGCAAGCAAACCUCUUUUCAAGAGUUCCAGAAUGGAACGAUUCAUGGACAGUAAGCAAAUUCAAUUGCUCUUUUCUUAAGCAACAAAUCAUAUGUCCACAACUUAAAAUUUGAAGCAGUAAAAACCUCAAUAAUAGUGGAGUUAUUAAUUACAGAAAAGUUGACUAAAAAACAAGCAAUGUAUAUAAUUAGUAUCAUGUGAGCACUGUGUAACUUGACAUACAAGUACACAUCCAGAGAAUUACACGUAUAAUCAUAUAAUCACUUUUGGGCAGAAUGCAUGACAUGCAGUUGUACACUCCCCACAUGAUAGCGGUUAUGAGAAUAUAUUCCAAUUUUUCGUGAAUUCAUCACUUUUGGGCAUAUAAAUCACUAGAAUCAGUCACUCCUUCACCAUACCUCUAUGAACUAAUACACAAUCUUCUCCUUUGGGAGUAUGACUACGCAUUAGAUUAGGAGACAUCCCAAUCAUUAUACGAGAUCGAAAUUUUUCAAACCCAAUCAAGUGUGCCACUUUGGCGGUCACUACUCAAUUGAAUCAUUGAAAUUCUCUCAUACCAAGGAUAUAAACUUUACUUCCCACAUACACCAUAUACAUGUGAUAUUAACUUUAAUGAUAGAGACAACAUAUCACCAAAAUCACAUAUCAUGCUAAUUACAUUACUUUAUUCAUUAAUAUAAUAUUUAUAUAUAUAUAGCGAACCUGAAAGACAGAUUACAAUGAGAUCACUGAUCACAGUGACACAAGAAAAUUCUCAUAGAAGCAAGCAUCUUGUGCACCCCGAUUACUGAUUACUAAAACAAUAUUAAAAGAAUGCUGAUCCAAAGGAUCCCUCACAAGUUAACAUCAAUAGUAAUACAGGAUACUCCAGAUUGACAAGCUUGAUAACUAAUCAACUAUUGCUCAUGAGUUUCAUACGGCAAAACAUGAUUGCAAGGCCAACAACUGAUUUAUAGCCAAUUUUUAAGUAACAAAUUAUCAUUGUAAUCAACCAGUGGCCUAUUAAUUGAGUCAAACCAGAGAACAAAAUAUCUAAAAUUUAACAGUAGAUACUAUUGCUUUGCGUAAAUGUUGUCAUACUCCUUAACCAUAAAAAUAUUCAACUUGAUAGACAUUAACAAGUGACCAGAUGAGUUCAUGUACAAUAUGCAUUAACUUAAUUGACAUGCAUUACCCACAUACAGCAGAUAUGUUAAUCAGUACAAUCAGUUUGGUCACGAGUUCUUAAGACGUCCAUCAUUCAAAGAUUACCAGCGUGUCAAGGAGUAUGCUUGAGUAACAAAAAUUUCAUAACCUUUACUAUUUCUCAUCAGCUCAAUACAUAGCUCAAUUAUUAUUCCAUAAUGGUUGUAUAUCAUUAAGCCAUCUUUAGUUCACAAUAAAAUUUAAUUUUUAUUAAUGAAUCAUACCAUUAUAAUGUUUAUGUGAUAACAUACCCGUAACCCAAUACUUAUAUUUCUAAAAUCACAGAAAAUAUAAGAAAAAUACGCAAAAAUACACUAAAAAUACACGUAUUUAGGGUUUCAUAUGUAUUUUCACAUCCAUAAAAUAUCAAACAUGUAAAAUAAAUUCACCACAAGAUAGAAGACAGCCAUAUGGAUCCAACGUUGCCAGCCACGCGCCGAUCCGACGCUCCACGCGCCCUCACGCACCGCUUGAGUGCGCGGCACGUGGAGCACACGUGCGAGCCGCACCCCGCGCGUGAGGGCGCGUGACCGCGCGUGGGGCGCGUCUCCGAUGCCCUGGCAGUGCGUGGGGGCGCGUGAGGCCUCUCCCGAUGACGCGCCACCGACUGUCUUGCUCGUCUUGUCGAGCCAAGUCCGAAUUUGUGAUUUAAUUUUAUUUUUAUCGAACAAAAAAUCUCGAAAAUCACAAAUUAGGGCAAAAACUUUAUGCGUUCAAGUUCUAGGGUUAUGGUUGCUCUAAUACCACAUGUUGGACGCAAAUUGCGCAAACCCAAGAUCUCCAUAACUAGAACAAGAACAUAUAUAAUUGAGUAGAAAGAUUAAAGCACAUGUUUUGGGAUCCAUCGAACAUAAAGCAGAAGCAGAAAAUGGAUUACUCACUCAUCAAGGGGAUCCACUAUUCUUGAAGCGGAAGCGGAAACACAAUGUUCCACGCGCAAGUCUUCUCCUCUAUUGCCCUCCAUAUCACUAGCUUAAUUAGGCGGCUCCCUCACGUGUAGCGUUAGGUAAACGCCCCUUAGGUGAUGAUACAAGUGAGAAUUAGGGUUAGAUAAGAGACUUGAGCACUAUUUAUAGAAUUUAUAGAAUUUCCAGCCAGUCCCCCUCAUUACGGGCCAGGCUCAACUCGGCCCACACUAGCCAGCCUAUAUUAGACUAAUUAAGAAACCUUCUAUUUCACUUUAGACCGACUAUGUUUUACACUUGGGCUUGGGCUUCAUGUUUGGCCCUUAUUUAUUAUUUUUUGCAAGCCCAGUUAUUGAAACUUUAAUCAUGCACAUAAAUCUUUAUAGGUUAUUAUGUAUUGAUGCAAACUACGCGGAUUUAGAAUAAGGUCUUGGGUCAUCUUGCGCAGCAUCCCUAAUCCCCCUCCUCCCCUCCUCGAGCUCGCGUGUCCCGUCCGCGUUGUGGCCGCUUUAGUAGAAAUCUUAGCAGCAGCGCAAUCACCCGGUAGCUACCCGUUGGAAGACCGAAUUGCCCGAGUCGUCUUCUCACUUUCCAAUUUUCCGAUGCACAAUAUUCAGUAAUUGGUCUGGUGAUGUGACACCCGAGUUUUGCCGACCACUAGCCGUAUACUCAUCGAAUUAAAAAUUUUCAAAGGGUCUUGAGCGAAGUUUCGAUGUUCCCAUUACAAUGGUUGGAGUGCAGGGUACGGCGUUACAUGACGAUCCUAUGGCCACUCGUGGGUAGAAAUGGCGCCUUCAUGAAAGUUGGGAAUUUUUUUAAAACAAAUAAAAUUAGAGGUGGAAAUGUGAUUAAAAUUCAAAUUUGAGAUUUUUUUAGAAAAUUAGCUUAUAAAAAAUUCAUACUUCUAUCAACAAUCCAAAGUGUCUUGAACCAAAGAAAAUGCAAUCUUUUGUUAAGAUACAAACCUAUUUUCGUAAUAUUUCACUAAGAAAAAAUGUCCCUUGCUUCAAAAAUAUUUCAAUAGGAUUUCGUAUAUCCAACAAUCAUAAAAGUAGAUAAGUUCGUGCAUAAACCUGCCAUUAUGCGAUACCCUAAAAUUUCUUUACAACAUGAUUCUAGUAGCUUAAAAAAAUCUGUAGAAUCAACCUAGCAACAUAGAAUCCAUACAAAAUCUAGUUUACAAUCUGGCAUUUAUUAUUUUAAGGUGACGUCUUCGACCGUCGUUACUCGUUCGGCAUCUUUCGUGCGUAGUUUGUUUGUUUUGGGAAACAUCGUUCUGUCCUCAGGUCAUUCACCACGUCGCAUAAAAGAAGCACCAAAGAACGAUGUCGUCCCUACCUUAACCCCACUUAGCGCAAUGGAUUUUACCUCCUUUGUCUCUAUCCUCCUCAACUUCGUGCAAGUCAAAUUCCAGGCGAAGUCUUUGCCCUUCGAAGCCCACCCCAUGGCCACUGGCCUCGCCGUCCUGCAUUUCUUAUUGCUGGGUCUCACUGAUCGGGCACCGUCGCACCUCCUCAUCCUCAUCAUCAACUUGGCCGGUUCGAUAUCGCUGGCUACGCUCGGGUGGCUCCUGCUCCACGACUCCUCCCACUCCGUCCCCUACUUGUUCGUGAUACUCCUGUUGCUUUCCGUGAGUCUGUUGCGUGCCCUCAUUCGAAGACUUUGGCUGUGGUUUUACGGCCAAAUCUUUGUCAUGAUUUUCCGUGUGGCGCGUCUGUGGCAGGGUGGAAGAGUGCCGCCACAUUUGCAGCGCUCACGCCCGGUCGUCAUAGAUCUGCGUUUAUUGCUGGAAGUUUGAGCGCCGUGCCCGUCUUCCUCAACAAUUGCUACCAAGAGAAGAAAAGUCGUUUUAAAGCAUUGCUGAGUGUUGCAGAUUUCCUUCCAUUUUUGGUGCUUCUCUUUGUAGCUUUAUGUUUGGCCAGUGGAUCCAUAUGUGUCGUUUUACAUUCUUUGCUGGUUUUGGAGACCAAAAUUGCAUGUCUUUUCUUGAGUACCUCCAAUUGUGUGCUCAUUCUUUCCACUUUUUCCUACAGAAUUGCAAUAUUUUCAUCUAGUUCAGAAUAGCAGGGUCUUAAGGUACUUCCACUACUUCAGCAAUCUGUAUUAAAAAAUGUUCGGUAUUGGAGCAUUUUCUGUUGAUUAUUACUUAUUGUAGAGGAUGAGUCUAUAUAUAUGAGGGAUGUUCACGAAAAAUGGCACUUUUACUGGCAUUUUUGGACACCGACUCGUCAUUAUCAAAUUGCUAUGUGUCAAACGUUGUCGUAUGGCCGUUUCCAGUUUCCAGAAUAAAGUCAAAAUUGUUCUUGAAGUUAAAGCUUCUGAAUUCUUUGAAAACAUCAUGAGUGUCACAUUUUUGCUUUUCUUUUUCUGGUGAAUCUCUCCGUAACUUUCUGUUUGGCCAGUGGAUCUAUGUGUUAUUUUAUGGACUCUUUGCUGGUAUACAAUGGUUUUGCUCAUUUAUCCUUAUGAACUAGGAUAAAUAGAUGGCUUGGAGGCGCGAGCACAGCUGCAAUGCAGAAGCUUUGUUCUAUCAUCAUAGAGUUAUCCGAAUCAACAUGAAAAAUGUCAGUUUUUUUAUUUGUGUCCCGUAUGCACAGGUACUGCUUGCUAGCCAUUCUGAUGAUAAUUUUGUUUGAGUUUGUCAUUGCAGAAUGACAAGGAUGGCUACAUCAUAUAGUCCGCACUUUAUAUUUUAGAGGUGACAACUAGAUCUUUGUUGCUGCAAAUGCAUCAACUUGCUUCAACAAAUAAGAAUUUUAAAGACCGCGAAUUCUUUUGUGAUGUAUCCUGUAUGUAUCUGGAAGCUCUUGAAUCUGAGUGAUGCAAUCUAAGACUAUGUAGUCUCAUUAGCUGAUUGGUUUUCGUCCAGGAGCUAGAAUUGUUGCUUCAGUCAGAGAUUCAAGUUGCCAGGGCCAAGGUGAGAAAAGAAUGCUGAAACAGAGAUUUCCUUUUUGGGAGGCUUUAGUUCAAUAUGACCGAAUUUUGGUGGACCACAGAUGUUAGAACCGAACUUUUCCCAUCUUCAUGUGCUGGUAAGGAAUUUUUGCACUUCAUUAAUGGAAAGCCAUAUAGAUAGUAUGCAAAAGCCUGAGACUAGUCUGUACAAACUACACACACCUGAUAUUCAUUCUUCAAGGAAAUAAUGACCUGCAAGCUUCAUGACAAGCUGAUUUAUAUUCAAAUUAUGCAUCCUCAAGUUAGUAGUCCAACUCAUAACAUAGAGCACAUAAGUCUUAUGCUAAAAAAUAUGAUAUUUAUCGGCUUUUGCUGAGAAGAUAACAAUAUCGGAUGUCGAGUGUUAGCAGUGAUUCCAAUUGACUUGCAUAAGAGCAUAAGUUGAAACAUCAAACAGAAAGGUGGUCUCCUGCCUCCUCAAUGUUUUUCUUCUGGGUAAGUGCCUCCCCAGCUCUGCAAUUACAUGCACUUCGUUUGCAGCUUUUUGAGACCAGCAUUGCACGUCUGUUUUUUGAGUACCUUUCAAUUGUGUGCUCACUCUGUCCACUUUUUCCUGCAGAAUUGCAAUUUCUUUAUCUAGUUCAGCAAUAGUGGGGCUUCAGGUACUUCCAUUACUUUAUUUAAAGUUUUGGUAUUCUUAAUUUUUCUGUAGAUUAUAACCUAUUGUGGAGAUUGAGUCUGUCUAAGAUGAAACAAAAGAAAAAAGAACAGGGCUAUUCACCACCUUGCAUGGCAGCAUCUUGUAGCCAUUUGUUGGCUAAAGUCAGUUUAGUGAGAGAGAUCAUUUCUUUGAUGAAGCAAUGGUUAAAACGCAUUCAAUAUGAGUAAUGAAUGGGCAAAGGCAUUCAUCACAGACAAGCACCCAGUUUCAGGUCCGUUUCUCUCAAAGGUUACAUAGUACUCAAUGGCAUCAUCUUCGAUGAACAUAGCAUGGAGUGUGAGUUGAUGGAGGUGAUGGCAAUGUUUUAUUGUUGGUGGUAACUGUGGAAAGCAGUCAUGAUUGACAUUAAGAUUGCACUGCACAAGAACUUGAAAGUCAAAUGUGCAAAAUUUACCAGACACUGCAUAGGAAGCGCGGGUCAGUAGAUCUAAUAUAAGAAAGAGUAUAUGCUCGUGGAGGUGAUGUUUCAAAGUGGGUCUUUCAAAAGUGCAUGGAAUGUUGAAGUCAAACUUUCAUUCUGCACAGCACAAGACAGCGUCAAUGCUCUUCACGACCUGUGUCAGUGAGCGUGUGCCAGGGUGAACGGGGUGUUGCAUAACUGAGGGCAUUUCAGCACAUGAUUUAUGGAGCAGAAAAGAGCAGCUCUGCUCCUGGCAGGGAUGGGCUGAACCUUUGACAUAUUCAUCAUAAGCCUUGAACGCACCAUCCUUCAUGUGACCCAGCUCUAGAGCCAGCGAAUGAUCGUGAGCACAGCUGUAGAACUCUCCUAGCAUGUUCCAUUCUGUUGUUACUGAUCAAAACAGUAAACAAGAAACAGAAAACCAGAAGCUAUAUUUUUUGAAUGAGGAAGAGAAGCACAGAGAAAACAGAGCACAAACUUACGUACGUCAAUUUUCUUAAGGAAACUAUCAAGUACAGGACAACUUAAACAAGAACAAUAACUGCUUACAAACCACACACACAUGCAGCAUAUAACUGCACCUAAACGUGCUAAUUCACUUCCUAGAAAAUAGCAAAAAACACUAAAUGCACUUGGCUGUUUUUUAAUAAAAAAAAACAGAGGAAAACAGAGUAAAAAAAAAAAACAAAACAAAAAACAGCAACUAGACAUUAUAAUCCAACAAACUCCUCUUUGGAUCAGUUGCUGCUGCAUACUCCCAUUUUCUUUCUUAAUACUUCAAAUCUUCCAGCUUGAAGUGGUUUUGUGAACAUGUCUGCAAGCUGAUCUUUAGAUCUGCAAUAGACCAACUUAACUUCGCCACUUUGUUGCACCUCACGCAAAAAGAAAAAAUUGACUUUGAAAUGCUUGGUUUUGCCAUGAAAAACUGGAUUCUGUGAUAUUGCUAAAGCAGCCUGAUUAUCUACAUUAACUUCAAUGCAAUUACUGGAAUUCAACCACAAAUCCUUCAUUAUCUUCUUCAGCCACAAAGCUUGAUUUGCAGCUGCAGUAGCUGCUAUAAACUCAGCCUCUGCAGUAGACUGAGCUACAAUCUCUUGCUUUUUAGAAGACAAGGAGAAACAAGCAGAACCAAAACUGAAACAGUAUCCAGACGUACUUUUCAUGUCAUCCACUGAACCAGCCCAGUCACUAUCAGAAAAUCCUUGCAAAUUAAACUUCUGACAUUUCUUAAACUUCACACCAAAGAACAAUGUUCCUUUGAGAUAUCUCAAGACCCUUUUUGCUGCAACCAAAUGUAACUGACUAGGACUACUCAUAAACCUGGAUAAAACACUCACAGCAAAUAGAAUAUUUGGUCUAGUUGCUGUAAGAUACAUGAGACACCCAAUCAGACUUUUAUACAUAGAAGCAUCUACUGCAUCUGUUCCAUCAUUCUUCUACAGCUUCUCUUUAGCAGCCAUAGGAGUGCUUACACUUCGACAAUCUUCCAUCUGAAACUUCUUUAGAAUUUCUUUCAUGUAUUUUUUCUAACAGAUGAAGAUCUCAUAUGAAGCCUGUUUGACUUCCAGACCCAAAAAAUAAGCCAUCUUCCCCAAGUCUGACAUCUCAAAAACUGCAAAUAGAUCUUGCUUCACCUUCUCUAUCAAUUCCAUAUCAUUCCCCGUCACUAAUAGAUCAUCUACAUAAAGUGACAAAAUUACAACACUGUGAUUCACCUACUUAACAUAAAGAGUGAACUCACUUAAGCUUUUUACAAAGCCAAAAUCCUGCAAAUAUCGAUCUAUAUUCCCAUACCAAGCUCUUGGAGCCUGCUUCAGUCCAUAUAAAGCUUUCUUCAACCUAUAUACACUCUCUUCUUGCCCUUUGAUACUGAAGCCUUCAGGUUGUUCAACAAAAAUCUCCUCCUCAAGCUCUCCAUUCAGAAAUGCAGACUUGACAUCUAACUGAAAUAUAGGCCACCCCUUCUCUGCUGCAAUAGCUAACAGUAACCUUAUUGUAUCAAGUCAUGAAACAGGAGCAAAUGUUUCAGAAUAGUCUACUCCCCAUAUUUGUGCAUAGCCUUUCACCACCAGUCUAGCUUUGUGUUUAUUAACAGAACCAUCAGGAUUAAGUUUUGUUCUAAACACCCACUUAACCCCAAUCACAUUCUUAUUAGAUGGUCUGUCAACAAGCUCCCAUGUGUGGUUUUUCUGGAUCAUUGCAAUCUCCUCUUUCAUUGCUGCAAUCCACCUCUGAUCCUCCUUAGCUUCCACAAAGUUAGAUGGUUCGAGCAUUGCCACAUUGCUUCUUUCAUAGAUUUCAGCAAGUGACCUUGUGCCUCUCACUAGUAAAUCAUCCAUACUGUCUUCCAAUCCAUCUAUAACUUCAUCAACCUCUACAUCUGUUGCAGGUUGUUUUUCGAACUGUUGCCAUUCUGCACUAUUUCCUUCCAUCCAAUUCCACUCAUCUUCCUCUAGAAAAACAACAUCUCUGCUUACAGUCACCUUCCCUGUCAUAGGGUGAAAAAUUCUAUAAGCUUUUGAUUGGAGACUGUACCCAAUGAAGAUUCCAAGCUCUGCUUUUUUAUCCAGCUUGUCCCUCUGAACCUCAGGAACAUGAGUGUAACACAAACACCCAAAAAUCUUAAAAUUUUUCACAGAAGGUUUAACACCAUACCAGACUUCAAAAGGUGUUGACCUCUCUAAGGCCUUUGUGGGCAAUCUGUUCAACAGGAACACUGCAGUAUUAGCUGCUUCAGCCCAGAACUUCUUAGGCAACAUCUUCUCCUGUAUCAUACAUCUGGCCAUCUCCAUAAUACUUCUGUUUUUCCUCUCACUGACCCCAUUCUGUUGAGGUGAAUAGGGAGCAGUGAACUGCUGCACAAUUCCUGCUUGCUCACAAUUCAACUUAAACUUGUGAGCAGUAUACUCAGAGCCAUUAUCAAACCUGAGCAUUUUAAUUUUCUUCCCACUCUGAUUCUCAACUAAAGCUUUAAACUUCAGAAACACAUCAGCAACUUCAGACUGGCUCGUAGAAAAUAAAUCCAACUCAUCCUAGUCAUAUCAUUAGUGAAGGUAAUAAAAUACCUGCUACCAUUGAGAGAAGACUCAGACAUAGGUCCACAUAGAUCUAUGUGGACCAAUUGCAGCUUCUCACAUGCUCUCCAGCCUCCUCCUUUAAAAGGAAAUCUGACUUGCUUGCCAAGAAGACAAGUUCUGCACUAUGGAAAUUCCUCCUUCAAACUUAGCAAGUCAUCUGCCAAGCUAUUUCUCUGCAUAAACGACAUGCUCUUCCUAUGAACAUGCCCAAGUCUUUUAUGCCAUAUCUCUGCAUUUUCUUCUUUGCACUUUAAAGCCAUUUGUUGCAUCUCUUGUGGCUUGAACAUGAAACUCUUGUCCUUCAUUAGGAUUCUUAGUACUUCUUUGCUAUCUGCAUUAUUAAUAAGACAUUCCUUCCCUUCGAACUUCACUUUAUAGCCCUUCUCAACUAAUUGACCAACACUUAACAAAUUAUGGUCAAUAUUUGGCACAAAAAGAACAUCACUGAUCAGCUUCACCUCCUGAUUUCCUUCAAUAGCCACUAUACCCUUCCCUUGCACUUCGAUAUACUGUCCAUUGCCAAUUCUGACUCUGGACCUGAUUGACCUGUCUAGAAUCCUAAACAGCUUCGAAUUGCCAAUCAUAUGAUUGGUACAGCCACUAUCCACCAGCCAUGCAUCAUUCCUAACAAAAGAUUCAGAAAAAGAAGCUACAAACCAAUGCUCUUCCUCAGUUUCAUUCACUGCUACCUAGGCUUCUCCUGCUUGCUGGUAAUUUUUUUCUUUGCAGAUGGCUUCCAUGUGACCCAACUUGUGACAUCUUAUGCACCUAGCAUCAGGCUUUCUCCAACAUCUAAAAAACUUAUGAUUAGUUCCACCACAGUUUUGACAAGGUUUUUUGUUCUUCUUCCAUUUGCUAGACCCACCAGAAUUUCCUUCUUUUGCUACAAACUUGGAGUCACCAGCAUUUUCUCUGGACUGAAUCCAUUUCUUCCCUUUGCCUCCAUCAUUUGACUUCACUUUAGCUUGCAGUGCACCCUCUACAAACUCUUCUCUUCUCAUCAGUCUUCUAUGCUCCUGUGCCUGCAGAGCAUUUAACAAUUCUGCAAGCUUUAUAUCAGGUAAGUCUCUUGUAUUUUCCAGAGAUGCUAUGGUGGCUUCGAACUUCUCUGGAAGAGACACCAGGAUCUUCUGAACAAGCCUUUCAUCCUUCAAGUCAGUCCCUAAAACUCUGAUUUUAUCAGCUAUCCCCACUAGCCUAUCAGAGUAUUCCUUCACUGACUCAGACUCUUUCAUCUGCUGUCUCUCAAAUUCUCUCAAGAGAUUCAGCACCUUCAUACCUCUUAUCUUCUCAUCUCCUUCAUAUUCUUCCUUCAAGAAGUCCCAUAUGGCCUUUGCAAAGUCACACUUCAUAAUUCUGGUAAAGAUGGUAGGCGAGACAGCAGCAUACAGGCAAGAUUUUGCCUUGGCUUUUCUUGUGGUUCUCUCUUUAUGAAGUUCAAUUUGAUUCAUGGUCGGAUUAUCUAGAAGUGGAGCAACUUCAUAAUCAUCAUCCACAGCUUCCCACAGAUCAUGACCCUCCAAAAAUGCUGUCAUCUUAACAGCUCAUGCUUGAUAAUUCUCUCCAGUAAAUACUGGAGAAGCCAUCGCAGAGAAACCACUCGACCCUGUCUCCAUUACCCUUUAACUUCUUUACACUUCGAUACUUGCUUCACUUCACAGUCCCUCAAGAUCAUACACGCUCUGAUACCACUGUUGUUACUGAUCAAAAUAGUAAACAAGAAACAGAAAACCAGAAGCUAUAUUUUUUGAAUGAGGAAGAGAAGCACAGAGAAAACAGAGCACAAACUUGCGUACGUCAGUUUUCUUAAGGAUACUGUCAAGUACAUGACAACUUAAACAAGAACAAUAACUGCUUACAAACCACACACACGUGCAGCAUAUAACUGCACCUAAACGUGCUAAUUCACUUCCUAGAAAAUAGCAAAAAACACUAAAUGCACUUGGCUGUUUUUUAAUUAAAAAAAAAACAGAGGAAAACAGAGUAAAAAACAAAACAAAACAGAAAACAGCAACUGAGACAUUAUAAUCCAACACAUUCACGAGCUUUGCACUAAAUUCUGGUUUCAAGCUUCUCGUGGAAGGACGCCAGUAGAUGGUGAUGGCCAAAAUGGUUUUUAAAAAAAAAAAACGAGCCUUUCUCGCCCUCCAUGUCCUGUGAACAUAGAGUUAUAGCUGCGCAGUCCAUGUCAAGACUGAAAUUGCAUUCGCUGCAGUGGGAAACCAUAUGGCAGGCAUUAUAUUGGUGAUUUAUCCGAUUGAUCGAACGCAAGAGAGAGAGUGAUGGAGAGACGGGCGUUGCUUCUCCAGGGUAGGUACGGCACAGCUCUAGUGAAUUAAGAAUAUGCACCGUGUAGCAUCCAUAAACCUCCUCGCAGGCUUUGCAUUUGAUUCUACUUUUCGUUCCAAGAUGAUGGGAUGCCAGCAGAUGCUCCUGAGCAAGAUGUUGGAUGGUCACAUUCUCAGAAUCCUCAUCAGGCUUAGUGUUGUGACUAGGGAGAGACGUAGCAAUAUCGGCCAUGCAGUAGCGCUCAACCAUCAGAAUGGCAAGAAGAAAGACUGUUCACACGCAUGGCAACUCGGACGAUCCUCCUCAUUGUUGCCACCUAGGCAAACAUGUCGGGACAGCGGGUGAGACAAGUGUCCUAGUGCUAAAUUCAGCGCGACUUUUGAAAGAAGAAUCAACGCGAUUCGAGGCUGUUGGCUGAGCAGCGGAUUGGAGACCAACACGCGAGACAUUCCAAGCAAUAAUAGCCUUCUUCGCUCAGGUUUCGGAGAUUCAAUACAUGAUCACCAAAGCAAAUUAGGAAAUAAAAAAGUGUUUUGAAUGGAGUUAUAGUUAUAGUUGCUGAGUGAUAUCAACGCGAAGCAAAUGGGGUGAAAUGAAUUGUUCUCCACUCCCAUAUAUUAUUUGAUGCUAUAUUUCAGUGUUAAGUUGUACAAUUUUUUUAUUGUAUUUUAAAUAUGCUUUAAUGAAACAUUAAAGUGGCCCAUGAAAAGUUCCAUAUCUUGUUCAUUUAAGGUCAGCUGCAAUGAUAAUAUAACUUUUCAUAAAUUAACUAAUGAAUUAAACUCCAAACAUUGUAUUAGGUCAUAAAGGUGCAUUCACCUUGGGCUAGUCUAUCCAUUCAUCCGAAAGUUCUUAUCCAACUUACUAUAAAAGUAACUUACUUAGGACAAUACUAUGAGAACAAUUUUGACAUAACUUAAUUGUUUAUAAAACCAAAUUCACCUAUUUUGAAUUUUAUGAGUUAUUUUUUUAAUUUAUUAGUCAAUCGCAUUUACAUAUAAAAGUAUUGUUUACAUUUGCUAUUAAAUACUAUUUGUACAAAUGGUUAUGAGCUGGGUCUACUUUCUUCUAGUUAUCAAAUAUCUAUAAAUGUACAUGUUCGCAGCAAUCUUGAAUUCCACGAUAUCAAACAAGAGUUAUGCAUAAUAUGAUGCUUCGUAAGCUAAGUUGAUAAAGUUCACCGAAGCAGUAGUUGUAAUUAAACUUGUAAUUUUCUGUUAAAAUCUUUGAAUAGAACUAAAUUUCAUUUUCAAAAUUAAAUAAUUAUCCACAUUGAGUAACCUCAAAAACAAAAUGUAGAUCGAAGUGGUUAUAGACCCAAUUCAUAUUAUAUGACCUGUGACACAAGUCAAACUAAAUCUUGAUCCAGAGGUCAAAAGUAGGCAUUUGUAUAAACUUUGAAAACUAAGACCUAGGAGAAAAUAUCUAGAAAGAACAAAACAAAACAGAGAUGUGCUCUUCUGAGCAAUUAUAAGUAAACCCGUCCAAAUGAUCAAAUGAACUACAUUUGGAUGAAAAAAAAGAUUACGAUACACGCGCAUUUUUUAUCUAUGGUGAUCAUCUUCAUUCCACCAAUUUGUACGUUCCUUUUGCUAAAACAUUGAACUUAUUACACUAAUCAAAGUAACGAUUAGUCCAACCUUGAUUUUGAACUGGAUCACAUCCUUUUUUUAGGUAAAAUUUUAAAGAAAGGGACAAAAUUCUCUCUUUCUAUCAUACUCUCUCCUACCAGGGCGUGCACGUAUUUAUAAACAUCUCUUCAACAACUUUUCAAUCUCCUUUAUUGACAAAAGAGUUUCCAAAGGGUCUUAGGGGAAGCUUCGGUUUUCACACAGCAAUGGUUAGACUAUACCGCAUUGCAUGAUGAUCCUAUGGCCACUCAUGGGUAGAAAAGGGACCUUUAUGAAAGUUGGGAAUUUUUUAAAACAAGAAGAAAGUUAGAGGUAGAAUUAAGAUUGAAAUUAAAAUUUGAGAUUUUUCUUAGGAAAUUAGCCCAUAAGAAUUCAUGCUUCCAUCAACAAUCAAGGGCAUCUCAAACCGAAGAAAUUGCAAUCUUUUGUCAAGAUGGGAACCUAUUUUCACAAUAUUUCAUGCAAGAAAAAUGUUUAGCCACUUCGAAUUAGUAGGAUUUAAUAUAUCUAACAAUUAUAGAAAUAGGUAAAUUCAUGCUUAAAACAUGGUGACAAAGGAGUGCUCAUGUCAUAUAUAUAUAUAUAUAUCGCACUAAUAUUGAGUAUUUAUAGAAAGGGAUGAGUGAUCGUUAUUGAAGUAUGAAAUAGUAAGUGUCACAAAGCUGAUCAGAGAACCCGUAGCAAGUAGAAAGCGAGAAAGAAGGAAGAGAGAAGGAAUAGAGAGAAGGAGGAGAAUGGGAACGUAGAAGAAACAAAGACGGGGCUGUAAUUUUCUGUGUAACAGAAACCCUACACCCAUUGUGUUUAUAUUAAAUAUAAAUUGUAUAUGACCAUAAUACCCUUAUAUAAGUAAAAGAUAAAUAAAACUCUAAAAUAAAAAUAACUCAAUUAACGUAACUUAACACUCCCCCUCAACUUGGAGCAUAUAGGUCACUCAUGCCCAGAUUGGAACAACCAGCAAUAAAAGCAGGAUGAAAUAAUGCUUUGGUGAACAUAUCAUGUGACACCCCGAACCACCUAGGGUCGCCACAGGCACCUGACGUUACACCUAAUGGAAUACUAGCUACAUCUCUUAGAAGAAGCGUUGUAAAUCAUAGACACAUUUUUUUUUUUUUUGAAAACAGUCCCAAUGCGACUCAUUAGCGGAAGCAAAAUAUAAUAUCGCCAUUUCUCCCUCCUAACAACCAUGAUACAAUUGCACACCACUAAAUACCAAAGGAAAAGAUAAAGCCAUGCCACUUUUAUUUACAUAUUUUCGUGAUGGAUUUUUCGCGGGUCGAUACAACAAAAGAAAGCCAAGAUUUCCAGCUACACUUGGCCACAUGCCAAAAAGAUACUAUGACCCCUAAAGUAAUCACAUGACGUCCUCCAUCUAACAGCGGCGGCUAUUCCCAAAAAGAAACUCCAGCCCUCUACCUCUCAUGCAACCAUCACACCCAUCCUGGCGCGUCGGGUGGUGGUGGCGGUAACAUCCCCCUAAACACUCUGUCUCGACGAACAUGAAUUGAUAGGAACUCCUGGAUGAUUGGGCCCCCAGCUAGGCCCACAUCAUACAUAACCAGCACUCGCACUCACACAAAAGUCAAUCCAGGGACGGUAACGCAGUCGAUCUCCGUACAUUCUACUUCUACAUCCGAGGGGAGGCCAUAGAAGGUACCUCGCGUGAUGGUAGGAAGCGGCAUCUUUCUAAUCUGAAAUGUUGGUCCCCGAAAGGGUGAGUAUAACCACUCAGCGGGUAAAGGAUCCAAUAACCACUCAAUUCAUCAUAAAAUACAAUUGCAACAUAAUACAAGUCAUUCAUGCAUCCAAGCAUACUUACUUUGAAGCCAUGCAUAUACCAUCAUACAUCUUCAUCACAAUCAUAUCAAAUACAUGUCAUCAUGCCAUAGGUGAUCAUUAUUAUCAUAUCAUAUAUGCAUAUCAUCAUGCCAUAGGUGAUCAUCGUCAUAUCAUAUCACAUAUGCAUAUCAUCAUGCCAUGGGUGAUCAUCAUCAUAUCAUAUCACAUAUGCAUAUCAUCAUGCCAUGGGUGAUCAUCAUCAUAUCAUAUCAUAUAUGCAUGAUUCGAUUUCCACUUUUAACUUUCAAUUCGAUCACCACAUCACUCUUUCUCAAGAUCAUCCAUUUCAUCUCAUACUUUACACUCGCACCCCAUCCUGGCAUCGCGAGAAAAACCUCCGACAUUCAGCCAUUUAAGGCCACCGGGCAUUCGGCACCCCCACAUUCCAGGCAUCUCACAUUCCAACUGGCAUCACGAGGCAUCCCCUUGGGCAAAGACCUCCGAGGCUUCCGGCACCCAACCAUUCCGGGCAUCUCGAAACUCCCGAGGCCAUCCAGCCAUGUAUCUCUAUACAUUCUGGGCAUCCGGCACCCCCCAUCUCGGGCAUCCUGAUACUCCCAGGGCAUUAUCAUCCGCCACAAACAGUUUCCUCAUUUAUCAUUGUUCAUAGUUACCAAUUUAGGUCUCAACUUAGCAUGGUACAUGAUGUAAUGGCAAACAAAAUCACUUUCAUCCUUUGAUCUAUACAUGCAUCAUCAGUCAUCAUCAUACAUGUAGCAAGAUGCAAUCAUUCAUAAAAAUAAAAUUUAUGGAAUUCGUACAAUUUAGAACAGUCCAUUUAUCAUGCCUUUUUGAGAUUUAUUUAAAUUCCAGCUUGUACCAUUUUUGAAAAUAUUUAAAUUAAAUAUCCAUAUGAUUCUCAAAAAUCAUGAAAUUAAUACAUGUGAUAGACAAGACAAUAAGAUAUUGAUUUCAUGAAAAACACAUGGCCAAUAGAGUUCCACACACAAAAGAUAUAAUUCACACAAAUACAGCAUGCAAUUUCGGAUAAAAACAGAAUGUGCAGUUUUUGAAAUAAUUCGAUUAAAAUACCCGAACGACCUCUGAAAAUUAUGAAAUUUUACCAGGUUAUAUUUAAGACACUAAAGUAGAUUUUUCAUGUAGACUUAUAGGCCAGAUUCGUUUUAGAUAAUUUCCUAUAGUCGUCCGAAGCUUCUGGUUCUCAUACCGAAACGUCCAGGGUAGUCAUCUCCUAAAUACCGAGUUUUUACCCACUUAUUCUUCUUCGUUUCCUCUGAAAUUUGGAUAUGUUUUACUUCAAGAGGUCCCCUACAACUUUCAUUAAGGGAUCUAAGUCAAAUUUCCAAAGAACAGUCACCAUAUGGGUCCAUGAAGUCUCGGGUGUCCAGUACCGCGUCUCCAGAUUUACCGUCUUCAAGAGUAAGUCGAUUCACUAGGCUACACUGGUUCAUUUUACUUAAAAUUUGAGUAUGUUAGUCUUUAAGAUUUUCUCUACAGGUUUCAUGAAGACGUAGAAGAGAUAUUCUUGAUAAAAAUCAACAUGCAACCACAGAUCUACAAAAAUGUCAGCAAAAUCGUUCCAGAUCUAGUGUCUUAGUAGGAUGAGAGUUUGACCCCUUAAAUCUCCACCAUUUUGUACCAAAUUUUAGUAUGUUGUAGUUUAAGAUGUUGGAUACAACGUUCAUGAAUAAAUCAAAGUCAAAAUCGAACUUAAAACAUGCAUGCAAGCUCUCACAAGAUUCUGGUUCAGGCGGUUCAUACAAAAACAGCAAGCAUAUUCAAGAACAAGGCACAUUUUUGCUUCGGUUUCGCCUACCCUAACAUCCGAAACUCACCACUAACAAAUCAUACAUGCAAGGCACACAUGCAAGAGCGGAAAUCAGUCCCAACUUGCCUCAAAGACCAAGCGGACAGCGGCGCACGAACGGCACACCGGCGACGGACGGACGGCGUGCGGGCGGCGACGGGCGACUCCUUCUCCCUCUCGGCCUCACUUUCUCUCGCAACUCACUCUCUCUCUCUUCCUCACUUGGCCAAAUACCACCAACCGGCCACUCUCUCUCUUCCUCUUCCUUUUAUUCCCCCAAAUCUCCAUCAUUGGCAAUGAUUACUUGCCACUUCCAAUGGCCAAUGCAUGCAAGUCCCUUCUUGCCACUUGGCAAGGCCCAUGCAAUGGGCCGGCCAUUCCCCUUGGGCCUCACUUGGGCCGGCGACAGCCCCUCCGUGGGCUUCUAUUGGGCCGACCAGCUUGGCCCAUCUUAGGCCCAUCCCUCUUGGACCUAAGACCCAAGCUUAAUUAGCCUAAGAUCAACCCUUUUAAAACUACUUAAAUUCCUAUUAAAUUGAAGUACUAAAUUACAAAUUAAGAUAACUAUACACUUGAAAUUUUAAUUCCAUAAGUUCCAAUUUAUCACACACACAUGGCCAAAGAUAAAACUUCCUUUCCCAAAAUUCAUCCAUUAAAGACUUGGCCAUACAUCUCAUUGCAACUCAUGGACUAGGAGGCUACAAAAUACAAUAGCGGUACUUCUAUCGCCUAUCCAUAGCUCAUGGCAUAUUUAGGAAUUUUUAUGAAAUUCCAGGAUGCCACAUAUCAGCAAGCUAAUCUCUAGAGGCAACAUAAGGAGAAGCGACCAACUUCUUCUUCAUAGCAUCACGAACAAAGUGACAGUCAACUUCUAUAUGCUUAGUUCGCUUUUGAAAAAUAGGAUUCCCAACAAUAUAAAUAGCUGCUUAAUUAUCACACAUCAUAUCAAUAGGUUGAUUAAUAAAAAAAUCUAAGCUCCUGGAGAAGAGAUUUCAACCAUAACAAUUCAGCCACAGUAUGUGCCAUAGCACGAUAUUCAGCCUCCGCACUAGACCUAGCAAUAGUAGUAUGUUUCUUGCUUCUCCAAGUAACCAAAUUACCACCAAUAAAGGUGCAAUACCCAGUUGUAGACCAUCGAUCAUUUGUUGACCCAGCCCAAUCAGCAUCAGAAUAGCCAAUAAGAGUGGAAGAACCGUUAGGUUUAUAAAUUAGUCCCUUACCGGAAGAGCUUUUAAGAUAUCGAAGAAUGCGAUAGACAGCAUCCCAAUGAGCCUUCUUAGGUGACUCCAUAAACUGACUCACCACACCAACAACAAAAGAAAUAUCAGGACAUGUAACAGUAAGAUAAAUUAUUUUCCCAACCAAACGUCGAUAUUGUUGCUUGUCUUCAAUUUCAUUUCCAUCACCAAUUCCAAACUUUUGAUUUGGAUCCAUAGGAGUAUCAACUGGCUUGGAAGUUAGUGUACCAGUCUCAGACAAAAGAUCAAGAACAUACUUUCGUUGAGACAGAUUAAUACCUUUUUUACUUCGUAAAACUUCAAUACCUAGAAAAUAUCUAAGGGUUCCUAAGUCUUGAAUCUGAAAUUGCUGCUGAAGAAAGGACUUAACCUCAGAAAUGCCGGUCACAUCACUACCAGAGACAAUUAUAUCAUUCACAUAUACCAUAAGAAUGACCACCCCCGAUUCCUUCUUACGAACAAACACAGAAUGAUCUGAAUAACAUUGGUGGAAACCACAUCUGGAAAUCACUGAACUGAAUUUUUCAAACCAUGCUCUUGGAGAUUGUUUCAACCCAUAAAUGGCCUUAUGUAGCCGACAUACUUUACUACAAUUCUCCCCCUGAGCAACGUACCCAGGAGGUUGCUCCGUAUAUACUUCUUCAGACAAAUCGCCAUAAAGAAAAGCAUUCUUGACAUCUAAUUGAUAUAAUGGCCAAUCGAAAUUCACAGCAAGAGAAAUAAUAACACGAACAUAAUUGAGACGUGCCACAGGGGAAAAAGUCUCAAAGUAAUCCACUCCAUAAGUUUGAGUAAAAUCUUUAGCAACGAGCCGAGCUUUAAGACGUUCAAUUGAGCCAUCCGGAUUGUACUUGAUAGUGUACACCCAACGACACUUCACCACAUCUUUCCCAAGAGGAAGAUCAACUAAUGACCACGUUUGGCGAGACACCAGAGCUUCCAUUUUCAUAUCCAUAGCUUUCUUCCACUAAAGGCGAGACAAAGCCUCAGUGGUAGAAGUAGGAAUUGUGUGAGUUUGUAAUGAUAGAGCAAAGUCAUGUAAUAGAGAAGGAAGAUGUGAAAGAGACACAUAAUGCUCAAUAGGGUAAGCUAAAGAAAAAUUUUGCGUGCAUGAUCGAGUACCUUUGCGAAGGGCAAGCAGAAGAUCGUCCGGACCAGGAGACAAGGAGGAAGAUUGAACGGAGGGCAUGGAAGAGCUGGAAACUGGUGAUGUCGUAGACUGCUUUCGCUGCUGAUACACCUACAAGGGAGGAGGUACUGGAGAAGAACUAUCAGAAUCUAAGGGGAUAAGAUGUGGGAUAGGAGGAUCAGCUACAAUGUCAGUUGAAAACUCUUUACCAAAAUAGUAUGGUGUACCCUCGAAAAAAGUAACUUCAGCACUAACAUAUUGGGUACAAGUUAUUGGAUCAUAACAUCGAUAUCCCUUUUGCGUACGUGAAUACCUGAGAAAAAUACAUUUAGUGGCAUGAGGAGAUAGUUUAUUAGAACCGGAAUGUAGGUUAUGAACAAAACAAACACACCCAAAGACGUGCGGGAUAAGAGGGAAUAACGGCUUGUCAGUAAAUAUAACACUAAUUGGUGACUGAUGAUUGAGGACAAUGGAAGGCAUACGAUUUAUGAGAUAACAUGCAGUAAGGACAGCAUCACUCCAAAAUGAUUUUGGUACACGCAUAUGAAAUAAGAGUGAAUGAGCAACUUCUAGAAGGUGAUAGUACUUUCUCUCAGUCACACCAUUCUGCUGAGGGGUAUAAGCACAACUUGUUUGAUGUAUAAUGCCAAGAUUAGAACAAAACAAAGAAAUUGAUUUCUAUGUAUAUUCUAGAGCAUUAUCUAUUCGCAAAAUUUUAAGGGAUGUAUUAAAUUGAUUAGUAACUUCACGAUGAAAUAAUUGGAAAACAUGUAAAAAUUCAAAACAGUCAUGAAGCAUAUAAAGUCAUGUUAAACGACAAUAAUCAUCCACAAAAGUAACAAAGUACUUAAAACCAUUUCUACUAACAAUAUGGGAAGGUCCCUAGAUGUCCGAAUGAACAAGUUCAAGUAAAGUAGAUGCAUGAGAAUCAUUACUACUAGGAAAAGAACUACGAUGAUGUUUCCCAAGUUCACAAGCUUCACACUCAAGAGUAGAAAUUGAUUUACACUCGGGAAUUAUUUGUUGUAACUUAAAUAAAGAUAAAUGCCCUAAACGAGAAUGCUAUAAUAGGGGAUUAAUAGAACUAGCAGCUAGACCAUUGGUGUCAGCAGUAGAGACACCAUUUAGAUAGUAGAGUCCAUCACGUUCAUGCCCUCCACCAAUCAUCUUCUUUGUCUAAAGGUCCUGAAAAACACAAUAAGAUGGGUAAAAUAUAACUUAGCAACUAAUUUAGAGGAAGUUGGGGAACAUGUAAAACAAAGGACUAAGAUAAGGAAGGUGUGAGUGAAACAGUUCCCGAUCCAACCACUUGAGUUGAGGAACCAUUAGCUAAAAUAACUUAUGAUGAAGGACUAGAGUUAUGGUGGGAAGAAAAUAGUUCUUGCUUACCCGUCAUAUGACUAGAAGCUCCCGAGUCAAUGAUCCAAGGGGUGUUAGGAGACAAAGUAGAGAAAGAUGCCAUGUUACCUGUACAUGCAAGAGUAGCAGUGGAUGAGAAAUUGGAAGCCUCUAGUUGUUGGACACGCUUGAUGAGUUGUGCAACCACAUCAUCUCGAGUCGUAGACUCAGAAGAACUACCCCCGGGUGGGAUAGAUGGGUUCAUGUCACUAUAAGACACAAUUCCAGCACUCCCUUCAGACACAACAGCAUUUGCAGUAAUUAAUCGUUGAGCCCACUCAGGCUUGCCAUGCUUGGCCCAACAAAUGUCAAUAAUAUGACUAGAUUUGCCGCAGUAUAUACACUGACGGCUAUCUCAAUCAUAAAUUUGUCCACUACGUCCACCACCACGACUACGACCUCCCCUGACACCACGACCUCUAUUGGAAAAACCACCAUGACCAUGACCACCACUACUAGCCAUAAAUGCUGAAUUGUCUUUAGAUGACGUAGAAGAUGAAGGGACAAUGCGCUGAAUUCGACAAAAUGCUUCAUUCAUAGAAGGAAAUCUCUCUUCAACAAGAAGCUAACUCUCCACAAGCUGUAAGUCAGCAUUCAAGCCAAAUAAAAAAUUGGCCACUUGAAAUUCAGCUCGUUGUGUCUUAAGUCUCUCAAGAUCAGUAGUGAUGUGCUGAUAAAGAUUGAGUUUUUCCCACAUACCUUUCAAAGCACUAUAAAACUCUCCAAGAGACUUGUCUCCCUAUUUAAAAUUAAAGAUCUUCUCAUAUAAUUCAUAAACUCUAGACAUAUUUUUGUCUUAUGAGUAACUCUCCAUAAGAUCAUCCCACACUCCCUCAGCAAUUGUGUGGAACAUGAUAUUAGCAGCGAUGGAUGGUCCCAUGCUAUUCCAUAACCACACCAAAUGCGUAUCAUUCUCUCUCAUCCAAUCACUAUAGUCUUUAGAAUUUUCAGCAAGAGGGUCUGUAGUAAGAUAAUGGAGUUUCCCUUUGGCAUUAAUAUAGACCUUCACAGCUUGGGCCCAUAACAAGUAAUUGGAAGAUCCAUUUUAUUUAAUAGUGGUAAUUUGAACAUUGACACUAUCUGUAGAAGCCUUAGUAUCACUCAUGAUGAUAGUUUCAAUAUAAAUAUAUCUACCACUUAAUCAAGAAGGCUGAAACUUUAAUGCAAGAAACAAAACAACAGCACUAAUGUAUAAUCAGAUGUAAUUGGCUCCAUCAGUUAACCAAAGGGAACCUAGCAAAAUCAGUCAACCAUAAUCAAUGAAAUACUCGGAUUCUUGAAUUCGCUGAUCAGUAAGUAUUGUAAUCCAUGUUCAGAAUUUGAACCUGAUGAAUCUGAUAUCUUCUGAUCUCAUACAUAUCGAGAAACAAAGAGAAAACCAAUAAAAAUUGCAACUUUAGGUGGCUGCGCACCAAAGAAGAAGUAGGGUUACUAGGGGACUCUCAAACCAGCAAUAGGAUUAAGUAAUCAAGUAGUUAGAUUUGCUCUGAUACCAUGUCACAAAGCUGAUCAGAGAACCCGCAGCAAGUAGAAAGAGAGAAAGAAUGAAGAGAGAAGGAAUAGAGAGAAGGAGGAGAAGGAGAACAUAAAAGAAACAAAGAGAGGGAUGUAGUUUUCUGUGUAACAGAAACCCUACACCCAUUGUGUUUAUAUUAAAUAUAAAUUGUAUAUGACCAUAAUACCCUUAUGUAAGUAAAAGAUAAAUAAAACUCUAAAAUAAAAAUAACUCAAUUAAAGUAACUUAACAGUAAGAUUAUACUUAAAUAGAGAAACAAUAACAAUAUAUUCUUGUACGUUUUCAUUUUCUUGAUUUUGUGAAUAAGAAUAGGGAAAACGACAACUCCAUCCUCUUACUCAAAAGACGCAGUCUCAAACACAAACCAACAUAAACAUUUUAUCAAAAUAUAUAUUCUUCUAGAUUUUAAAUAAAACGGUGAGUUGAUUACAGAAUCAGAGUUUUGAAAUUCAAAAAAAGGCAUACAUACAUAUGCAAACUCAAUUAACCCCCCCCCCAUAUUAUUUUCUCAAAAAUACAAUGGAAUCUAAACUCAUAUCCAAAAUCCAAUUGAAAUUUUUUUUCCAUUGAUGUUGCACAUGUCCCACAUUAGAUGAAGGAUCCAAAAAAUAUUUAGAAUGAAUAGUAUGAACAAUCACAAUUUAGUGAGUAAUGUAAAUCUCUUCUAAAUAGAUCAAGCGCUAUGCAUAUUUAUAAAGUAAUACUAAAGAUGCAUUUGUCCAAAUCCAGUAUAUAAUGUACAGUAAAAUCCACAAAUGUGCGAUAUCACUUAAACCCAACUUAUUGAAAAUAUUCAUUCGUAGAUCAAAUACCAAAAGGAUAGUAUACACUUCAUCCUGCUGUACACAAUAAGUAUGUUUUAAACAUUACUUUUUUGUUUUACCAAAAUCAUAUUGUACAUUUUUUUCACAAUUUAUGACAUAUCAAAUCCCUUUCACUUUCAAGAUAUGAAUUUACAAAUUUGUAUAAGAUCAUAACUCACUGCUAACCAAAAUCCAAAUAAGAAGUUAUGCCACUUGGAAAGUUUAAAAUAUCCUAUCGAAGAUUAACUAAAUGUCAAACUUCCACGUCAACGAACCUCUAGUAAAACUUUAGUAGGCAACGCCAUAUUUUUCAGUCAAAUCAUCCACUUCAUAAAAGACUUUUGAACAAAUAUUUUGCAAAUAGAGUCAACCUCGUCUCAAAAAUCUAAUUCAAGCGAGCUUAUCGGGAAAAAGAAAAGAAAAGAACUCUUUCAAACUACUAAGGGUGCGUUUGUUUGCGUUUUUGUUCAAAAAUUGUUCUGGUGAACAAUUUUUUACCAGAAAAACGCAUUUGAUAAACUUGUUCCGGGAAUAAAAAAAGAACAGAAACAUGUUUGGUAAAAUUGUGUUAUUUUUUUGUUUCUAUUAAUUUUUUAAUAUUUUUAUUUUAUUUUUCCUUUUUUUAUUUUUUAUUUUUUUCUUCUUUUGGCCGGUCGGUGACCUUGGCCAUGGCCGGCGACCGGCCGACGCGGGCCGGCAGCCUCGCCCAGCCACGUCAAGGCUCGUCGGCCCCCGGCGAGGCCGAGCCUCGCCGUGAUUGGGUGAGGCUCGGCCUCGCCUUGGCUGGGCGAGCUUGAGCUCAUCGAGCCUUGCCUCGCUAGGGGCCGGCGACGCUUGGCCUCGCCGGGGGUCGGUGACACUCUGGUGAAGUUGCCAGCCCUCGACGGCCGAUCAACGGUCAUGGUUGAGGCCGGCGACCAGCCAAAGAAAAAAGAAGAAGAAAAAAAAAAAAAAAAAAGAGAAGAAAAUAAAGAAGAGAAAGAAAAUUUGUUUCUCAAAAUUGUUCCAAAAACAAGAAACAAUUUUUUUUUUGUUUCUGUUCCAAAUUUGUUCCUGGGAACAAAAAAAAACAGAUUUGGAACAAAAACGCAAACAAAAGCGUUUUUUGUUCUUUUUUUAUUCCCGGGAACAAAAAAAAAAUCUGUUCAUGAACAAAAAAAAAAGAAAUAUAAACAAACAGCCCCUAAAAGACUAUGAAACCAAAAGAGAGUUGGAGAUGGGCGAAAACUAUUGCCAAACACGGUAAUCUAAAAACUAUUUUUAACAACAUGGGAAACUUUAAAAAUUUAUUGCGACCAAACAAAAACCCUAAAUCGACUCGUAAAAUCCUACUCCAGGACAUGCUAAAAUUUUAGGAAAAGUGUUAAAAAAGUCUUAAACAUUUUAGAUAUAUGUCAAUUUAAUCAUAAACCUUUUUUUGUGCCAAUUUAGUCCUAAACAUUUUUACGUUAUGUCAAUUUAGUACUUUCCGGCCAAUUUUGGCCGGAUUUUGCUGAUUGGACACUGGCUGGCUGACGUGGCCUGAUCGUCGCUAACGUUGACAACUUUUAAUAAUAUUUUAAUUUUUUUGAAUUUUUUCUUUUUCUUUUUCUUUUUCUUUUUCUUGUUUCCUUCUCCUCCUCCUUCCUCUAGCCGAUCGCCAGACCUCGGCGACCAGCUAGAGGCAACAGCCGGCGACACCAGUAGCCGCAAGGGCGGCCUCGCGCUGGGCGGCUACCGCCCGCCCAGCACUACCAUGGGCGAGGCUUGACCCUCCCCAGAUUCGAUGAGGGCGAGCCUUGCCACCCCAACCUCAAGGGCGGCCUCGAGUUCCAAUAUUAGGUGUCCCAAUAAUAAAACACCAGACCAGUCUCAAAUGAUGUAAUAUUUUUAGCAAUUGACCUCAAACCCCUCUCACUACUCAAAACCAAAAACUCGUUUACCUAACAUUAGCAUGAUCNNNNNNNNNNNNNNNNNNNNNNNNNNNNNNNNNNNNNNNNNNNNNNNNNNNNNNNNNNNNNNNNNNNNNNNNNNNNNNNNNNNNNNNNNNNNNNNNNNNNUAUGAUUCAAGUUAAUAUAGAAUCUAAUUCCAACUUCGAUUUAUAACGACCCAUUUAUUCAGGUAGUCCUCAACCAAUGAAGUCCAUCAGGUUGCCUACUACACCCUUCACCAUGCCCAUGUGAAUGGUCUAUAGCAUUCAUAAUCACUCCUCUUACCACAGGAUACUUACCUAGCCAACAUUUAGAUUCGACAUUUUCCGGUUCAUUUCAACAUUCCUCACUUGUUCGACUGUUGCUAAGUAGUUUUUGGAUAUCAUAGGAAGCCCCCCCCCCCCCCCUAAGGGAAUUCUAAUGGGGCCAAUUUCUCUUUGUCCACUUCUCAUUCUUGUUAAAAUGUUUGCCCGUGGGCAUCUUCCGGCUACUAGUGAUUUACUAUGCCUUGUAUCCAUGGCUUGUAGCGUGCAGAUAGAUAUUUGCCGAGGGAGAUUGGUGCUUGUUGAGGUAUGCCCGAAAUGUUUUGCUCUCACAUUCCUUAUAGGGAAGUCCCAAUGAAAUGGCCCUUUCAAUACUAUCAAAUAAAAAGCCCCAAAGGCGCCAUAUGCGAACAAUGGAACCUGUGAAUAUGUAAGAUUCUUCAUGUCCGAAUAAAGUAAAAAUAACAUAAAGGGUGUAAAUAAGUCAUCUGAAAUUUGAUUUAUGGAUUUGACGGAUUCUUCUUUGACCACAAAAAAAAAAAAAAGACUUUGUUGAUAGAACUUGUACAAUCAGAAAUCAAAUAGAAAAAAUUACAAAAGAUAAGAAGAAAUGAUUUUUAACUUCAAAAAUAAAAUUGAAUAAGUAAACAAAUGGAAUUGGAUUUGGUUGGAUGCUACGAAUUAAAUCAAUGAAUCUUUUUAUCGAAGGAUAAAAAAAUUAUGUAUUUGGUGAAUCAAAUAUCAUGGUAUAAAAUAAAAAAACCAUUAUGAUAAGUUGAUAAUAUAAAAAAAGUGCAUACAAUCCUUUUGCCUUUACGAGCAAAAGUUUUGACACAAGAAGAUCGAAGUAUAUAUUUUACUCGAUAUAAGCUCUCUCUUUUUUUCUUUUUUCUUUUUUUCAGGAUCCUCUAUGAUAAUGAGAAAGAUUUUUGCAUAUACGCAAAAAAAUCAUCACUAAUAUUGAGAGAUAUGUGAAUAGAAAUCCUAAUGCACAUAGAUACAAAUGAUCCAAUUGGAGCAAGAAUUUCUAGGAACAUUUGAAACAUUUCAAUGACAAAUCAUAGAUCAAAUUGUUGAAUCGACAAAGAUAGGUGCCUCGCCCACAAUCGUGCCAAAAGGGGAAGGACUUUUCCCUAUUGGGAUAGGAAAAUCAUGAUUGGGAUAGGGACCCAAGGCUAUGUAACUUGGGUGUGGAUCUUUGACCAAUUCUUCUACCCACGUCUUACCCCUCUUGGAAUAGGGGGGACAUGUCAAGUAUCCCCUUGGGAUCAUGUCUUCUUAGGCCUAUUCUAGAUGUACCACGCAAUUUCAGUAUUGGAACAAGCUUUGAGACUAAUCGGUGGGUAGAAAUUUCUGAGUUAAGAGGAAUGCAAUUGAAGUUUUUUUAAUACCUAUCUGUAUUAAUUGGAUGAAGAAAUCAAGGACAAUUGUGUUUGCUCGAUUCAGCGACCCUUGUUAUCAAAAAUGAGAUAUCCAUUUCCCAUGACACCCAAAUGGCCAUCUUACAACCCAAGACCCUUUCAAAAUUAGAGUGGACAUUGUCCACAUGUAAUCCCAUGUUAAUCAGCAAGAACCAUCUUGCAAGGAUAAAUACUCUUUAGUGACCUAUAAUGAAGUAGUACCGUGAGAAAAUGGUCAAAAGAAAUCCUAUCGGGGAGUGAAAUAAAGAAUGAAAUUAUAAGCUCCCAAGCAGUGGGAGGAAAUUAUGAGGACUCUAAUCGCGUCUUACGGAGUUCCCUUCUUAUCAUAGAAAUGUUCCAUUCAUCCACUUAUGGGUUUCCCCACGCACAUUUCAGAUAUAAAUUAUGACGCCGUCAUUGUCCAUCCUUUUAAACUUUCAGUAAAUAGUGUCCUGCACUAAAUUUUAAGCAUAAGCCAACAUGUGUCAUCUUAUUGCAAAAACGAAAUGGUCCUUUUGUCAUAUAGGAGAGGAAUGGUGCAAUGAUUAUAUCUCCUCAUAUUUUCGGCAAUUCUCAAAUAGAAAAUCUUAGUUGUCCAAACUUAGUUAUUCACAAAGUUUCAUAUGAACAUUAAGAUUCUGGUCGUUUCACGAAAAAUAACUUUCGAAAAAAAAUAUUUUUUGGAUAUUUCAGCAUUCAAUUCACAAAAAAUAAACUAAUUAAGUUGCCAAUGAAAAAAAAAUGCUUUAAAAAAUGAGAAAAAUAUUUUUCAUUUUUCAGAAAGCGAAAGACAUUUUCCAUCGUCUUAUUUUCACUUUUACACAAGCACUUUUUUUCACCAAAUACCUUUUCCUCUUUUUUGAUUUUUUGAAAAAGUCAAGUUUUCAAUUAUUCUUAAAUCUUAUUUUAAAUGUUUUCUUUUGUUUCUUCUUCUUUGGCUGGUCGUAGACCAUGGCAUGGGUUGGCAACUAGCUACAAGUUAGUUCAAACCUCACCAAAUCUGGACGAGGCCUAAGCUCUCACUCAAGGCCUGUUAGGCGAGCUUGAACCUCGCUAGAUCCACCAUUUGAGAGGGGUUCAAGCCUCGCCUGAGGUUGCCAGAAGCUAUGAAGUAUGGACACGUUGCCCGUGCUUCCGUGUCAUGUUCGACACAUGUCGAAGCGUGUCGACGUGCUUGGACACGCAGUCAACGCGUGUCGGAUUUUCCGACACAUGAUCAACUUUUUUCAACACGUGUCGACACGCGUGUCCAGAAGACAAUGGAGGGUGGAGGCGAGGGUGAGGGAGCAGAGAUGAGGCUGUGUGCGAUGGCGAGCCCGCAACGGCGACAGCUUGCCCGCAAUGGCGAGAGACGGCCAAAGAAAGAGCAUAGACUGAGAAAAGAUCGUUGAAGAAGACGAUGUAGGGUGAAGACAAGAGACGAGGGCGAAGGAGCGGAGGCAACGCCAUGACAGUGAGGGAGGGCCUGCCACGAUGGAGGGCUAGCGACGAGGCUGAGGUUGCGACUACGAAAGAGGAAGGGUUGGAGGAGAGGCGGUAAGGCGACUGAAAAAGAGAUCGUGUGAGAAGGAGGAGGAUGUCGUGGGUAGCAGGUGAAUGGGGGCGGGGCGGGGUGGGAGCGGGAAGAAAGGGAAAGAACUGGACUGGAAGCGAAGAGAAAGGAGGGGGGUCAUUUGGGGGGAGAAAGGAGGAAAAGAAACUGAGAGGGGGAGGGGUGGGUUUGAGGUGGCGUUGGAAAGAUGGCAGAGGAAGACAAGCGAAGCUAGGCAGAGACCGUUGAAUGUCGAUUUUUCUCUCGUUUGUUUGAUCAAGAUCAUUCGAUGGACAAACUUCCUCCCCUGUAACUGAAUAUAGUUCUUUCUCUGUUGCAGACAACGAAAAGGACUCUUAGCUGAGUCGGAUCAAAAUAUUCAACGAAGAAAUUCUGAGUAUUCAAAUCAACAUGGGUGGCACUAAACUGAAACUCGAAUUCAUAUUCAAUUCAAGAUCUCGCAGAAUCACGUUGGAGAAAAGAAAGGACUGAUGAAGAAGGCCGAGGCAUUCAAAAUCCUGUGGCAUCGACACGUGUGUGAUCAUCUACCCAAUGUGGAUGUCUGGCGAUGGCCUGGUCCAGCCAAAGAUCUGGCCGCCUACUAGUAAGGAGGUAGAGCGCAUCAUCCCCCGCUAUUGAAGUGAGGCUGUGGAUCGCCGUGCCAAGCACGCAACUGGACUCCGUGAGUUCUUUGCAAGCCAGAAGAAGAAGAUUGACAUGAAGCUCGCCGAGGCCCACAAGGCCAACUGGGAGGCCAAGUAUCCCGUCUCGGAUGAGUUCCUCAGAGAUCUCUCAGAGCCUCAACUGAGGUCGUUCCCGAGCGCUGUGGGCAAUAGACUCAGGCGAAGACGAGGCUUGCCACAAUGAUGGAGAAGAGAGUGGUCGAGACGGUGGCGCCAAGUGAUGGGAUUGUACCACGCGGCGGAGUAGACCUCCAUGCAAGCAAUGCAGGCUUCAUGCAAGACGGGGUGGUCGAAGCUGGACCGCGUUUGGAGUUCCUGUAUCAACAGUUGGAUCAAUCCAUGAGUAUCCCUCACCAUUGACUUACUUACCGCCUUGGUAUUCAACGCAGUUCGGACCCCCAAGAGGUGACGAUUCCUGGUGCGGCAUUGUCAAUGAAACUCGGAGCAUGAUGUAUGGUCCCCUACAGCAAAUUUUUAUCACGAGAAUGAUCAUUAUGAUCAGGCUCAAUUCUUCAGUGACCCAACCUAUCCCUAAGCAAUCCAUUGCUACGAAAACCCGCUUAAAGGGCCAGAAGGAGUCAUCCGUCGCUUUAGUUCUCUUUCAACUGUUUAUUUUUUUCCUGUCCAAUGAAGCUUCGAAAAGAUAAGUUUGGGCUUAACGGUGAUUUUGCACUGCUUGUACAGAAAAUUCUUAAUAAUGUUAGUAUCGUUAUGAUUCAGCUACUUGUGUUUCUGAUGUUUAGUGGAUCCAUGAAUUGGAUUUAGUCACUCUGAUGAUGUUAGUAGGUUUCUUACGUGUCUUGGAGAACCUGUUUUCUCACGUUUGAUGUUAACUCGAAAGUUGGAAACAGCGUGCUGUUUUGUUGAAUAUGAAUACGCAUGCAACUAAAGAUCGUCGUUCAGAGGGUAACUUCAAAACCCCUAAAGGCCGAUGCAGUGAGGCAUAACAAUAGAGCCAUCCCAAGAAACGCAACUGAAGAUAGCAACACAACACAAUUUCAUUAAGGAUAUCGAGUUAAUAAAGAAACUAAAACCCCACGCAGACCGAAAAGAGAGUACAGGAAGAGCUUAUCUUUCUCUGUCGCUAAGCUUUAAACACAUUGAAGAUUUCACUUUAACUAAAACCACAUCUUCUUGCACCAUUAACGUUGGACGAUGAAAUCAUAUCAUGAUGAACUUUAGUAUCUAAUAUUGUGCAAGGAAUUUACUAAGGUCGAUUAUCAAUUGGAACUAAUUGGACAAUAGUAUGCAUAGGAAGCAAGAAAAUUAUGAUUUACUAAACAAAAGGGGAGAAUUUAUGUCAAACAAAAUGGUUACAUUAUUAGAAUUGUAAAUUCUAUAGAAUCAUUGAUCGUUAACCAUUGUCUCAAUUAUUUUUUUAAGGGUUAAUAGAAUUAAAAAUUUUCAAAUUAUGCCAACAGUGACACAAAUAUCCAAUUUUUUGCUUGUCCCUAAAUUCUUGCCCAUCGGGACAGAAUUACCUCAAACUUUUUGUGUCAUAAGAAACCGAACUUAUACUAGCAUAACUAAUAUACCUUGAAUGAAACUCAAAUAGAUAAUAUAUAUGGCACAUGUAUAUAAGUUUGGGUUUUUUCAUAAUUCAACAAAAAGUUGAGGAUAUUUAUGUCAUAAUGAGCAAAUUUAGAAUUUUUUGUGACAUAAAAAAUGAGAUAUUUGUAUUGUAAUAAGCAUAAUUUAAACUUUUUCUAUGGCAGUUUUUUUUUUUAAUGGUCUGCAUCCAAACAAUCAACUACCGACCAGAAAAAAAAAAGAAAAAAAAAAAACAACCGUCUGGGGUUGCGAAUGUACAUCCCCGCACCCAGCCCCCUUCGCGGGCAUUGCCGCAUUAGUGCGACGUGGGUUCACCCCUAAUCACUUCUUCUUCUUCUUUUGGCAGUCUUUUAAUCACCUUUGUUUGCGCCCAAUUGUCUACUUUUUUUAAAAAAAUAUUUUAUAUAAUCAAUGUAAGAUUAAAAUCAUGAAAAAGCUCAAACUAAUAUAUUUGCGAUAAAUGCCCAAUUGUCUACUUUUUUCAUCUUUUAUAUAAUCAAUGUAAAGUUAAUGUCAUAAAAAAUCUCAAAUAGGUAUAUUUGUACUAAACUUAUACUCUAUUUUUUUAUUAAAUUAAAUUAAUAUUACAAAAAAUUAAUUUUUUGGCUUCCAAAAAUCUUGAUCCUAUACACCUUUGACAACCGUUAGUUUUCAUUAAAUUUUAUUUUUUAAAUGGUUGAGUUUGAUAAUACAUGACAAUUAACGAAUAUACCAGGGUAUCGAGAUCGAACCAAUGACCAUUUCGGUUCAUGGUCAAAACUUUGAUUUUUUUUUUUCAAAAUCAUUUUUGGCCAAAAUGAAAUUGAGACUAUAUGGGAACUUUUUGUGCAAAAAAUCAAAUUUUGACUCGAGGUUGAAUUUUUGUUCAAAGGGUUAACCAAAAAAGUCAGCUCCAAAGUUAACUUUUGACUUUUUAAUAAAAAUGAGUAAGAAAUUACCCAUAAAUGACGGGCCAGUAAAAAGAAUUAAAAACGACAAUUUUCGUUCGAGAAAAUGGUUUGUCAAUGAGAUUUAUUUAACCAAUACCUACGUAUGAAAAGAAAUUCUCACAACAAAUGGCAACUUAUGGACCUAAAACUUAGGGGUAGGAACAAUACAAGUGCUAAUACUUUUGUAUAGUGCUCAUUUGAGUGCCAAAACUUUUUUUUCACUUACUUGAGAACCACAAAUUUGAAAAAUCAAUCACUGAAAUGCCACUUACGAUUUGCCCCGCCGAAAAAGCUAACAUGACCGCCGGAAAAAAUUAUAUUAAUAUUUUUAAUAUUUCUAUUAUUAUUUUGAAUUUGUUAUUUUAUUUUAUUUUUUCUUUUCUUUUCUUUUUGUUUUUAUCUUUACGGUCGGUGAGGGUCAUUGGCAACCUUUGCCCUCGGCAUCAAAGGCAUUGAGCAAGGCCGUCGAGGCCUCGCUGAUGGUUGGCAAGGGCCUUCACCGCCUCACUCUCGCCGCGAAGGCCUUAGGCAACUGCAUCAGUUCCUCAUCAAUAGUGGACAAGGCCACAAGCACCCUCGCCAAUGGCUACCCAAAGCAGGCGAGGCCUUGAUAGCCUUGCCCAAAUUUAGAUGAGGGUUUCAUGGCCCCGGCGAGGGCCCUCACAGCAUGGCCUACAACCAGUGAGGCCUUGACGACUUUGCCUACAGCCUUCGCAACCAAGGGUGAAGUGGCCCUCACCCAAUUUAGGCAAGGAUUUCAUGGCCAAUGAGGGUCACCGAUGACCCUUGCUUGCCCUAAACGAAAAAAGCAAAAAAAAAAAAACUCAAAACUCAAAAAACAAUUUUAAAAAAUCCAUGUAGGACUUGUGGCUAAAAGUGGCACUUAAGUGUGUGAUUUUACUUCGAUAUGGCAUUUAAGUGAACGAAAAAAAAAAUAUCGGCACUUAGGUGAGUGCUAUACAAAAGUUUUGGCACUCUUAUUGUUUUUGUCCUUGAAAUUUAAUAUGAGAAAAAAAUCUCAUCAACUAAUAAUUAUGUAUCAUUUGGACUAGAUAAUAUGUCGAGUGUAUCCUUAUUAAAUGGAAAGUGUAAUAUUUCUCUUCUAUAUAUCUUUUUAGUUAUCAACUCAUUCAGCAACUUGAAUGAAUCUCUGAGUAUGUAAAGGUGCUAUACUGGAUCUACUCAGUACAUAACUACACCAAGUCAUAAAUCCUUAUAUACUCUUUGAGAGGGGCUAAGAAUAUCUUAGAUGGGAAUGGCCAAGGUGGUAACAACAUCCAAAAGAAUGGGGUCAAUGAUACUCGUGGCAACUCUAAUGCUGUGGUCAUCCGCCAGUGUGGACUCGAAGUUGUCACCCAUUAGUGCCUAUGCCAAACUUAAUUUGGGGCAUAAUUGAAGUGUUUAGCAUUUUAUGCUUUGAGUCAUGUGAAACCUCUAUGCAUUUUGAAUUGCCUCCUUAAUCAUUCUAGAGAGUUAUUGACCUUCAUGGCAUUAGAUCACUGUGAUGUCGGUUGUUUAUUGUCUACUUGCCUUGACCACCAUCCAAAUAAUAUUCUUUGCAGUGAGAUCGAAGAUAUGACCUAGCUUCUUAAAACCAAGAAAAUUAUUGUAUAAUCUUGUUUUCUUUCUGAUAUGAAUCGUUGCAGAAGGAUCGUUCUACGAAGGCCCAGAUUGUGCAAAUUGCAAACCUCGACCUCUCAUUUUCCUUGCGUCUCAGACACACCACACAAGCCCUCAAAUUUCUCACAUUUUCUCUCUCUCUCAGCUUCUCAUUGUAACUUUAACUGAUCUAACCUCACUAGGUGUCACUGGUACCAAGGUAUAAGUCUUUUGAUUCAUCAUCAAUGAAUAACAAUUAGUAUACCCAUCAUGAUAUACCUUUCAAUCAUAUUGGCAUGUUCUUCCAAGUAAGAUAUGACCCGCUUGCAUAGGUACAACAUCACACUCUACCUCGUCCUUGUAUCUCCCUAUCUCAAAUGGAAUUUGAACUUGCUUCGAUACUUUCACCUCACCACUAUCAUUUAACCAUUGAAGUCUAUAAGGCCUAGGGUGCUUUGUCAUUUUCAAACCCAACUUAUCCACCAUAGUACAACUUGUCACAUUCGCACAACUACCAACAUCAAUUAUCAUACUACAGAUCUUACCAUUCACCACACAUCUUGUAUGAAACAAGUUAUCUAUUUGUUGGUGAUGCUCCUCCUCUUUUACUUGCACACUCAGAGAACGCCUAACCACCAAUAAGUCUCAUUUUAUAGCCACUUCUCCAUCACUACAAUCCUCCAAUAGUGGCAUCUCAGCAUCCUCUUCUUCCCUUUCACUUUCAGACUCAAUAAUACCAUGUCCAGUCAUGAUCAUCACCCUCCUAUUAAGGCAUUGAUUCGCCAUAUGACCCUUUCCCAAACACUUAAAACAUUUAAUCUCACGAGUUCUAGGGUUUUCAGUUUUACCUGAAGCAGGAUUCGUUCCAACUUUAUCGUCCCUCUCCUUCUCCUUUGAAGUUUCGGUUUUGGUGUUAUUUCCUCUCCAAUUUGGCUUUUCAUCUCUCUUCCAAUUGGAUCUUCAAUUUUGAUUUGAACCUCCUCCACUCUUGUGAUUUCGGUCCAACUUCAAUUGCCGCUCAACUUUAAUGGCUUUGUCCACCAAUUCCUCCAAUUCAACAUAGUGUUGCAACUCCAUCACCCUUGCUAUGUCUCAGCUCAAACCGCUCAAAAAUCUUGACAUUGUGACCUCACUGUCCUCCACCACAUUAGCACGGAUCAUGACAAUCUCCAUCUCCUUGUGAUACUCUUCCACACUCUUAUUCCAUUGUAUGAGAUUUUGUAACUUUUGAAACAAAUCUCGGUGAUAAUGACUAGGUACAAAACGCCUCCUCAUCACCGCUUUCAUCUCAUCCCAUGUCUCUAUCGGUCUUUUACCAUUGCGCCUCCUACUAGUCACAAGUUAAUCCCACCAAAUUAUAGCAUAAUCAGUAAAUUCAACAACUGCAAUUUUUACCUUUUUGAGCUCGGAAUAUCGUUGGCAAUCAAAUACCAUCCCCAUGCGUUUCUCCCAUUCUAGAUACGCAUCAAGAUCAUUCUUCCCUUGGAAAGAAGGAAUCUUUAUCUUGAUAUUGCCACGUUCAUUAUCUUCUCGGUGUCUAAAUCCUUGGGCUCCAUUCCACCUUCCAAAUCGAGCAUCUCGAUCAUCCUCCAUGUCGGCCUCAUCAUCAUCAUAAUGCUGUUGCCUUCUAUGUCGUGUUCUAGAGGUGUCUCGCUAAUGUUGCGACCUUCUCCGGGGUAGCUCUUGGUCACCAUCAACCCUCAUAUCAUUCCCCAUCAUUCGGCCACUAAGCUCCUCCACUACGGCCCUCAAUUGCUGGAUGCUUUCCACGAGCGCUUCAUCCCUUCAUAUGGAGUCAAUCUCCUUUUGAUUCACACUUUCUUCAUGCAACAUAUUUUAGACCUACAAGUAAACGUUAGUCACAAAAAUCCUCACCAAUCACUCCUUUACGUGUUUCUCUCAAGGUGUUUGUCACUCCCCUCGUGUUUAACUUAAGUCUAGGCUUUUUCCAACCUCAAUUAAGCUUACACUCUUGCCUUUUUCCUCUCGUAUUCUCUUUUCACAAGCUCUUUAUUGGACUCAAAACCUAUCUCUCAACCCCCUCACGACAAUCAAUCAAACUAAUCAAACAAGAUUAGAUCACUAUUGAUUUUGUUUCAGCAAGUAACAAUUUCAAACCAACAAGUACAACUUUCGAAAUUCCAAUUGCAACGCAAAUCACUACUGAUUUUGUUUCAAUUCAGUCUACUAACAAACGAGUCGCCUUCUUGAUUUUUUUUUGUAUGGCUAAUUUUAUUUUAUUUUUGCCGAAUCUGUUUUUUUUUUCUUGCGCACUUUUUUUGUGUGAGUUUUCUUUCUCUUUUUUUUUGUCGAACUUUCUUUUUUUUUUUGACGAACUCAGAUACAAUUUAAGAUGCUAGAAAAAAAAAAUUAAAACUAACAGUAAACAACUACGUAUGGAAGAGCAAAAGCAAUCAGAUCCCUAAAUUAGCUAGAACCGAAACCCUAGCUUAAUAAAUUUCAAAUUGCUGAAUGUAAACAGAAAAUUAAAGAUAAAUAGACAUUGUAGAAACAAGCUCUGACACCAACUGAUGUGAAUCGUUGCGGAAGGAUCGUUCUACGAAGGCCCAAAUGAUGCGAAUUGCAAACCUUGACCUCCAAUCAAACCUGUGAUUGGCAACCUCGGUAUGAACGUGACCCGUUGACGAACAUGUGUCAACCAACCAACGUUAUAAACGCCACGAGCGAAAGAAUUCGCUAUCUCGCUCGAUAAGUCGAAUCAACCGUCACAAGGGAAUCUUGAUUAGGUCAAGUUCUCAAAAGAACAAUAGAAGAGAAUCUCUCAACUUUUUCCUCAAAAAUAAAAUAUCUGUCCCCAAAGAAAUUUGACAAAUCCUUUACAUAGGCUUUCUAGCCGCCACACAAACCCUAAAAAAUCUAAUGCGUCAUAUUCUAGAAUAUUUCUAAACAAGAAGAAUAUUCCUAUUUGACUUGGUCAAAUAUUUGGUGACCAGAUAAUCAAAUUGCGCCAAAAUUUCCAAGAUUCUUCAAGAUCUGAUCCAAGGUCAUCUCCACAGCAAAGAUCACGAACCAUAACACCAACAGCUUGCCUAAAUUGCUUGGCCCGCACUCGAGUGAUCAAACCAGUAGGAAUAGAUAAUGGGUCCUUAGCACCUCCUCCUUGAUAUGGCUCGAUGUCCACAUCAUUUUUAUGCAAAAUCAAGUGAAGUGAGAAGAGCUUUAGUUCUAGAUCGACCAAUGCUUGUACUUGUGUAUAAGGAGGUUUUGUUUUCUACUAACGAUCUUGACCCAAGUUUGCCUAGUCCUAUUGUGUCUUUAUUGCAGAAAUUUGAAGAUAUCUUUCCUGAUGAACUUCCUGGAGGAAUACCACCGAUUCGAGGCAUAGAACAUCAAAUUGACUUGAUUCCUGGUGCGCCAUUACCUAACCGACCCUCAUAUCGAAGCAAUCCCGAGGAGAUAAAGGAACUUCAACGGCAAGUUAGCGAACUAUUAGAGCGAGGGUAUGUGAGAGGGAGUCUUAGCCCGUGUGCUGUCCUUGUUUUGUUGGUGACAAAGAUUGAUGGAACUUGGCAAAUGUGUGUCGAUUGCCGAGCAAUCAAUAACAUUACGGUAAAGUAUCAACAUCCUAUUCCUAGGUGAGAUGACAUGUUGGAUGAGUUGCAUGGUUCUUGCAUUUUCACUAAGAUCGAUUUGAAAAGUGGCUAUCAUCAAAUUAGAAUGAAAGAAGGUGAUGAAUGAAAAACUGCAUUUAAGACCAAGUAUGGAUUAUAUGAGUGGUUAGUCAUGCCAUUUGGAUUAACUAAUGCACCGAGCACGUUUAUGCGACUUAUGAAUCGUGUUUUGCGUGUUUUUAUUGGUCGAUUUGUGGUUGUCUAUUUCGAUGACAUCUUGAUUUAUACACAAAGUCCUUAUGACCAUAUUGAGCAUGUGCGAGCUGUGUUGCAAGUUUUAAUGGCCGAGCAAUUAUACGAUAAUCUAAAGAAGUGCUCUUUUGUUACUAACAAAUUAGUAUUUCUAGGAUUUAUUGUUAGUGAUGAUGGUAUACAGGUUGAUGAAGAAAAGGUCAAAGCAAUCCGUGAAUGGCCAACGCCUAAGACCAUAGCAGACGCGCGUAGCUUUCAUGGAUUUGCGAGUUUUUAUCGGCGAUUUGUAACAAAUUUCAGCACCGUCGCCGCACCUUUAACUGAGGUUAUCAAGAAGCACGUGGGUUUCACGUGGGGAGAAGAGCAAGAGAAAGCAUUUAAUCUGCUAAAAGAUAAGUUGACUAAUGCUCCUUUGUUAUCUUUACCGAAUUUCGGUGCUACUUUUGAGAUAGAGUGCAAUGCUUCUGGUACAGGAAUUGGAGCCGUGUUGAUGCAAGGAGGGCGUCCCAUUGCUUAUUUCAAUGAGAAAUUGAGUGGAGCAAUAUUGAAUUAUCUUACCUAUGAUAAGGAGAUGUAUGCUUUAAUGCGAGCCUUGGAGACUUGGCAACAUUAUCUAUGGCCAAAGGAGUUUGUUAUCCACACCGAUCAUGAGACCUUGAAGUACUUGAAAGGGCAGCAAAAGUUAAAUAAAAGACAUGCCAAAUGGAUGGAGUUCAUCGAGACUUUUUCAUAUGUAAUCAAGUAUAAGAAAGGUAAGGAGAAUGUGGUAGUCGAUGCACUUUCUCGAAGGUAUGCGAUUCUAACUAUUUUAGAAGCAAAGUGUCUAGGUUUUGAGCAUAUCAAGAGCUUAUAUACUGAUGAUGAUGACUUUGGGAGAGUGUAUGAAGCAUGUAAACAUGCUGCAUUUGAUAAAUUCUAUAGGCAUGAAGGUUAUCUUUUUCAUGAAAACAAACUAUGUUUGCCUAAGUGUUCUUUGCGUGAAUUGUUGGUGUGAGAAGCGCAUAGUGGUGGUUUAAUGGGGCAUUUUGGUAUUAAUAAGACUUAUGAAGUGCUGCAUGAACAUUUUAUUGACCACAUAUGAAGAGAGAUGUCACACGUGUUUGUGAGAGAUGCAUUGCUUGUAAGCAAUCAAAGUCUACAACUAAACCGCAUGGCUUGUAUACACCAUUAUCUAUUCCAACGCAUCCUUGGAUUGAUAUUUCUAUGGAUUUUGUGUUAGGAUUGCCUAGGUCUAAGAAUGGUAGAGAUUCUAUUUAUGUGGUUGUUGAUCGGUUUUCAAAGAUGGCUCAUUUUAUACCUUGUCAUAAAACUGAUGAUGCAUCUCAUGUUGCUGAUUUGUUCUUUAGGGAGGUUGUACGUUUGCAUGGCAUGUCUAGAUUGAUUGUUUCAGAUUGAGAUUCUAAAUUUCUUAGCUACUUUUGGAAAACAUUGUGGAAAAAACUAGGAACACGGUUGUUAUUUUCUACUACUUGUCAUCCACAAACUGAUGGUCAAACCAAGAUAGUUAAUAGAACUUUAAAGGUAUUGUUGCGUGCUAUUAUUAAAAAGAACAUAAAAUCUUGGGAAGAUUGUCUGCCACAUGUUGAGUUUGCAUAUAAUAGGAGCAUGCAUUCUGCUACUAAAUUUACAUCAUUUGAGGUUGUCUAUGGUUUUAAUUCGUUAACUCCAUUAGAUUUAACCCAUUUACCUGUUAAUGAGCGUGUGGAUUUAUAUGGAGCAAAGAAAGCUGAAUUUAUCAAGGCGUUGCAUGAGAAGACGCACGCAAAUAUUGAGCGCAAGACUGAGCAAUAUGCAAGGCAAGCCAACAAAGGGCGCAAGGAAGUGGUGUUUGAACCCGGCGAUUGGGUUUGGGUUCAUAUGCGCAAAGAGAGAUUUCCUGAGCAGCAACAUUCUAAGUUAUUACCGCGAGGGAAUGAACUAUUCAUGGUUUUGGAAAGAGUUAACAAUAAUGCCUACAAGCUUGAUCUUCCAAGUAAGUAUGACGUUAGUGCCACAUUUAAUGUUUCUGAUUUGACUCUUUUUGAUGCCAGUGAUGAUUUGAGGGCAAAUCCUUUGCACGGGGGAGGGAAUGAUGUGGACAUCGAGCCAUAUCGAGGAGGAGGUGCUAAGAACCAAUUAUCUAUUCCUACUAGUUCGAUCACUCGAGCGCAGGCCAACCAAUUUAGACAAGCUGUUGGUGUCAUGGUUCGUGAUCUUUGGCAUGAAGAUGAUCUUGGAUUAGAUCUUGAAGAAUCUUGGAAAUUUUGGCGCAAUUUGAUUAUCUGGUCACUAAAUAUUUGACCGAGUCAAAUAGGAAUAUUCUUCUUGUUUAGGAAUAUUCUGGAAUAGGAAUAUUCUAGAAUAUGACGCAUUAGAUUUUUAGGGUUUGUGUGGUGGCUAGAAAGCCUAUAUAAAAGAUUUGUCAAAUUUCUUUGGGGACAAAUAUUUUAUUUUUGAGGAAGAAGUUGAGAAAUUCUCUUCUAUUGUUCUUUUGAGGACUUGACCUAAUCAAGAUUCCCUUGUGAUGGUCGAUUCGACUUAUCGAGCGAGAUAGUGAAUUCUUUCGCUCGUGGCGUCUAUAACGUUGGUUGGUUGACACAUGUUCAUCAACAUGUCACGUUCAUACCGAGGUUGCCAAUCACAGAUUUGAUUGGAGGUCGAGGUUUGCAAUUCGCACCAUCUAGGCCUUCAUAGAACGAUCCUUCCGUAACGAUUCACAUCACUUUCUCAGUGUUUCAUUGAUAUAUUUUAAAAGUGAGAGGGGUUCUGUACUAAUUUGUUUCAUUUCCUUGGAUUUUGAUAUAUGUACUCUUGUUAAAAAAAAGUCGAUUUUAAUUUUGAUGUGAAUAAGUUUUUUAAUCUCUUCUUUCAUAUUUGAAUUCAUUUAGACACCAAGAAAGCUAAAGUUGAUGUGAAGAAGGUUACAACCUGUGUGGAUUCAUGCUCUCAGGGUUGCCAAAAUACCUAUUAUUGAAAUAAACUUUGAAAAUUUUCCUUUUUUAUGUUUAAACAAAGGCAACUGAAUUAUGUAAUGCCUUUAUGGUUUCACAUAACAACUAAUAAAAAGUACAUUUUUCAUUAUCUGCUUGACUAUUAUUGCGACCCGACCUCCCCCUCGUAAGAAAGAGAAGAAAUGUUGAGUUUAGGGAUGCUUGACCAUGGGAGUUCCCUCACGGCUCGCACCCCAAAAGGCGUCAUCACCUCGUCUUUUGGAAUGAACCUUUGUGAGUUCGCUCGAUCAAAGUCGUGAGCUCUCCCGAGAUCAUACCUCGUGUGACAACGGAAGGUAUUGUGAUUCGUACCUACAUGGGCAACACACCUUGAAAGAGGAGAUCGGGUGUGCAAAUCAAAUUUUGGGGUAUUUUUACCACGAUAACCCUCUCAACCAUACUCUUCACCCCUAAUGAUGUCAUCACUUCAUCCUUUGGGCUACUACCACUUUAAGUAUGCUAAAUCAUAGUGAAUCUCGUCGAGACCCAUACCCCUCACAAUAGAUUUACUUAUUAUCUAGUUGUUUAGAACAACAUAAAAAGAUAAGAGUCGCCACUAGCCUUGUUUUUUGGAGUCAACUAGGAAACCCAAUCCAAAGUUGGGAGUGGUCCCACGAUUUCUAUGUAGCUAGAUAUCCUAGAUUCAAGGACUUGAGUUAUGCUAAUAUUUAUAUUAGCAUCAUUUUGGUACCUAACGAUUUGUCAUGUUUCUUAAGGUGAUCAUGCAUGUCUUUUAUAUUUUAGGGUCGAUUACACUAACUAAAUGAUCAUGCGCAGAUUGUUGCUUUCAUGCAAUUCUAUUUUCUAUGAAAAGGAAAAGAAAGCACACAAUUGAAAUUUAAAGACAAGGCAAUAAGUAAACACUCAAAGGAACAGUUUAGGGAAAGUGAUAAAUCUAAUAUGUGACCUAAGCAAUGAAACGAAAAUAAAAUGAAAGAAAUAAACCCGCAACUCAUCAGGUGUUUAUACAAUGCAAAAUAAACCGAAACAUAUAUUCGGGACAAAUGUAUACAAAAUAGGAUCAGAUUGGACAUCGACCAUCCAUUGUUUUCAUUUCUUGAAGGGCCUCCACUUCCAAGGACCUAUUCUAAUCCUAAUCUAAAACUAAGACUAAGUACAUAUAAUAGGAAAGAAACAGUCGUUCAUGGAAAAAACAAUCACAACCACAAGAUGAUCAAGAACAACCAAGUAAUUCAAACCAUAUGCAAAAUUGAACAAAUUGGGCCUCAAGGUUGGCCUUUGCAAUUCAUGCAAUGAUACCUCUAGAAAGUCUACCCAAAUUUAUUUUUAUACCUUACAGCCAUUGGCCACCAUUUGUGUUUUCACUUGGCAACCAACGCUUAUAAACCCCUAAGACAUAUUUUAAGUGAAUCCCAAGGUUAUCUCAUGAAAUUAUGCAUCAUACAUAGGCAUACAUCUAAAAAAGCACAUGAAUAGUGGGAAAUAAACAUGCAGGUAGGCCUUUAAGCCUUGCUUCUCAAAUGAUCAAACAGUUUUAGAGAGCUAACAUUGGAUCACAUAUUCGGUCUGUGACAUCCUGAAUUUCAGGUUCUAUUUUCGAUUGAAUGAAUCGAGCCUUUCAUCGACGCAACUAUAGUGUUUUCCUCUGAGAUGGCCACUCACGAAAUAACUAGCCUAUCAGGUGAAGCCGUUAAGGAAUAUAAACGCAAUAGACUUGAGAAUUCGACUAGGAAUCGACUGCUCGACCAUUCUAGUCUACAAGGGUCAUUAUGGCACAAUUAAAAACCAAUCACAAAUCAGAGAUAGGUCGGUUCGACUGAGAUGUGUGACUAAACGUGGGUGAUUCCACUAAUUUGUAAAAUUCUCAUCGAUCGGCACUAGACUGAUUUUUCUGCCAUUUUGGUGCCCUAUGUCCGUAUUUGAAACCUUGAGAUUUUCACAAUAAUCGAAAGCCGCCAAUGUGUCGAAGAGGUACAUGUGGCUCGAAGAAAAUCGACCACGGGUCAAUUGCACUUAAAAUUUCUAAAAGCUACCAUGUAGGUUAGGUCACGCUAAAAUCGCGUCCAAUUGAAAUUAACCGCGAAUUUGAACCCGAUUUCAGAAAUUGAAAGUUCAGUUAUGUCACGAGUUAUUUUAGAAAUAUCGACUCAUCUUUCAAGGAAAUUUCAACGAGUUCAAGAUUUUUACGGAAAAUUGAUUCGGACGAUUCGGAAAAUGAACGGACAUUCGGAUGGGCCAAUUUGAAGGGGUUUUUGGCCUCCUGUGUGAGCUACUUGGUGAAAGGAAAUUAUGUGGGUUUUUUCUUCAACAAAAUUAGACAUCAAUCGGAGAGUUUUUUUUUUUUUUUUUUUGUAAAGGGUAAUGAUAUAUUGAGCUUUAACCAACAAAUAUACAAGAUCCGGCACCACAAAACUUGCACUCAACAAGACACAGACGUCUCAUCGAGUGAAAGGGCGCCGGACACAAAACACCGCAAAGCGGUCAUCUCAAGCAAGGGCCGAAACAGGAAGCCCAAGAAAACAGCUACGCAGGGCCGAGAACAAACUAAAAAGACAAACUAACCAAAAGGCCACGCAGGGCCAAGAAGAACAACCCGCAAGGUUAGACUAUGGCGACCUAGGCGGUCGGCAUAGGAGAGCUGAAGAUAGACGGGUCAAGGCCCUAGUUUCUUUGUAACCUCCUAUUUCUCGGGCAAUCUUCCACGCUUUUGAAAGUUAAGGCUUUAUCCUUCACCACUUUAAUAAGAUGCUUCUUGAUAGCCGCAACCACAACCGGAUGCUCUCUAAAGAGGAUGUCGUUUCUAUACUUCCAAAUGAGAUGACACAGAGCUCCAAAAGAGAAACGACCAAUGGCGUGAUAGAAAUCCUUACAUGAGAGGAAUCUCAUCGCCCACUGAAGAUUUUCUUUCUAAGUCCCAUUUCUCCAUGGGAGGUUGCACCUGGCCACCCAAAAGUAAGCCAUACUAGCCGUGAUGCAGCAACCAAAGAAGAGGUGGUCAAUAGAAUCCGGUGUGAGCUUGCAAAAGGCACAUACUUCACUCUCAAUUCUCCCAUAAGACAUAAAAAAAGCUUGGGUAGGAAGCCGGUUCUUAGUGAUCAGCCAGAGGUUGAAUUGGUAUCUCAGAGUGAUAGCCUUGUUCCAAAUAGAGGAUGACCACACAACCCUGUCUUUCCUUCUUCUGAGUAUAUGCCAAGCUGAGGCGACCGAGAAGACACCGGAAGGAUUAUCCCUCCAUAUAAAUCUAUCCGGAACACCUGUGAGAACCGGAAGGGGCUGGUUCCAAGAAUCCAUCAAUGACCUGAAGUCUUGACCCGCCGAAGAAAAAAGGUCUGCAACAACUGCAUACCAAGGCAGCCCCGAAUUAUAGAUAGUCUGCUCUGAACAAAUAAGAUCCAGCGGACCUCUCUGAUGCCAAUGGUCAAACCAAAGUGAUGUCCCCUGGCCAUCUCCAAUCUUCCAGUGGAAGUUGAGGCGGAAUUUGGAUCUCAGGUGGAGGAUCCUCUUCCAAGCUCACGAGCAGCUGGCCGGCGUCUUAGCCACCCAGAAGUUCGUCUUUCCCAGAAAAGUAGAGUGAAUCCAUUUGUACCAAAGAGACUCCUUAUCCGUGAAGAGGAUCCAGAUGUGCUGAUUUUUAGAGGGAGGAUCCCUCUCACUCUCCUCUACAUCUCCACCGAAGGAAUUUCCAAGAGCUGGUCUAGAUCAAAAGAUAUCCGCAACCAUAGCCCUGGUUCGUUUUCCGGUUUCUGCACUGGUUUGUUUCUGUUUUAUGGAUCCCUCGAGAGUUCUACUGGUUGGAAUGGGAUGAUUUUUGGAGGAUAGCUUCCUCUUAACCUCAUCUUCCAUCCCACCAAAGGAUUUUUGAUUGGAUGAUCUCUAUCAAAAGAUAUCUGCAACCCUAGCACUGGUUCGUUUUUACCGGUUUCUGCACUGCUUUUCUUCUGGUUUUCUUCAUCCCACGAGAGCUCCUCUGGUCGGAAUGGGUUGAUUUUUGGAGGACAUCAAUCGGAGAGAUUUAUUUUUUAUUUUUUAAGAAAUCUGAUUCCGGGAAAAAGGAAAUAAAAUUCGAAAUUAAGGGAAAUGACCAAUUUUGCUAUCCAAAGUUAGCUAUUUGUGGAAGUUCAUGUGCUUGAAAGCUUGUGGAACCAUUUCUUGUUGAAUUAGAAUAUUUAUUUUUUAUUGUCAAUUCCCCUUUCUCUUAUUCUUUCUUUCCGCACGUUUAUUUUUUCCCUGUCGUGCACGUUCGCAAGUUCAUCUCCCCUCCCCCUCUUCGGUCUCUCCCCCCAUCCGACAACCACCCCCACCCAACCGACAUCCUCAUCCCUUUUGCUUUUCUCUCCCUUAUCCCCUCUUUUUCCUUCGGUCCUUCUUCCUCAUCCCUUCUCUUUUGUUUUCUUUUUGGUCGAAGACUUCAGCCUACACAUUCUCUGCCCCCUCCACUUCGUGCGCCUCCACCGAAGCUGCCACGUUCGCCCAUUCCCCUGCAGUUUUCUUUCUUUUGUUUUCGGUUCUGUUAGAAAUUCCUACAACGUCAACACCCUCGUCUCCACCGAAGCCGCCACUUGUCCGCAGCUCAGCCUCCUCAGGUCAACCCUAGCAGUUCUUCAACGCAGCAGCUCCCACCGAAGCAGCCGCAUGCCCUCUCCACAUCCACGAGUCCACGAAUAGCUCGCGUCUCUCUGAGCUUCAGCCGCCAGCAGCCCGCGAAUCAGUCCAGCCAGCCUCGCCAUUCAGCCACGUGUUUAGCCACGUUCAAUCCAGAACGAGAAGCCCAACCGAGGGCUUUGUGGCCGAUUUUGACCCGGCCUGGGCUCCCAUUGGCGUUGCCGCUUUGGAGUUGAUCUACCACCAUCGCGUCGCCAUCACCGUGAACCGAUUUUCGCGUUAAUCCAGUAAGUUUAACUCACUAAUCCCUUCUUUGUAAGUUAAUGACGCUUAAGGGUUUAUUAGUUUAAAUUAAGCUUGGAUUAUGUGAUUAGUUAGACUAGGUUAGUGAAUUAAUUGAUCGUUAAUGCAUGUUAGGUGAUUAUAAUAGUGCAAUUAGCGAGUAGACAAGUUGUAGUAUUUAUCUAGAGUGGUUUGGAAAUUUUCCGGGCCCAUUUUGGUAUUUAAUUAGGCUUUUCCGGCCUAAGUUGAAUUUUUGGUAUUUAUUAAUUAAUUUUCGAAAUUAUUUAAUUAAUUAUUAUUUUUCAGAAAUUAGACCAAGAUGGUAGGUGACCGAAAUUUUAUACUGAUUGCAGUGGUAUGAUCUGUUUAUUUAAUUGAGUGUAAUUUGCAAUUUUGGAUAUUUAUCCCAAAAUUUAUUAAUUUCAGUAUUUAAUUAGAAAAUUACCAAGCGUCGGUUUACAACGCUGAAAAUGUUUUUAUUGAUUGUAUAAUUAAUGGGAUUUUACAAAAUAAAGAAAUUAUAUUUUUUGCUAAAACCUACCGUGUACCCAUACACGAUUAUUUUACUGGAACUAUGAAAGCAAUGAAAAGGGUGGUGGGUGAGUAUAAUAUCUAUGAAUCAGCUUUGGUGAGCAUAAAUCAGCUUCGGUGAGCAUAAACCGGCUUCAGUGAGCACAAAUCAGCUUAGGCGAGCUAUUCUAUAUAUAUAUCAACUUCGAUGAACUAUACUAUCUAGCUAUAUCAACUUCGAUGAGCUAUAUUAUCUAUCCUUAUCAGCUUUGGCAAGCAUUCUUUUGUAUCAGCUUAGGUGAGCAGUGAUCAUUUCAAUAAAACAACUAGAUAGAUAGUAUUGGGUGAUAGAUAGUAUUAAAAUGGUUGACCUAAAGAUGGUCUUGAUGAUAUGGAAUCAACUAGGUCGACUGAUCGAUGAUUCGAUCUGAUUGGAUGAAUUGAUUUGUUGAAAUGAGUGAUCGAAAUGAUUGAAUUGUGCUUACUUGCAGGAAGGGACUGCGGCCAAGAUAAGUCCUCCGACUUGUACUUGUGCUUAAACAGCCUUAAGGCAUAUUUUCUUCAUAAUCGGGUCUUAGGGGGUGAACUUGCUGAGACAUUGUCUCGCCCCAUUGUGGGAUAACAUUUUCAGGUCCCUAGGGUGAAGAACCUGGAACUUGAGGCGAAAGGGUCGGGAGCAUGGAUGGCUCAUAAGUCAUUUUUGGAGAUAGGCCUCCUAUACUUGAACCCUAGAGUUGGCCUCUGGUUGUAAGCCAAAUUGUGAUUUUUAAUAAUGUGUUGAUUUAAAAUUUGUGUCCUACUUUUUUAUCACACGUUUGUUGUAGUCAGGGGAUUAGUAAUUCUCUUUACGUAUGUGCAUUAAAAUGAAUGGGUCAGUGACGCAUCCUAGGACAUCGCAAAUUUUAUCAACCACCGAAGGAUGGGCACGUGCUCGGAGAAUCGGGGCGUGACACAAUCAACAAGCGCCAAAUGCAAUCACAGGCAUUUAAGAAAGGUAAACAAGUCAAGAGUUAUGAAAGUUCAAAUGAUGAUCAAAAGUCAUUUGAAAAGCAAUUGAUAGUGAAUUGUGAGAAAAUAUGCUAAUGGUAUUGUAAAGAUGUGUCACAACUAGCAAUGAUGGCCACUCUAAUCGAGCUUCGUAAGCGCCCUAAAUAUGGUCCAAACUUUAGACAACAUCAAUAAUAAGUUCAGAGUACAGUUUGAAAAUUUGGAACUCAAAUGAUGACAUAAAAAUUUGUGCAUGAGCAUCACUUGAACUAAAGUCAAAUUCAAAACAACAAAAACAAGAAAAUUGAGACAAGUUCAUGACAUUCAAAGGGUUUGAAAAGCAUGAAAAGUGCUUUUUUUAUUUUUGGAGAAUAUUUUGUGUGUGAAGUUCAAAAAGUUAGGAUCAAGUCCAUGAAGACAUGUGAAUCCAAUUCAACAUGCAAGUUGAACUAAAAAAAUUCUUCCAGAAGGUUUUCUUAUUCCAAAGCCACCUUCUAAACAUUUAUUGCUCGUUUACAUGAAAAUAAUAGAUUACCUCGUGGAAUUUGUUCAAGUCUUCAUUUAUUUCGUGGAAAAUGAAUAAUGUGAAAAAUAUUUUCCUAAAAAUGAUGGCUUAUAUCACUUGAAAUAAUUAGUCAAUGGAAAAUAUUUUCAUUAUACAUACCAAUUUAAGCCCAAAUAUGUUCAUGGAUGAUGAAGAUGGUUUUCAUUCAUUUAUUUUUUUGUAAGUGAUAUGUGCAAUUAUUUUUUUGGAAAAUACUUUCCAAAUUAUUCAUUUUCUACGAAAUAAACGGAGCCAAAGAUUGGAAUUUUUAAUAUGAAGAAAUGGCGUGAAGGCAAUAGAAAGAAUUACCAAAUGACCUAAAUUGCUGCUCAAGCUAUCACGUAUUAAUAUGUUCUGGACAAAAUUAGAUUAGGGUUAAUAAUCUCACAGAAUAAUGUGCUUUCAUGCCGUGAUGGAUCUUUAGUGUGAUUUGAUGUUGUCAAUUUGAUGUAAUGUACGCAAUUUACUUUUUCCUCACAUACGAACUUCUGUCUAAAUCCACUUUUGAUAAAAUAAAAUCACUUCUUAUGGCACUUAUAUUGGUAUUGUAGGGGAAAAAAUGGACAUCAUAUGUAUUUAAGGAACGUGACAUUUAUAAUUUACCGAAUCAAAUAACGCUAAAUACAAUUUAACUAAUGCUUUGCGGUCAUAAAGAUACACUUCGGCUCAUUAAUUUGACUUAAGAAAUAGUAAAAUCCAUAUUGUAGAUGGAUAGUACGGGUAGUUUAUAAUUUUCAAAAGUUGUGAUAUCUACAUAUGCAUAGUCUCACAAAGAUAAAAAAUAUAAAAAUUGAGCAAAAAACUAAGAGCUUUCCAAGCUUGACGGAGCAAUUAAAAUACGUAAUGCAAAUAUUUGCCCAAAAAUAAAAAAUCGAUAGAAUAACGAACCAAAAGUGUAAAAUUUAAUAGGGCGGACGACCAUUGUUCCAAUAUGACAAUCUCAAACAAGAAAAUCUCUAAUUUUCAAAAGAGAAACUCUUUUCUGCGCGUGGGCAGUAUAUAUUUAGUCUUAAUUUUUUUUCGGUGGCUACGGUUUUCAUAUAUGAUGGCUCGACAGCGAGAUGACGGUAUAAUAACUUCGAUAAAAAAAUAAAUAAAUAAAAUAAAAUAACAAAAAACAACAACAACUUCGAUACAAUGUAUUAUGGAUUUAGGCCUCAGUCGAUUUUUGACCGCUGCCGGCCCGAACCAAAUUAAAAAGCCCAAGAUUUUUGGCAAUAAGCCCGACUGCACGUUCGGCCCGAAAAGCAAUGUUAUCCGAUUCGUUAGCCCAACGGGGAACUCCUUUUCGGGCCAACUUGUCUCUAAGGGGUACGAGGAAGUUGCCUUUUUUUUUUUUUUUUGGGCCGUGUCGAGACAGAAAUUGAAGGAGAUAAAUUUUGGGGAAUGAGGUUUUGGGGAAAAAAUGGAGGAAAAUAAAUUUUGGACGAUGAUAUUAUAUUUGUUAAAAAAAUAAAUUAAUUAGUUAAAAAUAAAUUUCAAAACGAAAAUACUAAAAGUUAAAUAAUGAUAAAUUUUAAUUAUUAUAGAAGAUCAUAGAUUUUUUUUAAAAUAAGUUAAUUAUAAUUUUUAAUUAGUCAUUCGUUUCAUCUAUAUUUUUUGUUAAAGUUAGAAAUAUGUUCUCAAAUAUAGAUAUGCAUUAACUAUUAAUAUGUCUUUCAAAUUUCCUAUGAAUACAUUUAUAAAUAUUAUUAGUGCAAAUUCAUUGUAAGCACUUUUUUAUAAAUUAUUUAUUUGUGAAUUUGAAGCAAAUUAAUUAAAAAUAAAAAAAUUCAUUUAAUUUAUAACAUGUCCUAACAUGCCGGAAUUCUUUCUUUUUGAAAAAUGACAUAUCGGCGUAUCGUGUCAUGUCGUAUCGCGUGUCCAUGCUACUUAGAUCAUAAGUCAUCAAGGCUCUAGCAACCUUAGGCAAGGCUUGAGCGUUGCCAAACUCGCCAAGAGGGUUGAGAUUGCCUAUGACUUGUCGUUAUGGCCAGGCCUAAAAAAAAAAAAAAAAAGGAGAAAAGGGAAGAAAACUAAUUUAAAAAAUUCAAAAUUUUUUUUGAAAAAUAUCAUCAUUUUUAUGGAAAAUAGCCUCCUGAAAAUAUUUUAUAAAAACAUCACAUUUUCCGCAUAAUUGAUGGAGCCAAAACCGGAACGAUGAUAUGUCAUUUCAUAGAGUUCAUCUUGCGCGUGCAGAAGUCAAAAAGAAUUGAAGUGUAUGGGAGGGGACCACCCCCCUAUUGAAGAAACUUCGGAACUAAACCCCAAUCCAUUCGUUGAAAUUGUCGUCCUCACCGAGCUUACCGUACAACUUUUCUCUCUCUUGGGGGCGUGGCUUCCUUCAGAAGCUGAGGACCGACUUUAUUUUGAAGUAGUCGUCCAACACGCUGCUCAUCAGCGGAUACAAGGGCUCGGCGAAUCCAGACAGCCGGUCUCAUCAUUUCGCGCCCUCUGCAACUGCUACCUCGAAAGCGACAAGCACAUACCUCGCAAUUCUUUGUCUCGGUUGUGUGUCUUCUUCCUUUGCGUUGCACAUGUUCUCAAAGCUUGAUUACCAUAUGGUUUCACCUAUGAAGUAAUUAUUUUAGAUUGAGCUUCAUGAGAGGAACUGAUCAGAUCUUUUUCAGGUGGGAAAACGACCAAGCCGGGGUUUAAGUUUUCGAUUGAGCAUAUGAAUGUAGGAAAAACAUUUCCCACUUUGCCCGAUGAGAUUGAAAUAAUUAUUAAUGUAUUCUUGCGGUUGAUCAGUAGGUGACAUUAAAAGGUUAUGUCCAUUCUUACUUUUCCUAUGCAAAUGAGUUAUUUAUUGGCUUUUCUCGUGAAAAUUUAAAAUUACCCUUAAAAGUUAUGAAAACAAUAUAUAGAUAUCAUCACAUAUGACCUUAAUAUGAUGUAAUAUCAGGAGAAUUCGAUGUGUUCAAUAGCCAAUGAAAGUCAAGAUUACUUACAUAAUUUGAAAAUAUAUUUUACAUGCAUAAUAUAUCUCUUUAUUAAUCACACAUUCCUAAACGCAAAAACUAAUUGUCCUCUUUUUUAUAUAUGAUUUGUCAAUCAAGCCAAUCUCCUUUGUUGCCAAACAUUUCCAAACGAUGAGCUCUAAUGCCAAUCUGGGGGGUCUCAUCCUCAAAAGACUUCUUAAGAGGAAAGUUGGGCUGCAGUGGUUAUAAAGCACGUCAGAGGGCUUCUCCCAAGCUGAUGUGGGACAGCUGAGAUCCCCUUAGCAUACACCCGGAUCCCUUAGCAUUGUAGCUCUAGCGGCACUACAUCGUCUCCGCCAUACCACUGAAAUCUCUCUCUCUCCCCCUCUCUCAACAGCAUGCAAACAAGUUCGUCGACGGCACCCUUGAGCUCUACACAAAACAUUCAAAGUCAUCUCAAAUGUUUUCCAAAUUUUGAAAUACCGAUCACUUUUUAUUUUGUCCCAAGAUGGAAUUGCUUGGGUUAUGGAUCAAAAUAAGCCCAUCUGAACAUGCCGGUUGUUCCAAGCGAAGCUCGUGGUCGUAUUCACUAUCGUUGGUUCGUAGGUUUCAUGUAUCUAUACUUAACUUCAAGGGCAUUUUUGAUUAGGACUCUGCAUCCACUAUAUCCUCUCUCUCUCUCUCUCUCUCUCUCUCUCUCUCUCAUAUUAAGAUCAUUCUCUUUCAACUUUCUUGUCUUUUAUCUGGCUUUUCCACGAAUAUGUAUCUCAUAUUAACAUCAUUCUCUUUCAACUUUCUUGUCUUUUAUCUGGCUUUUCCACGAAUAUGUACGAGUCAACAAAAAGUCUCAUUUAACAUCCUUCUCUUUCAACUUUCUUGCCUUUUAUCUGGCUUUCCACGAAUAUGUACGAGUCAACAAAAAGUAAUAAAAAGGGUCCACGUUCGUAUUAAAAAAAAAAAAUUAAUCAAGGGAUUGGAUUCUUGUCAGCUACGGCGGAGGCGCGCUGUGUGUACAAGAGAAUUAGGCUCCGUUUGUUUUAGUUGGUGCGGUGGACCAAAGAAUUCGAGGACGACAAAAUGGAGUUCUUUUCAUAUUCUUUUUAUUUAACCCAAUUAGUGCAGUCCUUUUAUUCAAAGUGGCAUUUGGAACCACCAAUAACGUCUCUGCCUUCACCCUCACCACGCCAUGGAUCUUACCUCCAUCGUCUCUAUCCUCGUCAACUUCAUCCAAGUGAAAUUCCAAGGGAAGUCGAUUUCACCCUUUGAAACCCACCCCGUCGCCAUUGGUGUUGCCAUCUGCAGCUUGCUUCUGCAUUUCUGGUUGUCGUGUCUCGCUAACCGGGCACCCCCGUCUAGCAGCCAUGCUUCUCCUUGGGAUGGAGUAUCAUCGCACCUCCUCAUUGACUUCACUGGUUCGAUAUUGGUGGCUUCGCUCGUGUGGUUGCUGCUCCACGACUCCUCCCACUCUACCCUCUGGUUGUUCGUGUUGCUCCUGUUGCUUUCCGUGAGUCUGUUGCGUGGCCUCUUUCAAAAACUUCCGCUUUGGUUUUGGCUUUGGUUUCGGCUUUGGUUUUACGACAAUAUCUUUGCCAUGAUUAUCCGUGCGACGAACUCUGGUGUAUGGCAUGGUGGAAGAGCGCAGCCACAUCUGCCGGCCCGAGAUCUGGGUUUAUUGCAGGAAGUCUUAGUCGAGUGAGAUAAUUUGAUGCCGAAGGCUUGCAAUUUCUUAUGGAUUCAGAUAUAGUCGCAACAAGCCCCAAGCGCCUCCUAAACAAAACUAGCUAGCUCCCUAAAUUACUUAUUCUUUCGUUUAAAGUGGUUAGAUUACUUUAUCCAAGCAGGGAACAAGUAAAAACUACCUGUGUAUCUUACCUAUUUCUAGCCAUGAAUGGUCAUGCACCCUGGGGCAACUAAAUCAGAUUAAGAUAGGCUAUGCCCUCAAAGGAAAUUGCGAUCUAUUGUUAUCAAAGAGAUCAAAGACGACCUCUGCAAUUAUUACCAAGAGAAGAAUAGUCAUUUCUAGUAGCCAUAUAAGGGGUUGUAACUGUUAUUGCGGUAAAAGCUUCUGACCUCUUUGAAAGCAUUGCUGAGUGUUGCAGAUUUCCUUCUUUUUUUGGUGAAUCUCCCUGUACCUUUUUGUUUGGCCAGUGGAUCCGUAUGUGUCAUUUUACAUUCUUUGCUGGUGUACUAUGGUUCUGCUUAUAUAUCCAUAUGAAUAGGGACAAAUAGAUGCCUUGGCGUUGAUACCUAAUUUUGGCAAACUUAAGAAAAUAAAAAUAAAAAUCACAAAUAAAAAGAAAAAACACGGAAAAAUCAAUUUGAUUGAUUAUGCAUAAAAGUUGGGAAUUCUGAUGAAUAUCUAAAUUUUGUUAAAUGUUUAAGUAAUUAGAAAAUCAGGUGAAUAAAAGGCAAGGCAAGGAUUUUGAUAAAUAGAAUGAAUCGAGGUAAAAUCGAGUUGAUUGCAAAAUCACGCUUCGAUAUGCAGUCAUAAAUUAAUACAAUAGAAGAAUGGAAACUCGAAAAAUAUAAUAAGAAAACGGUCGUCCGGAAUCGCUAUAAAAGAGUCACAAUUUUCGUGACCGAGAGGAGAGCGAAUUCGAAGAAAAAAAUGUGUGUAAGAAGGCCUCGUCAGAUGCAGAACAGAGAAAGGGGAGAGAGAAGGCUACUGCCCACCGCACCUCCACCGCUGCCGCUUCGCCAGCCACAGCCGCCGGACGCCACUGCUCCUGCACCACCGCGCCGCCCGCUGCCGGCCUCUAUCAGCAAGCACCUGCGCCAACCAUCACCCACGCCACCGCAGCUCAUCCCCGGACGCCGCAGAGGCUCGCGAGCUCGCCCUACAGCACCGCUGCCCACCGGUCGCCACGCCUCCGUCUCGCUGCAACCCGCUAGUUCGCCUACCCGCGAGCACCCGAGCAUCUCUGUCGCCGUAAUCGCUCGCCCGCAGCAGCUGCCAAAACCCCUCGCCGGUGACCUCCACCGGCGACGACCCAACGCCGCGCCUCUGCAACCCGCGACCCCGACGACAACAGGUGCAGAUCCCGCAAGUGCCGCAGACCGCCUCGGCCACUGCCUGCUUUGCUCCGCUGCUGCGACCGACACCCAGCACCUGACGCCACUGCGGCACCCCCGCACGCGACACCCCUCACUGUCGCCGCCUGGCAACCUUCGCCAGAGCUCCAACGCCGGCCACCGCCCGGCCGUCGCCGACCAACCUGCUGCCCCCCUUUCCUUAGGUUGCUUACAUUUCUUUUUAUUUUUAUCUUUCAUUUAUUUUAUGUUAUGUUAUUUUAUUUUAUUUACUUUUUUUAAAGUUUUGCUAUUAUUAUACCAAUUGGAACAUCGGGAGUUGAUUUUCAUUUUAUUGCAGUCAUUAUCUGCAAGGGUUUUACCCAAAAUUAUUGUAAUUAUUUAAUUUGAUUCCUAAGACGUUGGAUUUUUUUUAAUUAUAUUAAUUUUUGGGUAUUUUGAUAGUAUUUUAAUUAUUAAAUCAUUAUAGUUAUUAAUUUAUAUUUUUAAUUAUUUUGAACUUUUUGUCGUAACGUUUAGAGUUAGAGUAAUCGUUAAUUUAACCCGUAAGACAACAUGUUAUUUUUUCGAUUAUUUUAAUCAUUUAUUUUGUGGAUAUCUUGAUUAGUUUAGAUGUAAUUUCAAUUGCUUGUCUUGGAAAAAAAAACACUAAAAAAAUCAAAAGAUUAAAUCUUGCAUGGGAAUGUGUAGGUUUAGUAAAUUAGGGUUGCAUUCUAAAUUUGCACGUUUAGAUGAUUUUUGAAAUAAAUUAGGGUCGGAUCAAAAUAACCUUUUAAAAUAAGAUCUUAGAUAAUGUUUGCACAUUUUAGUAAUUUCAUUUUCCCAAAGAAUAUUUUUCUAAGAUAGGAUAGGGUUUAAGUCAAAUUAAUCCCUAAAAUAAAUUAGAAAAUUAUUCAUAGUUUAAUAAUGGUUUUUAUUAAUUCUGAAUUUUAAAUAAAAAUACAAAAAUAUUAGGUGCAUGUCAAAUAGUUUGCAUAAUGGGUUCAUUUAAUUAGAAUUUGUUUGUUAGUAAAAUCAAGUCACAUAAUUAGAGUUCAUAUUUUAUGAUAAACUUCUAAUUUCAAGAUAAAAGAAAACUCUAAAAAAUUUGUUUGCUUGGUGCAUUUAUUUCUUUUAAUGCAAUUUGUUUGAUUUAUUGAGUGUUAAUUAAUGAUUGAGCACUGCCAUUUCCGGAUUCGCGGGUUACUGUUCAUAUUCUCUCUCAACUGGGCGAUUGCUUCACUGUAGCUCAGUUUCUGGUUCUUGAGCUACUGCGAUCCAUUCGACCAUCCUUUGGACGCGAUUUUCGGAGGGAAGACUCAUCUCUACCCUCCUCAAAUCCUGUCCGAAGCGAUUCAUCCGAUUUGGCCCCAAUCAUUGGAUCUCAUUGUUCGUGGUUAGGGUUCUAGUGCAACUCUGUUCCGCUUCUGGUGUCUGAGCUGGUUUGAACUCCUCAGCCGGCCAUUAAUAGCGAUUCUUGGAGGUAAGCCUUCGCCUCUUCCCUCCUUGAAAUCCCCCGAAACUUUGCUCCUGCUAUGGCAUGUAUAUUGAGCUUUCGUUGAGCUGUUCCGGUGCUUGUGCGAGUGCUCUGUUUCGAUCGGCAUUAAAUCUAUGGCCUCGUCUAGUAAUCCAAUGGGGCGGGGGAAAGACAGAAUGCAGGCUACCACUGGGCGUAGUCGUAGCCGUGCUAGGUAUGCCUCUCGAGGCCGUGAGGGAAGGCGUUUGAAUGACUUGAACAGGGAUCAGUCCAAAGCCCCUCAGACCCGUUCAUGGGUAAAUGUUGCUAGUUUGUCUGCCAAGGGCUAUGAAUUAGGCUUUGCACCCCCUGUAUCUGUGGGAAAGAAGUCUGUUGUGCGGUUAUCGGAUAAUGCAAGGUAUGCAGGGGAUCCCAAAUGGAACAAUUGUCUGGUCGGCUACUUUGUGGGAAAAAAUGUGCCAUUUAAAAUCACUGAAACAGCCUUGAAACAAGCUUGGGGCUCUCAUCUUUCAGAAGUCUUAGCAAAUGAUGAUGGAUUUUACUUCUUUAUCAUCCCAGACAACGAAUUUAGGAGGAAAAUUCUGGAUGAAGGCCACCUAACAGUGGCUAGAGUCCCUCUGGUUCUGAAGCAGUGGCACAAGGAUAUGGAAUUGAAGAAAGAUCUCCAAUCAUCGGUCCCGGUCUGGAUACGCUUGAAAAAUAUUCCAUUUGCAUAUUGGUCGGCCCCAGGCAUUAGUGAGAUUGCUAGUGCAGUAGGGAGGCCUCUUUAUGUUGAUCCUUUGACCGAAAAAAUGAAGCGCCUAUCAUUUGCCAAAGUUUGUGUAGAGAUCUCGGCAAAGCUGGAAAGGUGCGAGGAAGUUGAAGUAUGGGUGGAUGAGAAGGUUUUCUCUAUUCAGGUCCUUUAUGAAUGGAGACCAAAUUCGUGUAUGAAGUGUUGUGCAUUUGGCCAUAACUGCUUGGAUAAGGUCAGCCCCAAGCAAACCCCUGUAACCGUGGAACGCUCUACUGUUGCUGCAGGGCCUGUUAUACCUCCUGUGAAUGAGAAUUCGGAUGAUCAACUUAAUGGUUGGAAACAAGUAACGAACAGGAAGAACAAACAUCAGCCGAGACAAAAGGUGGACUCCACUCCUCCAAUCUCGGCUCUGAAAGCUAAGUUAUCUACUGAUCUUCCCCCAUCCUCCUCAGCAAAUGAUGAUCAGAAUGAGCAAAACAGGUUGGAUGCGGCAAAUGCAGCUCCGUCAAUGGCCCUAGUGGUGCCGAAUUCUGUAGAUGCCACGGCAAUAAUUCCAUCUUCUGAGGAAGAUUCGGAGGACGAAGUGAAUGCGGUUAGUAGUAGCAGCAAUGAGGAAGAAAACCUGAAUCCUGCUGAGCCGAGUCAAGACUCUGACUUGAAUGCUCCCUCUAGCCAGCAAAAUGUCCUUAAAUUUGCAGUGGUUACUCCCUCAAUUGUUGGCCAAAAAGGAACCGCAAUGGGCACGCCUUCUAACGCCUCUCGCAAAGGGACGAAUAGGAGGAAGCCACCUAGACGUCGGUAACGUUCCUAUCUGUCUACUGUUUUUUGUUUCUAUGUUUAUCGGUAUAUGGAAUAUUAGGGGCCUAGGGAACCCCAUUAAACAAGCGGAAAUCAGGAAUUUUGUUAGGACUAACAAUCUCUGCUGUGUGGGAAUUGUUGAGACGAAGAUCUCCCAUGAUGCUUUUAACUCUAUUACUUCGGUUCUUCUUCUGGGUUGGAGUUGGUCUAAGAACUAUAAUCACUCUCAUAAGGGGAGAAUCUGGGUGGGUUGGAACCCCUGAGAGGUUACUUUUUUGGUUAAUGUCUCCUCGGUUCAAGCUAUUCAUGGUAGCCUUAUAUGGCUUGCCUCUAGAAAAUCCUUAUUUCUUUCGGUUAUCUAUGCGGAGCACAGCUUUGUGUUGAGACGGCUAUUAUGGGAGGAUCUUGUCCAUACCGGUGGCCUUCUUUCUUCUUCGCCGUGGAUCAUUGCUGGUGACUUCAAUGCUAUUCGGGAUCCCUUGGAUAGGAUCGGUAGUUCUAAUGCUUGGAUUCCCGCUUUUGAUGAGUUUAGAGAUUGCCUUGUUCAGGCUGGUUUGGAUGAUCUUUGGUACACUGGUUAUAGGUAUACUUGGGCUACUUCUUCAGGGUCCAACCGAAAGCAAAGAAAAAUUGAUAGGGUAUUGGUUAAUGCCCAAUGGAAUGCUGAAUUCUCCUUCUCGGAAGCCUCUUUUUUAGCUCCGGGCAUUUCGGAUCACACUCCGAUGGUUGUUAAAAUAUGCCUGUCCCCAAGUCUUCUAAGCCGUUCAAGUUCUUUAACUACUGGAUGACUCAUCCGGAUUUUACCAGGCUGGUUUCGGAAGUGUGGGCCUUUUCUUUCUAUGGAUCGCCAAUGUUUAUUCUUUGUGCUAAGCUCCGCCUCCUCAAAAGCAGACUCAAGCAGCUUAAUAGGGAAUCGUUUUCGGAGAUAUCUUUAAGAACUACGGAGGCUAGACGAGCUCUUCAAAGUACUCAAGAUGCUAUUCAAGCCAAUCCUAUGAAUCCUUUCCUUGUUGAGACGGAAAAGCAACAGAUUCAAGCCUUCUCAGUUUUAAGGCUCCUAGAGGAAUCGUUUUAUAGACAAAAGUCUAGAGUUCGUUGGUUGAAAGACGGGGACCUAAAUACUAAAUUUUUUCACCAAGUCAUGAACAGGAGGCACCUCCAAAAUAGAAUCAUCUCCUUAACCAAUGGGGAUGUCACCACCUCGGACCCAGCGGAAGUUCAAAAGAUGUUCGUCGAUCACUUUCGUGAUCUUUUGGCUGCUUCCCCUUCUUCGUCUUGUCUAGUGAAGGAGGAGAUUCAGGCUAUUCUUAAUCAUUCCCUGGAUGCGGAACAGGUUUGUUUUCUAUCUAGGCCUAUUACGGAUAUGGAAAUCAAGGAAACUCUUUUCUCUCUUGCGGUAGGAAAAGCCCCUGGUCCUGAUGGAUUUAAUGUUGAAUUUUUCAAGCAUUCUUGGGAUAUUGUUGGUGCUUCGGUAAUAUCGGCAGUUAGAGAUUUCUUUGAAACGGGCGAGCUAUUGAAACAAAUUAAUGCUACCAUUCUUGCUUUAGUGCCCAAAAUCCCUAAUGCUUCAACUGUCCAUGACUUUUGGCCAAUUGCUUGUUGCAACACUAUAUAUAAAUGCAUCACUAAGCUCAUUGCAAACCAGAUGACUCAUGUGCUACCUAGCAUCAUUAGUUUGCCCCAAAAUGCUUUCGUCAAGGGGAGGCACAUUAGUGAUAAUAUUUUGCUAGCCCAAGAGCUUUUCAGUGGCUUCCACCAUGACCCCUAUCGGGCCAAAUGUGCUAUUAAAGUGGACUUUCGGAAAACGUAUGACACGGUGAGAUGGGACUUCAUUGAAGUUUGCAUGCAGGCUUUCGGUUUGCCUCAGAGUUUUAUUGAUCGAAUUAUGGCUUGCAUAAGAUCCCCUAAAUUUUCCAUAUCCUUGAAUGGUGACCUUCAUGGAUUUUUCGCAAGUGGGAGAUGUAUUCGUCAAGGAGAUCCAAUGUCGCCUUAUAUAUUUACUUUAGUAAUGGAAGUUUUUACCGGUUUGCUGGAUAUCCAAACCAGCCACCCCUCGUUUCGGUUCUUUUGGCGGUGUAAAUCUUCCAGGCUUUCCCAUCUAUUUUUUGCCGAUGAUGUGCUCUUAUUCUCGGAAGCAAGCAUUGCCUCUGUGGAUCUUUUGAAGGCUGGGAUUGACUCCUUUUCUAAUUGGAGCGGUUUGGCGCCGAACGUGAGCAAGAGUGAGGUAUAUCUAUCCGGUGGAUCGUCUACUUUGCGUAAUGACAUCUUGAACAAGCUAGGCUUCCAGGUUGGUACCCUUCCCUUUCGGUAUCUUGGAAUCCCUGUUAUUUCCUCGAGAUUAGCAAAGGCGGAUUGUGUGGCUUUGGUAAAUGCAAUUACAGCUCGAGUCCAAUCUUGGACGCACUGAUUUUUGUCGUUUGCCGGUAGAAUCCAGCUUAUAAAAUCGGUUCUCCACUCUAUUCAAGUAUAUUGGGCGAGUGUAUUCUUUUUGCCGUGUGCUGUGCUAGAUCGUAUUGAAAGAAUUUUUCGCCAAUUUCUUUGGAAAGGACCAAUAAUGGGUCUUAGGGGGGCCAAAGUCUCCUGGAGUGAUGUAUGUUUGCCGAGGAAGGAAGGUGGGCUUGGAAUUCGGUCGUUAAAGGAGAACAACAUGGCCUCGAUGCUUAAACACAUUUGGAUUCUCUUCUCAGAUAAAGAAUCACUUUGGUGCAAGUGGAUUCACUCCACUUUCUUAAACCGCAAGAACUUUUGGGUGGUCCCUAUUCCGACUCAUUGUUCUUGGGCCUGGAAAAAGCUCCUCCGUCUUCGGGACUUAUCAACAACAUUUUAGAUGGAAAAUUGGCAAUGGUCGAACUGCUUCGUUCUGGUUUGAUCCAUGGCACAUCAAUGGUCCGCUUUAUAAGGUAUUUUCCAACCAAGAUAUAUAUCGUUCAGGCAUAUCUCGGGUUGCUUCCGUAGCUGACGCCUUCUCAUCUCCGAUGGGCUGGUAUGUUAUUAACAUCUUGGCUGGUUGGUGGGAUCCCCUUCCUAUCUUCAACCAGAGUGAAGACCGAAUCCAGUGGAUUCAUCAUCCCUCGGGCCGCUUCUCUACAUCCUCUGCUUGGGAUCUUUUGAGACCUAGAGGCAACAUUGUUCCCUGGUCUUCUUUCGUUUGGAGUUCUACUAUGCCGCCUAGAUACUAGACACAUUUGUGGCUUAUCACCCGCAACAGGUUGCCGACUCAGGUUCUGCUUGCUUCGGUUGGUAGGCUCUCUUCAAUUACUUGUCCCUUCUGUUCAUGCAGGCCGGAUUCAGUAAAUCAUUUAUUUUUUGCUUGUCAUGUCCCUGGCAAUCUCGCCGCCUAUUGGGCGGCUAAAUUUAAUAUAUCUUGGCGCAACAAAUCAUGGCUUGAGAACUUGGACUGGGUGGCUAGACGCUUCUCGAACAAAAACUUCUAUGAUGUGUUGGCCUGGUUUAGUUAUGGAGCUCUUUGUUAUAUUAUUUGGAAGGAGCGUAACAAUAUCAUCUUCCCAAAUCAGACUCUUUUCAUCCCGGCGAUGAAGAUGCAUCUCCAGAAGGCCGUUAAGGAUAAAUCGUCGACCCUGAAGAAUGUUGUGGAUAAUCCUAAGAACAGAAGGCUGCAACGAAGCUGGGGCUUGAGUCCGUCUAUCUUUCAUUGAUGGAGGGUUUUUAGUUUUGGCUUGGUCUUUUGUUUCUUAGGUUUGUUUGUCUUUUGCUCCUUGGCACCCUUACACUCUCCCGCGACUUAGGUCCUUUUGAGUGUUCAUUUUGUUGGUGCUAGGCUUUUCUUGUAUUUUGUGCAAAAUCUUAUCAAUACAAAUCUUACCUUUACCAAAAAAAUUAAUGAUUGAGCACUCGUGCGAUCACCUUAUUACAUAAUAGAAAUCUAGCUUAAAAUAAAUAUAAGAUGCCUAAGAUAAAAAAAAAAGAAUGGUAUCGAAAGAGUAUUAGAGAAAUUUAGUGUAAUCAAGUCUCCGUACCCAAAGUCUCUGGUUCGUAAGCCUUAGAUGUCUAAUUGACCUAUCGUAAACUGAUUAGUGGCGACUCCUAGUUAAUAGUCUUUGCAUGCUAAAACUUGAAUAUUAAGUCGCGAAUUGGUAUGUGCUUGGAAGCUCUCGAGCUAAGUUUAAAGACUUAGUAGUCCAUUAGCCUAAACCUAGGUGGUACACCUAAAAAUUUAGGUCGCGACAGUUGGCAAGGUGGGCACCGCUACAAUUUCAAAAGCUUUGAUCUAACACUAACAUCAUUAAGCGAUCAAACCAAAAUGAAAGAUGUCAGCUUUUUCAUCUCUGUUCCAUAUACACCAUUACUGCUUACUAGUUAUUCCGAUAAUAAUAUAGUUGUAGUUUGUCAUUGCAGAAUUUGGGAAUCGUUACAUCAUAGUCUCUAUUUGACCUCCAAGAGGUGACAACUAGAUCUUUGCGGUGGUAAAUGCGUUAACUUGCAAUCUAAGACUACGUUGUCUCGCUGGCUUUUUGGUUUUUGGCCGUGAGCUUGAAUUGUUGCUUCAGUUGGACAUUCAAGUUUCUGGGGCCAAGGUGAGAAAAAAAUGCUGAAAUGUAGAUAUUAUUUGGCAGGCUUUAGCUCAAGAUUACUGAAUUCUGGUUGACUGUAGAUGUUCGAACCGAACUUUUCCCACUCUUCAUGUGCUAAAGACUAUACAGUUCAUGUAUGCAAAGCUAGAUAGAUAGUAUACAGAUGCACAAGACAAGUCUGUAUAAAUUACACCCAUCUGAUGUUGGUAUCUGAGGAAAUAAUUAGACUGGCAAGCUUCCUGCCAAGUUGAUUCACAAUCAAAUUAUGCAUCCCGGUGUCAACACUUCAUUUCAUUACGUAGAGCACUCAAGUCUUGCACUUAAAAUCUGCUUUUACUGCAGAGACGCUACAAUCUUGGAUGUCGACUGUGGCAGUGAGUCCAAUUGACUUGCAUGGGAGCGUAAGUUGAAACAUCAAACAGAAAGGAAAUUCUUUUUGUCUUGGUAAGUGCCUCCCAAACUCUGCAACUAAAUGCACUUACAUUUGCGGCUUUUCGAGACCAACAUUGCCCGUCUUUUCUUGAGUACCUCCAAUUGCAUGUUCAUUCUUUCAAAUUUUUCAUACAGAAAUGCAAUAUUUUCAUGGAGUUCAGAGUAGCAGGGUCUUCAGGUACUUACUAUUCCAGCAACCUGUAUUAAAAAAAAUGUUUGGUAUUGGAGCAUUUUCUCUUGAUUUUUACUUAUUGUGGAGGACGAGUCUAUACAUAUGAUGUUAAAAAGGAACAUGGCUAUUCACCACAUCACAUGGUAUUGUAUCCGUUUGUUGCCUAAAGUCUGUUUAGUAAAAUAGCACUUGUGACGAAAGUGCAUGGUGGGCAAUAAACAUUUGACAUGAAUAAUCAAUGGACAGGGGCGUUCAUUGCAGACAUAGGCACCCAUAUUCAGGUUCCUUAUCUUCUCACAAAGGUCACAAUAGUACUCACUGGUAUCAUCUUUGAUGAACGAAGAGUAAAGUGUGAGUUGAUGAAAGUUAAUGGCAAUCUUUUACUGUAGUGGAAGGCAAUCUGUGAUGACUAAGAUUGUGCUGCACACAACCAUAAAAGUCGAACCUGCAAAUUUUACCAGAGACACUGCAUAGGAAGCACAGUUCUGUAGACUAAAAUAAAAAAGAGUAUACGCUCGUGUAGGUGAUUUUUCAAAGUGGGCCUUACAAAAGUCCAUGAAAUGUUGAAGUCGUAGUCAAAUUCCAUGCAGAGAAAGACAGAGCGUCAACACUCUUCAUGACGUAUGUCAACAACGCUCCUUCCUAAUAUGAGAAGAAAAAGGAUGUGUGGCAUGAACAGGUUGUUGCUAACUGAGGGCAAUUCAGCACAUGAUUUAUAGAGCAGAAAAGAGCAGCUCUGCUCCAGCCAGCGAUAGGUUGAACAUCUGACGGAUUCAUCACAAGCCUUGCAUGGACCAUCCUUCAUAUGACAGUUCCAGCAGCAGAAAAUGAUUCGUGCAGGGAAGAAGGAAGAGGCAAUCAAGACAACCAUAGACCUAGCCCGGUAUGUUCUCUUCACAAGCUUUGCACCUGAUUCUGCUUUCAACUUUCAUGUAGAAGACCAGUGAAUGCUGAUGGUCAAAAUUGUAAAAAACCAAGUCCUUCUUGCCCUCUAGGUCUUGUGAACAUAGAGUUAAAGCUGUGCAGUCCAUGUUGAGGUUGAAUUUGCAUUCACUGCAGUAGGAAACCAUGGCAGGUGUUACAUUUAGCUCCUCCAAUUGAUUGAAAGCAAAAGAGAGAGAGAGGGUGAUCAUGGAGAGACAGGAGUUGCAUCUCCGGGGGAGAUUUGGUGCAGCUUUUGUGGAGAAAAAAUAUGCAUGCAUAGCAUCCAUAGGCCUCCCCCAAGAUUGCUUGCUCGCAGGCUUUGCAUUUGAUUCUAUUUUUCAUCCCGAGAUGAUGGGAUGUGAGUGGAUGCUCAUGAGCAUUUUUUGGAUGGCCACAUUCUGAGAGUCCUCAUUGGGAGGACAAGCAAUCUUGGGCCAUGCGCUAAGAAUUGACGGAUCCAACUGGUUAGAGAAGGUUGUAAUAUAUAAAUGCAAAAUAUUGAUUGAAAUAUAUAAAUCACAAGACUAGUGAGGUCACGUAUUUCCUUGUGACCAAGUUUGUUAGGAAUAUGGACAAGCCUUGAUAAGCCAUUCCCUCUUGGGUCCAUUCAUCGAUCAUGUCUUACUUCUACCAUGUUAGACUUAGUGUUCCAGACAAUGAGUGACUAAGUUUGUCAGGAAAUAAUAUGAUAGCGCAGCUUCAAGAUGAGUAUUUAUAUAUACCUCUUAGUGAUUUUACAGUGCUCAAAACGAGCAAUUUCUCAAGAAUAGAUCAGAUAAAGCAUAUAACCUUGGAGCAUAAUCACAUAUGUCAUUAUUUGAAGAGCUAAAGAGAAAUAUGCGAUGUGAUUUGAGGACUGAACUGAUGAUUUAGAUGCAGAUGGUAAUAAAUUCUUCUCUGGACUCUGAAGGUUAGCCAUUUUGUAUGAGAUAUGCAGGAUUGCAGGUAUCAUAAAGCAAAUCAAAUUAUGUUAGCAAAAAAUUUGGUACCAUCAUCUCCAAUGAAAGCAAAAAUGUGUGAUAAAUGUUGUUGACCAUGGAAACUGGAAGGAGCAAUAGAUGAUUCAUCUUCAGUCAAAGCAUGUGUCACAGACAACAGCAUCUUUAUCUUCUUGGUUGGCCAUUCUUCCUUGUCGGGCAAUUGUUUCUAUCUACUUCAUCAAUUAUGAAUGCUAUCCUUUAAUCCAUAGGAACUUCUCAUCGGUUGCAGGGUUUGGUUGCCCAAAAUCGGCUUGGCUUCACCAAAACUCCUCUUCUCUAGAAGCCUGGCUGGCAUGGCAUCCCACUGGCAGUAGGGUGGUCAACCUUGCCUCGGUUUCAUGACAUGCUAUCUUUCUGCAUUCCAUAGUCAAGGGUGAGUCCCAUGUGUCAGUUUGUGGAUAGCGGUCUCACACACAAAUCCCUACAAAUUCCUGUAGGUGGUCCAAAUUAUAUCUAAUUUAUUUUGGUGUGGUUCGUUCAUCAUUUGAUUUGACCUUGGAAGUUGGUUUUCUUCUUAUUUAUUUACAAGCCUAAAUGCUUAUUGUAAAAAACGAUUCCCAGGAGAGUAUCAUGAUAAUAAGUCAAAUAAAAGCUAAGUAGGUGAUCGACUUGAUAUCUUAAGAUGGCAGCACUGUCAAAUGCUUCUGCUAAUUUGGUGGCAGAUACUUAAAAUUGUUACCGUCAAUGGAAGGGCAAAUGUUAUUGAAAAGACCAAAAAUACUUUGACAAUUAUUACGAGUAGAAUGGGGAGAUGUUUCAUUGGUUGUUUCAAGGUUACCUAAGAUCCUACUAGACCAAAAGAUUUGGAAGUUUUUUCUUUACUGAAGAGAGAAAAAGAGGGAUGUUCAUGAAAAAUGGCACUUUUACUAGCACUACAGCACCUUAUUAUCACAUUGCCACAUGUCAAACGUUGUCAUAUGGUCGUUACUAGUUGCCAAAAUAAAGUCAAAAUUGUUCUCGAGGUUAAAGCUUCUGAAUUCUUUGAAAAUAUCGCGAGUGUCACAGUUUUGCUUUUCUUUUUGAGAUAAGUGUUCCAGAAAUCCUACAACUUGUCACAAAAAUGCAUUUCAGUCCUAAAACUUGCAAAAAGUGCAUUUAAGUCAUAAAACUUGUCAAAUUGUUUCAAACGAGUUCUAAGAUUGACGCCGUUAGCUUUUUCCGUUAAAAAUGCUGACGUGGCAUUUUAAAUAAUUUUUUAUUUUCCACGUGAAUUUUUUAAUUAUUUUUAAAAAAAAUUAGAUUUAAAAACUAAAAAAAUCAAAUUUAUUCAUUUUAUCUUAUUUUCACCAAAAAAUUAAAAAAAGUUAAAAUAUUUAUUAAAAAAAAUUAGUUAUAAUAUUUAUAAAAAAAACAUAUUUAAAAAGUUAAAAUUAUUUUUUAAUUUAUUUUUAAAAAUUUUAAAAAUAAAAUUUUUAACUUUUCUUUUUAGUUUUUGUUGAAAAUAAGAUAAGAAUAAAUUUAAUUUUUUAGUUUUUAAAUCUAAUAUUUUUUAAAAAUGGAUAAAAAUUAAUUAAAAAAUAAACCUGGAAAAUAAAAAAAAAUUAUUUAAAAUGCCACGUCAGCAUUUUUAACGGAAAAGGCUAACGGCGUCGAUCUUAGGACUCAUUUGAAACAAUUUAUCAAGUUUUAGGACUUAAAUGCACUUUUUAUAAGUUUUAGGACUGAAAUGCAUUUUCGUGACAAGUCAUAGGACUUCUAGAAUACUUAUGCCUUUCUUUUUCUGGCAAAUCUCUUCGUGACUUUCUGCUUGGCCAGUGGAUCUAUAUGUGUUCUUUUACAGACUCUUUGUUGUUAUACGAUGGUUUUGCUCAUUUAUCCAUAUGAACUAGGAUAAAUAGAUGCCUUGGAGACAAGAGCACUGCUACAAUAUUAGCGCUUUCUUCUAUCGUCAUAGAGUUAGCAAAAUCAAAAUGAACAGUGUCAGUUUUUUCAUCUCAGUCCUGUAUGCACGGGUAAUGCUUACUAACUAUUCUGAUGAUAACAAUUUUUGAGUAUGUGAUUGCAGAACGACACGGUGGUUACAUCAUUUAGUCAGCAUUUUACCUCUAAGAGGUGACAACUAGAUCUUUGUCACAGCAAAUGCAUCAACUUGCUUUGGCAAAUAAGAUUUAUAAAGACAAACUUCUUCAGUGGUGUAUCCCACAUGUAUCCGGAAGCUCUUGGAUCUGAAUAAUGCAAUGACUACGUUGUCUCCCUGGCUAAAUUGGUUUUCGGCCAGGAGCAUGAAUUGUUGCUUCAGUGGGAGGUUCAAUUUAGGGCCAAGGUGCGAAAAGAACGCUCGAUUUCUUUUUUUGGGAGGCUUUAGUUCAACAUAGCUGAAUUUUGGUAGACUGCAGAUGUUAGAACCAAACAUUUCCCAUCUUCAUGUGCUAGAAAAGAAUUUACAGUUCAUGAAUGCAAAGCUCGAUAGAUAGUAUGCAAAAGCUUGUGGCUAGUCUGCACAAACUACAUAAACCUUAUAUUCAUUUUCAAGGAAUUAACAAGACCAGCGAGCUUCCUAACAAGUUUAUUCAUAAUUAAAUUAUGCAUCCCAAUGUUAAUACUCCUAUUCAUAACACAGAGCACACAAGUCUUACACUCAAAAAUAUGAUAUUUAUCUGCUUUUGCUCAGAAGAUAACAAUAUCGGAUGUCAAGUGCUGGCAGGGAUUCCAAUUGACUUGCGUAAGAGGUAAGUUGAAACAUCAAACAAAAAGGCGGUCUUCUGCCUCCCCAAUUCUUUCCUUCUGGAUAAGAGCCUCCCCAACU
Molecule: long non-coding RNA, 173766 nt
Filed under: Eucalyptus grandis
Lineage: Eukaryota; Viridiplantae; Streptophyta; Magnoliopsida; Myrtales; Myrtaceae
Description: long non-coding RNA (EGRA_LNC002211)
Source: RNAcentral